GAGAAACCGGCCAAGAAGAUGCGGAAUCGGGUCGCGACGAUCCGCCACAAGGAGGCAGAGGAGGAGAGGGCUGCUGCCGUGCAGGCAAGGAGGAAACGAUCAGGUGCCGGGAGAUGAUGGACCCCGUUUAGAUAUGCUCUUGCUUUAUACGUUCUGAUCAUCUGUGAUAAGCUUUGAUCAUGGAUGUAUUAAUUAUGAGAUCCAGGAAAGUGAAUUUUAAUUUUGCCACCGUUUAGAUAUUUUUAAGCUAGUUAAUCAAUUCAACAGUUUUAUUCCAGAUUACCCCGUUUUGUUUGUUAACUCCUCCCUUUUUAUAAUGAGAUGAGAAAACAGAGCACCUGUCAAAAAUAACAGCUGAUAAGAACAACCAUGUGAUGAUUGGUGGGUGGACAUGGACUCGAUUAUUCAGACUAACUAAACACGACACGUCUGACCCGAUACACCAACUGACACCAAUUAAUGGACUCCCACAUCUGAAGUCAAAAUUGAAGGACACGGUAGCAUCUGAAACACUAGAAAGAAACCUAGCUAACGCCAUUGUACUAGACUACUAGUGCCUAAACAAACAAGAAUGAAAAAAAAAACAGGCCGCAAGAGAAGUCCAAACUCUGUGUGAUAUACCAUCCUCACCGGCGGCCAGACAAACUGCUUGAUCAGGGCAGAAAACAGAGCGGCGUUUCAGCACGAAGAGAGGAACACAUAGGUUUCAGGCAACCAAUGUCAAAAAUAAAAUGUUUUCUUUUUGUCCUUUUCAAACUGAGUACCGGCCACACAUGCACAACACCCAUAUUACAUGGACAGGGCCAACUCGACUGUUGGUUACACAGCAAACUAACAUACAAAUUGACUGGAUGCUAGCUGCCAUCUACACAGUGGACUCGCAUACAAAUUCACUGAAUCCUCGCAAAAGCAAUGACGCCUACAACAAGUUGCAGCAUGUGCAUACUUGCUCCAUCAUGUGCAUUUACACUAGGGUGACAUGACGUAAUUCAACCAUGCAUCAACCCAUCAACGUGGUAACAAAUUAACACUUUUACACAAUAACAAGGUUAACUUCUGACAGAGGCUAGAUAUGUUUUAAGCUUCUAUUAUCCAAAAAAUACACAUUUGUUCUCAGCUUGGGCUACGAACUAAAAUUCAGUUAAGGGAUUAAUACACAACCAAAUCAGUGACAGUGCUGCUACAACAGCCAGCAAAUAGUGUCUACUUUGCAUGUGCACACCCGAAGAAAGACCGCCCAAGGACGAAAGAAAUCAAUAGAAAAUUCAGAUGCCAGCAAGGAUACAUCGAUGAUAGACCGAAGCAUUUGAUGCGCCAAUGUUCCUGCCUCCUGUGUUGUAGCACACCACCGAACCGAACCAAUUAAACUUCAUUAUCUAAGAUUUUCUUCGAAAUGUGCAUUCCUUCGAAAAAAUUCCUAUAUGGUUCAACCCAAUCAAUCAAAUGACCAAUGUAGAAUGAAUUCCUAAGAAUUCAAAUCCUUCACAAAUACUUUAAAAUAUCUUUGAAUCAAAGAGGCCCUUAAGGGGCUUGUGGGUGACUCAUAAUUUCGUGUGACAACAUUGGUGCCACGUUGCAUAUCUUGUGUUUCAUGCUCGCACCAAGUACAUCGGCAUUGACUAUUACAUUGUGAGAGAAAGGGUUGCUAAGAACCUUCUUGACAUUUCGUUCAUUCCUUCCAAUGUCAUGUUGCGGAUGGCUUCACGAUAGCCUUACCCUAAGAAUCUAAAAAGAGUACCAGCGCAAUCUCAAUUUAUCCAAGUUGUGACUGAGAGAGGUUAUUUUAGCAUGCUAGAUUUUUUUUACUUGUAGAUGUACGCGAGUGGUUAUUGGUUAGAGAUGAAACCAAAUUGUGUUACGAGAAUACCAAAGGUUUGUUUAUCAAGAUUGUAACAAACGACCUCUAUGGAGGUUGGAACACUACAAUCAAUCACCAAUGUUUACAGUUCCGCUCGCAACUUGGACACUGACAACUGGUGCCUUGUCUUAUCACCUCUCACCGUGAGAGCGUUCAGUACCAAACCAUUGAGCGUGGCCUCAACAUCGUUCAACCUUACCACCAUCAUCAUUGCUAAGAUAACACGUCAUGUCCUAGCAAAGGUCACCUCUGUGGCCAGAACUUCGUCAUGCUUGUUGAAGCGGCAAAACUGAAGAAGGGCUCCUUGGAUCAUUUUGGUCAUCUUUCCUUUCGGAUAGAGCUACUUCCUAGAGUCGAUGACAUGCCUUUGGAGCCUCCAGCCUUUCCCUAAUUUCCUCUGGACAAAAAAAUGCUAGGUUACGGCGCAUGCCACUUUACGCCAAAAACACAUGGCAUGCGCACACACACACUCACGUGCAUGUCUUAAGUUAUCAAGUACUCCCUUCGUUUUUAUUUACUUCGCAUAGCUUUGGUCAAAGUCAAACUUUAUAAAUUUUUAACAAAGUUUAUAGACAAAAAUAUUAACAUAUAAACAACAAAUCAGUACCAUCAGAUUCGUUAUUCCAUACACAUCAUAUAGAUUUGUUACGAAAAUGUUUACAUUGUUUACUAUAAACUUGAUCAAAUUUUACAGAGUUUGACUCCAAUCAACUCUAAUAUGCAGAGUAAAUAAAACAGAGAGGGUAUGAGAUACGACCUUCCUGUCUCUGUUGAAAAUAUUCAAAUAUAUUUCUGAUAAAGGGUAGCUUCUGACAACAACACAUCGUCAAGCUUACAAAGAAGUUUCUCAUAAUAAAAAUCUUCAUUUAUGAAAUAUAAGAUAUGAUCUUCUAGUCAAUCUAGAAAAUAGUCAAAUAUAUUUUGAAAAAGGGAACAAAAUUUAAGACUAGCUUGUGAUGAAAACGCACAUCAAGCUUACGAAGUUUGUACGCUGUGUCAAUUGUUUAUAACCAGUCUUAUGUAGGAAUUAGUAUCUCCUGAACAAGAUAAUACCUUACACCUCGCGGCAGGAACUCUAGGGAAUUGGUUGUAGUAUAUUACUUUUGCUAAAAUUUUGUUGUCUUUGAAUUCAAAUAUGAGACUAAGGAUCAGAACUGCAUAUGAUCGGUUGUAUUAGAUUAUUAUUUAGUUAUAAUAUAUUUCUUAAGUUGUAGUUCUCAUGCAUGUUGAGAGGAAUAAAAGUAGUAGUAGGGUUGAUAAAGUGGAUGUGUGCAUAUAUAUAGUGGGAAUUAGCACCCUCCUAGUUAUACCAUUGGAUGUGAUGGGAGCGAUCUCCAUCGGGUCGUGCCUCAUCGGAAGAAGUUGCGAUGACCGGUAUAGCAGAGAGAAAAAUAGGCAGAAAAAAAGGUUCACGUGAUAAAACGCUUGCAAAGUUUUAAACAGGGUAAAUCGUGGUAGAACUUUUGCUAAAUGGGGUAAAACGAAUGAAAUCUCACUAAAUGGGGUAAUUUAUGUCAAAACUAUCAAAAUACGGGGUAAAAACCGGAAUCCACUCAAAAAAAAAAAGUAAAUGUGGUAAUCUUUUGUGACUGUUAUGAAAGUGGUAGUUCAGUGGGGAACAAACUCCAAAUAUGAUAGUUUUUUGUUAAAUACUUGCUAAGGUAGAUGUCAUUUAGUUCUAGCCAAAGGUAUGCCUAACUGUCACACACUUGAGGUAGUACUUGCUGAUGCAUAUUGCCAAAUUAAUGGAUUUUGUAGAGAUAAGUUUGCAGCACAGUCAUGUUUUUUUGUGUGUGCAACAGUGUUUUAGAUAGCGGGCUAUGCAAAAUAGGGACGAUCCUUCAAAUCCGCAAUAACACGUUAUAGCCAACUAUUAGCAGACUACUGUACAUGAGUAUCAUUUUGUGGCACUCUGCUCAAAAAACAAUAGCAAGGCUAUAGCUGAGCUAUCCACUAUAGCUGGCUAUUUACAACUAUGGGCAACACACGAUUUCUGAAGAAGAACAGUCUAAAUGGAUUACAGCCACUUAAAUUGCCAUUCUAGAAUUUUAGAAGAAUCACGUCAUAAAAUUCACAUUACUGAAAUGGAUGUGAAAUGACCGGCGGAAUAGUAGGUCAAGAUAAAUCACAACCUCUGGGCGUGAAGAAAAUUCCACUUGGAAUGUAAAGCACCGGCCUUUUGUUAUCAUUCUUGCAAGUGUCCGUGUCUAUACCUGUGUGUCCAGGAAUCAUGCAUGUAGUUGCCAGGCUUGAAAAUUCAUCAUCAUGUCAUGCUCAUGCCAUUGGUACACGUACGCUAAAUGUUUCUAUAUAUUUACAUCGACAAGCUUGGAAUAACACCACUCUUUGAAGUUUCUCAGUUAUUACUUGUAGAGCAUUCAACACGUAGGAAAGUUACCGGCAGAACAACCCCGAAAAAUUUCACACCGCAAGAGAGUUUUUACUAUUUGGAAAGUGUAAUUAUACAUGCUGACAUUUACCCCAUGCCUGUCAUUUUUUCAGGCUUCUUUUCUCUAGUCAGAUCCAGAUAAGUAUUUUUUUUUCUUUUCCUAGUUGACAAAUCAAAGCACAAUAAUGCGAAAGCUUAUUUCAAUGUCUGAACCUGACCUUUUACCGUUAAUUUGUCCCGUGCAAUCAAACAACACGUAAACAAGAGAAUCCAAGGGUGCUGAAUGGAUCUUUCGCAACUAUUCUUGCACCUCAUGCGCUAUAAAUACAUAUAUACAUGCAUGCCAAGAGCAGCACAGCAAACACACCAAAUCGUACACGAUCAAACAUGCAUUUGAAACCAGCCUUGUGUUCUGCUACGCUGCUUCUGGUGCUCCUGCUUCCCCUUUCUGCGAAUGCGUCGAGCAAAGUAAGAUUGACACAUGAAACUUAAUUAAACUUUGCUUGAUGUUUUUUUUCUCUCUAGCAUGUUCGUGAAACUUAUUUGUAUUUUGGAAUUUCAGCUCUAUGUUGUGUAUAUGGGGGAGAAGCAGCAUGAUGAUCCAUCCGUGGUUACCGCGUCACACCAUGACGUACUGACCUCUGUUUUUGGAAGGUAUUUUGCAUGCAGUUCUUGUUGUAGCUUCAUAAUCUUGUAUUAUUUUCCUUAAAUAUAAACGACCUGGUCUUUGGUUCACGGGCGUCUCUUUCUGCAAAGUACAGCAAAAAUGAAGCCCUGAAGUCUAUAGUAUACAGCUAUAGGCACGGUUUUUCUGGAUUUGCAGCUAUGCUAACCGAAUCGCAAGCUGAGGUCCUUGCAAGUACGUGAUAGUUAACCAACCUAAUCCAAUUCUUCACACAUGCUCUAUUUACAUGCAUCAUAAUCGAUGGAAACCAAUUAACAUGUCAAACAAAUGCAGAAUUCCCUCAAGUUCUAUCAGUGAAGCCUAACACUUAUCACAAAAUACAAACAACCCGGAGCUGGGAUUUCCUUGGCCUCAACUACUACCAACCACCCUAUCGCUCAUCCGGUAUCCUGCAAAAAGCAAAGUACGGUGAAGAUGUCAUCAUCGGUGUCAUCGAUUCAGGUAUGUUAUCGCAUCGAAAGACAACUUCUAUUUAUAUGUAGUCGCAACUUAAUUAGCAUAUGGAGAUCGAUCAAAUGGUCCAUAUACAAAAGUGACUUUGUACUCCUAACCUAAGAGUAUGUACUUUCACCCAUCAUGUACCACAUUGUUGUAGGCAUAUGGCCUGAAUCGCGAAGCUUUGAUGAUAGUGGCUAUGGUCGUGUGCCCGCCCGGUGGAAGGGCACAUGUGAGACAGGUCCAGGAUUCAAUGCCACAAACUGCAACAGAAAGAUAAUCGGCACACGCUGGUACUCCAAAGGUAUUGACCCCGAGAAUCUCAAGGGGGAGUACAUGUCCCCGAGAGAUUUGAAUGGCCAUGGCACACACGUAGCUUCGACCAUCGCCGGUAACCAUGUGGGGAAUGUGAGCUAUGAAGGCCUCGGCUUCGGGGCGGCGCGCGGCGGGGCGCCACGCGCUAGGCUGGCCAUCUACAAGGUAGCAUGGGGCCUCCGUGUGGAAACCGGUGAGGCAGCUAUCGUUAAGGCCAUUGACGACGCAAUACGUGAUGGUGUAGACGUUCUGUCGCUCUCACUAUCAGGUGGCGGCGAGUCAUUCGCGUCACUGCAUGCCGUCUUGGGAGGGAUUCCCGUCGUGUUCGCAGGCGGAAACCAAGGCCCUGCGCCGCAGACAGUGGCAAAUGUCGGGCCAUGGGUCACAACGGUUGCCGCCAGCACCAUUGAUCGAUCAUUUCCGACUGUAUUGUCUCUAGGAAACAAGGAAAAACUCGUGGUACGUACCCCGUAUAUGCAUAUAGUAUGUAGUCUUCAUAAUGUUAUUGUUUGUUUUGCUAAAUCCUGGGCACUGAUUUCCUCAGGUUUCAAUCAAUUUCUAAAAAGUACAACUUUAGUCUGUGAAAAGUGUAGCAUGCAAAAUGGGCAACAUACACAUUUCAUAAUCGACCUAGACUUCAAAUACCAGUCUCUGUGACUUAGACGAACCCUAAUAGCUAGCUACUGUGAAAUUAACAGGUUUAACUUCUUCUUUCUUUUUUGCUGAUCAACGUACUAAAAACACGCAGGGGCAAUCACUUUACUCCGUAAACAUUACCAGCGACUUCGAGGAGCUUACCUUCAUCAGGUAUACAUUAAAACAAAUCAUAAGUAUAAUAAACUAAUUAACAGAUUGAUUCAGCUCUGCUUAAUUACCGAAUGUUUGCUUUCAUUUAUUCAAGUGACGCUACAACCAAUUUCACUGGGAAAAUCGUCCUGGUGUACACGACGCCUCAGCCAGCAUUUGCCGAUGCCUUGAGCCUUAUCCGGGACAGUGGCGCCAAGGGCAUUGUCAUCGCGCAGCACACUACAAACUUACUCGAUGGCCUGGCCACAUGUAAUGACCUUAAGGUCCCUUGCGUGCUGGUGGACUUUGAAGUUGCACGUAGAAUUGUCUCUUAUUGUACCAACACAAGGUGAGGGUGACUCCUUUAUUUUCAUUCUACAGUGCCGCUUUGUUUGAAACAGAGUUGAAUGUGUAGAGGCCUUGAUUUCCUCGUCCAAAAGUUGAUCGUCUGUUUCAUGGCAUGCCAGAAAGCCGGUGAUGAAAGUGUCACCGGCUGUGACCUUCGUCGGAGACGAGGUGCCAUCACCAAGGGUCGCUGCAUUCUCGUCUAGAGGCCCAAGCGCCACAUUCCCUGCGCUACUAAAGGUAUCUCGCCUUCUUCUCGCGAUCCUCUUUUCAAAAAGUCAGUAGAAGUUAAAAUAGAAAUAACAAGAUACUGCACUCUUGGCUAGUUAACAUUUCUAUUAUUUACUGCUUCAAAACUAACAUACUGUAUAUAUAUUUGAACAGCCUGACGUAGCUGCGCCUGGAGCGAGCAUCUUGGCCGCCAAGGGCGACUCCUAUGUGUUUUUGUCUGGGACAUCCAUGGCUUGCCCUCAUGUCUCGGCGAUCACCGCGCUGCUGAAGGCGGUCCAUCCCGAUUGGUCCCCUGCCAUGAUCAAAUCUGCCAUCAUCACCACAUGUACAAAUUGAUACCUUUUCAAUUGACCUUGUAUUUAUGAAAAUAUAUAAGGCCGUUAUAUAUGAUAAUCUCGGUUUUCUUUCAGCGUCCGUGACCGACCGUUUUGGUGCACCCAUCGAAGCAGAGGCAACCCCACGAAAACUGGCUGACCCCUUCGACUUUGGUGGCGGCCACAUAGACCCCGACAGGGCCGUCGACCCCGGCCUGGUUUAUGACAUAGAUGCUAAAGAGUUCAGCAAGUUCUCGAACUGCACAUAUGUAAACACAAAGGAGAUGUCAUUCGAUGAUUGUGGGAAGUACAUGGGACAAUUAUACCAGCUCAACCUCCCGUCCAUUGCCCUGCCGGAACUCAAAGGCUCAAUCACGGUUCAACGUUCCGUCACAAAUGUCGGGCCAAAAGAAGCAACCUACCGGGCGGUGGUUGAGGCACCAACCGGGGUGGCAGUGUGCGUGGAGCCAUCGGUGAUCACAUUUACCCAAGGUGGUGGUAGACACGCGACGUUCAAGGUGACCUUCACAGCAAAGAGGAGGGUACAAGGCGGGUACACGUUCGGCAGCUUGACAUGGUUAGACGGCAAUGCUCACUCGGUGAGAAUUCCCAUUGCAACUCGCAUCGUGAUCCAAGACAUGAUGGCAGUUGCGGACGUAUCUUAAAUUUUCAAGCAUAUGUGCAUAUGUGCUUGAAUUUAUGUUAUUUCAAUAUAAAUAAGAUGUCUCAAGUGUUCGGUUUGUACUAUUUUUUUUUUACCAAAAGUUGUAACGAGAUACUGCAAUUAUCUUUUACAAUAUUUUACUACUUGUACACACAACAGUACACAUGCGUGCAUGUACGCCACUGGUUUGUGAGUUAAGCACAUAUCGACCUGUGAAAAUUUGAUUUAACUCAGAAAGGUAUCGUGUCAAAAAACUGCAGAUGUACGUAUUGUCAUUGAUAACCCGUAUUGUCACAACAGGGUUCUCCGGUUCAAAACUACACUAGAUGCACAUGACUUGGAGGUACAACCAUGAACAAAAGUAUCACAAAAGGGUUUUGAUACGAAAUCAUCUUAUCGAGCUCUACAUAUAAUCAUUGGGAACAACAUGUUCAUAGCAACAUCUAUUCUCCAACAAUCAUGAUCUUAAACUAAUGUCUAUUAAUUACAUAAUGUAUCCCAUACAUCACAUGUGCCUACAGCGGAUACUCACAAGUGAUUGUGGGAUCAUACAUAAUAUUCAACAGAAAUUCUCAGUCACAGCGGCAAUGAAAAUAUUCUCUACUGUCUGAAUAUUACUUCAGCAAACCAUAUUUAUGUUCAUAAACUAUUAUUACCUCUGUCCUAAUAAAAUUGUCUUAGAUUUCUCUAGAUACCAAUAAUAUCUAGCACUAAACAUGACUAGAUACAUCUAUAUCUAGAGAAAUUUAAGACAAAUUUUUUGAAACAGAGGGAGUAUUACUAUGAAACAUUAAGCAUAGCUCCCAAACAAAUAUUCCCCAGGAUUUGCGCUCACAAUGUCCCUAUGGCAUAUUUUUGGUGCUUCUCCAAACUUAGACACCCACUAGUAAUUAACCAGUAUAUACCUCCCAACUUGUAUCAAAUUACAAGACAAGUGCUGCAAUACUUCAAUUUAGACGACACGAUUCAUUAAUACAGUACAAGUGCUGCAUAUCAAACCGCACUUGCAAGUUUCAGCUUCAGGUGUGAGAGUGAGAGGAAAGAAUAUGUCAUAGAUGGCCUCAAACAUAGGAGGAGCUAUGAGCGAGGCGAGGACAAGUUGGCAAACUACCUUCCCAAUCCUGCGCUACUCAUUCGAUGCUCAACUUGAGCCAACAUGUUCAUUACACUCCAUCCAUGUCGCCUUUGAAAAUGGCUACUUUUUAGAUUUCUGCGGUUUGAAGAUGUUGGCCUUGUAGUAUUUCAGCUCGGCGAUGCUUUCUUUGAUAUCGUCCAUCGCCCUGUGACUUUUCCCUUUCCUAGGAGUUUGCUUCCUUUCUGCGAACGAUGAUGACAAAUACACAGGGUCAGACCUCCUCUGCUAGUUUACAUCAGAAAAUGUCUCAAGAGUUAAACUUGUCAUGCUUGAGAAUGUAAACAUGUUAGCACAAGGCUAAGGACUCAGCAAUGACCACGACAGCACUACAAUUGCUUGCUCAGUGGGUAUCAUAGAUGCGACUUUUUUUUCCGUAUUUCCGUAGACUCUAAAAAUGUACAACUAAACUGGUGCUUGAAUAUAACAGGAACAUCAAGAAUACAAGGUUAGUUUACCUUUAGGGUACCACCGGGUGCACAAAGCCAUGAUACUGCUCACAUCAACAAUCACGUGAGAGAAGAUGGCUGCAAGCUGUGGCAUAUACUUCUGCUUAGGAAAAAAUAGCAAAUAUAUUAUUUAUUAUCCACCAAAAGCUAAAGGAAUACAUCGUGUUUAAACUGGAAAAAAGAUGUCCUUGUGAAGGAAAAAUUAAACACAUUGUAAUAUGUAACAAGGAAUAAGCAAAUUAUUUUGCAUGACGAUAAACACAUUGUAAUAUGUAACAUGGAUAUCAGUGUAGCAAACUAUUAUCGAGCACUCUCCCAAAUAAGGCAGUUUGAUCUAAUACUAUAUAAUUCACAACUAUAUUUUUUUUCUAUUGACUUAAUGAGCUGAUCUAUAACAAGCCGAAUAAAUAAUACAAGAAAAUCAACUAAAUUUAUUUCAUGAAUUGAAUUAGACCAUUCUUGUGGCAAUUUUGAAUGAGCCUUUUUCACCCUGAGGGCAAGGAGCCUCCCCCGCAUUUGGAAAACCCAAACCGAAUUACUUGGAUUUUCAUGUUUUGAAAUGAGAAUAUUGACCAAACAAUCCUGAGAUCGCCGACUUUUUUUACUUUACUCAAACAAAAAGCACAAGUUUGAAUUAAAAAAAAACAGGAUGGAAAUUCUAGUUGACAAGAAAUAUAACUCAGUAUCGACAGUUAUUCUUUUUACUGAAACUGUUAAUCCUGCUGAAGGGUAAAAAUAUUUUGUAACAGUGACCAGUCGUGCAUUCAUGGAAAACAAAUGUCUUUCCUUAAUCCUAGCUGCAUGACUAUUCCUGUCUGUGUGACAGUACAUCAAUCCUAGUUACAGCAUAUCAAUCCUAAAAGACAUUCUUUACUGACCUUUAGAAAUAGUAAAUCUACGUAAACUGAAUUCCCAGCUAUUGAUGGAGUGCCUGAACCUACAUGCUUCAUGAGGAAGUCUAACACCUGCAAAUAGGCAACUAGAAACUUCUAUUAGAAACCUUUGGCCAUUUUCUUUUAGCAAGCCAUCAAUAUGUACUGUUUUACAGUGCAUAAAUGAUUAAAAACUGUAUGACAUAUCAUUCUUAGAUGUGCAAGGAACUGAUGUAUCAAGUGGUAAAGCAGAAGCCCUAUUCAGAGAAACUUAAGAGCUUGAGAUGUGAGAAUUACAAUAACAUUCACGGAUAUACUGAUAUAGAUCAUGCUGUAACAUGUACACUUGCAAAACUUGGUGUAGCUUGAACAGUACCAAUCAGUUUGUUACUUUUCCUUUGCACAGGAUGUAUUUGGUCAAAUUUUUGCAAGAAACCUUGCAAGCAUACAAGUUAUAGCAUGAUAUCCAUCUAAAACAUAUAAAUUUUUUGCAAAAUUUUGGAGUGGAAAAAUGUAUUUGAAAUAUAGGUGAAGUGGAGAGUUUUUGCGACAUAUGCAAUAUUUUUGCUAAAAGGGGAGGUUUGGGAUAGCAGGAUUUGUAUGUUGGAUAUAUGUAUGUGACAUCUCACAAGUAACAACUGCAGUGUUACAAAAUUGAAAGGGACAACAAGUUCACAAUUUGGGGGCAUCCACCGGUAAUUUCCUAAAUAAGAAAUAGAAUGGCUAUUGGCAAUUCAACAUUUUACAGAAAAAUAUUUAAAAUCAAAUGUAGCAUACUAGCUUUAAUCAAAAAUAUAUUUUUUGUAUAUUAAUAAAUAAGAAAGAAAACAAUCUAUAAUGAUCAACUCAAAUCAUGUCAGAACUGUCGAUUCUCAUGAUAAUGCCAUGGUGUAAGAAGGCAAGUAUGUAAUGAGUUAAAAGAGCACAUGAAAAUGAAGUUAUGCAAACUGUAGAACUUUUGAAUAGCAAAUAGCACUCAAAAGGAGUUCUAAAGUAGCAAGAGGUUAAAGUGCAACAGAUAGAUAAAUGAUAAGGUUAUGGAAUCAGUUGCGAAUACUGUAACUUCACUACCAUGUUUGCAAUCAAAUUUUCAGAAAAAUAUGAUGAUAACCAUAAAAAUCAGACAACAUACCUGUUUCUCCGCGUCACCCUCAGAAAUCUCACUCUGUAGUACUCUCUCUGUCAAUCCUAAAUAAGUUCAGGGGUCAUCAGAUUUAUAUUGAGAGAACAACACCCAAUAAGAAAUGUUAUUUGGAAAAUAAAGAUUAUUUACCACUAGAUGCAUGAUGGGUUUUACACCAUUCAUUCAUAUUAUCUAAGCAAGCUUUGCUCUGACUUAUAACCAAGUUAGGACCCUGCAAAAUGACAACAAUGUUGAAGUUCCCAAUGAGAUGAUGACAGACAACUUAUUCUACACUGAGAUGCACUAUUUCUGCAUAUUGACAUGAUAAGUAGAAAUCCAGUGUGAUUUUGACAUUAAAUAUUUGAGCUAUUACAAAUAUCAUAUUCUACAUGGAUCAUCAGCAUUCCAUUUGCCAUUAAAUACUUCUUAUACUCAGGUCUGUGCAAAGGGUGGGUUUGGACUUGUAUUGUGAAACAGAGGGAGUACUGUCUAGAUCGUCCAGAUAAGAUAUUUUUUUUUCCAAACUACAGUUUAUGUAGCACAGCUGCUAGGAACAGAAUCAGUAAAAAAUCAAUAUACAGAAAACCAGAGUAAUUCAGGGUGUUCUUGAAUAUUCCUGUAAGCAGAACUAGUUACAAGAACACCAUCAUAUUGUACACGAUCUAUGUAGAACGAACUAAAGGUAUAUGAUUUCAACAGCCACCUCUAUUUGUUUUGUAAGUUUACCAUCGGUUACAAUGCAAGCUAUCUCCAAUAUCCGAUCUUUCAAAAUAUCCAAACCUACACAAUCCAGUAUUGAGUGUGCCAAUUAGUCAUAAUUUUAUGCAUAAGAUAAAGGUAACAAAACAAGAAUAGAUUCCAAAACUAAAUUUGAUUUAUCUAUCCAUUAAAAAAUUAUAAAAAAUUGAAUAAAUUCACAGAAGUAGCAACUAUAAUCAGAUCAGAGAUCAAGGUAUUUAGCAAUCAUCAUCAAACUUCUAGGAUAAGAAAUGCCCUUCAAUGUUUCAGACUAACUCAACAAGUUUGGGGCAUUGGAGAUAAAUAAUCCGUAGUUUGUAAUUUUGUUCAGUUGAAUCCCAGAUUAUCGUUUUUUGUUAACUAAAGUCAUGUAUCAGUAAUUUAAAAUAUGUUUGUUUCACCAUGAGCCAUCUAGUUCGACCAUUGACUACUGAUUAAACCAGAUGUCACUCCAUUCUUAGCCACUAGAAGAAAGUAGAGAACCCUUCCCAAAAUAAAAGAAUGAGAAGCUAACUAUCUAUGCUAGCCAAUGGAUUGCAUCCGAGUAAAGAUAAUCUACCAGAAGACAGUGAUAUAUUCCAGAAGGCCUCCUGAACUAUCUAUGCUAGCCAAUGGAUUCAACAGAUUGGACUAUUCACUGUCCUGCUGAAGAACUUCCUACUGGGCUACUGGCUACCAGGCAUUGUCCUUCAUUAGCAGGUUACAGAUAAUUGGACUGUGAUUCAUAAGUGGCCAUGUCACAAAUUUACAUCCCCGGCACUCUGAACUAUUAUUUCGUAGGUCCAAAAUUUUAAUAGUCACAAACAUACCAAAUUCUGUGCAGAAAAUUAAUUAUUCUGAGGCAGAAUAAAAAAACACAAAUUGUUACGAAUAAACAAGUAAAUGAAGGUGCAACAUCAAAAAUAGAUUCUCUUAUGUAUUAAUAACAUAAAACAAGUUAUGGUAAUUGAAUAAUUCACCAGUCAUUUCCAAGUCUAUCCACACUAAAGGCAUCCUGUAACCACCAGAUGAUGAUGCAAGAGCUCCUCCAUUACAGCUUACUAUUGUUGUGUCAUUUUGCACACAUUUAUCUGCACAGUAAAUACAGUUUACAACCCCAUUAAUGACUAUACGGCGAGUAAGAAACAGAAAUAUUAUAGAACAUAAACAUGUAUAUCCUUGUCUUCAUCAAAGGGUUUUUCAAAAAGCCAUAUGUACCCUGAAGACGAAAUCUAAAGAAAGGGGAAAACCAUAUCGGACAGAUCAAAAAUGUGAUCAGUAUGCUGGUGAAUACGCUUAAGCAAAAAUGUCACACUACAAUCUAGUGAAAACUGUAGGGGUGGCCCAACAACAAACGGAGGUAAAAUUGAUACACUGCACUGAACAGUGGCGGUAUGACCUCUUGCGGCAAUGGCAACUCUCCCCGUGUCCCCAGUCAUGACGGUAGUUACCUAAUUUGUUCCAAUUUGGUUUCAGAGCCAACCGCUGCUCCGGCCUCAAUGAGCAGCAGGGAGCAGCUGGGCUUUUAAUCAUGCUAUGACUUUACCCAUGGCAUCGGCAUACCGAGGCACGACCCAUUGGGUAGUGGCAUAACCAGGUGUGGUCAUGGCACACAGAUUAUCGUUCACAUUUGCAAAUGUUGCAGAUGCACACUUAGAUGAAAUGACCAGGAUGGAUAUUAUAUCACCGAACCACCCGACAAGCUUCUUUAGAAAUGACUAAAUGAGCAACAAUCCAAAAUGUGACAUGACAGCCCAAGCAAACAUGGAUAAAUAAAUUAUAAAACAAAAAUAUAAUACAUCUCAUCUUUUCAGAAUAAACACUCCAUGAAAUUAACAGAGAAUGGCCAUAAAACAGAACAUCAAUUGAGCCCAGGGAGGUAGUAUCACAUCAUAAGGCGGUUAUGUUCUUGGCAAUAGUAGCUAUGCAUCAAUCUGUUUCAUAUGAGUUAAAAUAGGCCCAGUGAACCCAGGCAAACUACAAAGGAAGUAACUGCUUCAACUGAAAUUGCAGGGAUAAUAAUGAGUUAUGCAUUCAAUUCUCCACGCAGAAAAAAAGAGAAGGAACAAAACUGAAGUAAUCUAAUACUUUGGAGCUACAUCCUAGAAGAAACGAAGUACCAACCAGGUUUGCUCGCAGCAGUUUCUUGUACGCUGGUAGAAGAUGUUUGGGUCAAUUGGCUAUCGUUCCCUCCAUCAUCUUCGGCAUCCAGAUUAAGAAGCGAGAACAUGUUCUCCGGCUUACUCAUUUCCCAGUUUCCUUGUGCCUGGUAAAAUCCAGGCACCUGUUCCUGUAUCAGCCAAACACCCAACUCCUCAAUUAAAACGAGCCUUCGUAUAGAAGAGAACAAAAAACAGAGAGACAGUAACAUAAUAAGUACCAAUAUUCGCUGUAAUCCAACCUAGCAGAGCUAGCGUGCCCCGAACAAAAAGGCUAACAGGAUUAAUGGAAGAAAGUUGAUCAUCGGUUGCCCCCUAAUCGAUAUUUAUGGUGUUUGCUUACUUCUCCGGUUUAAUCAUUUGCCUCUUCUAUCUAAUUAUAGUACCCGCAAUCGCUUUAGUUGACAGCCGCUUACACUCUGUUUCUCUUGUACAGUGCCCAUUAAGAGUCCAUCGCUCUUACUGCUAGACCUAGUUCAACGACCAAAGCCAAAGCCAAACCGACCUCGAUGUCUCCCCAAAUCGAAGGAACGAACCUUGUGCGCGGGCGCUGAUGGAGGUCCGCCGGAGGAGGAGGGCGAAGGUGCCGCGGGCCGCUGCGGCUGGGGCAGGAGGAGACGCCGGUGGAGGCUGCCCGGCGGGGCGGCGGACGGGCCGCGGGCUGCUGCAGCUGGGGCCGGAGGGGACGCCGGUGGGCGUCGAGCUCGGGCUACCUGGGCCGCGCCUGCGAAGCAGAGGCAGCGGCGGCGGCGGCGGCGGCGGCGAGGGUCGGAGAAGGGGAUGGGAGCAAGAGGAGGUCGUCCGAGCAAAACUUUUCCCUUUUUGUUUUUGUUUUUGGAGUAAAUAAAAUAAAACACAUUUUUUUUGUUACUCCUGCUUCCUCUUCACACGUUUUGAGGAUUGGUCUCCAAAACUACAUGUUUUCUUUUUAAAAACAUCCACUCAUUUAAAAAUUUGCGUACAUCAGAAAAAUAUGUCCCACUAUUUAAAAGGAAAUGUUAUUCGGUCCGAAUCCAUAUUGCUUGUUGCUCGGGCGGAUGUAUCUAGACAUUUUUCAAUGCUAAAUAUAUACUAUGUUUAAGAGACAAGUAAUAUGGAACGAAGGAAAUAGUAUAAUUUAAUAAAUUCUUAUUUUAAAUAUGUUUGCUUGGUUUGACGAGAUGGUUAAAUCAAUCAUUAUUUGAAAAUGUCUGUCGUGUACUAAAUAAUGUGUUCGUCAAGUAUUCUAGAAAAUAUAUACCGUGUCUUUGUAAAAAUCUCAUGUAAGAAAAUAGAAAAAUAAAAAAUAAAAAAUAAAAGGGAAAUAAAAAACCAGAAGGAAAAGGAAAAAAAGGAUGGAAAAGGUGAAAGAGAAAAGGGAAAGGGAGAACAAACUAAAGGAAAACAAUGAAAAACCCAAAACGUUACUUUUGUUACAGAUCUGCAUCAGUUACUGGUUUUGCUAAUAUUUCGCUUUUUAAAUCUCGUCGCCGCACUCCCCACUCUCCCACUCCACUUCCAAUUCUGCAUAAUAGGAUUGUCGAAACAUAUUGGUCUUCUGCAAUAAGAUCCACACUAUCAAUGUAACUGUUACAAACUUUGUAGAUGAUCUUACACACCGGACUGCUAAAUUGGGGGUGCCACAUCAAAAGGUCGACAUCAUGUCAUGGUGCCAAUACCUCUCCUUUCGCUUAAGCGCAGAGUUGUAAAGUGUUGCUUGCGGCCCCUAAUGCAUUCUGGUGGCGAUCAUAUCUCCUCGAUGAUUCUUCAAAAAGAAAAGGGAAAAGGUUAUCUUCCACUGGCCGAUCCGCAUUGAUCCAUCCGCCGCCCGCUCGUCCGUUGGAUCUCGCCUCGAUCACGAACCAUUUCCUGAAACUGGCUCGUUGUUUCAGAAACUGGGCCGCCGUCCUCCAGAUCUCCACCUCCUCCGCACAGCCAAAUCUCCACCUCCUCCGCCGCCGGAGAGGUCGUCCACCAGAUCUCCCCGAUGGCGUUCCGCCGACUCCUCUCGGCCGCAGUGCGCCGCCGCUCCGCCGACUCCUCUCGGCCGUAGUGCGCCGCCGCUCCGCCGCGGCGGACGCCGGCAACCUCGUCGUGGACAGCAUCCCGAAGUACCUCGCAUGACCUACUUCGGGUACCCCACCGACCGCUCGGCCGCGACGCCGGUCGUCCAUCCGGUCGCCGCCAGUCGCCCAUGCUGCCCAUGAACGUUCCAAAUUUUUUUCGCAACUUGACUUUUGUUUGAAAAUAUUCCUGAAACAUGACCUUUGUUGCAAAAAAUUCCCCCGUAAAAGUACCUAUGUUGUAGAAAGGCGAAUAAAAAAAAUCUGCAACAAGCAAAUUGUUUCCGAAACUCGACCGUUGUUUCAGGAAUUAAACGGGUUCAAAGUUUAUUUCUUGCAACAAAGCGAAAGUUUAUGCAACUCAGCCAUCGUUUCAGGAAUUAUGGAGUGUCUGGCCAGAGCGGAUCGGGCGGCUAUGCGUAGAUCGGACGGCCCUUCAAGUGGCGGAUGUUUAGCCUAGUUCCGCUUCUGCCAUCCAUUACGUGCCCCCUUUUCAACUUUUUUUCUCCAUUACGGUUUUCUCAGUUUCCUUUUGUUCUUAGGAUGCAUCCUUUGAAUUUAUAAUUUAUUUUCAAGCAUUUAAACAAUUGUAAAGAAAUUUAUUUAAAACAAUUUAUUCAUGUAUUUUUUAAAAGUGUUUUAAGCAUUUUGAGAUAAAUGUUCAUAUAAUUUUGUUAAAUUAGUGGCAUAUUUUGUUUUUAAAUAAUUAUUUUGUUUUCAAAAUUAUUUAUUUUUUCCCCAAAUGUUAUUCUUUUUUUAGGGCUACCCAAAUGUUACUCGGUCCGAUCCAUACUAUUCCCCACUCUUUUGUAGCUUCGUUGGCCCUCGAGCAAAUUCACCAAACCCACUCAGUUUCGGCCCGCUCGAUUGCCUUCCUUCACACCAUAUUUGGCCAAACGGGCUGGCCCGGCACGGCACGACAUGGUCCGUCCAGACAUGAAUAUUAGUCGGGGUGCCUUGCCGGCCCACGUGCGGCGUCUUAAGGCCCAGGCAUGGUAUGGUUACUAAACAAGCGAAUACGUUGGUCCGUUUAGCACGCUAGGAUGCAUAUCUUCAGCAUAUUGGGCUCACUUUUAAACAUAUUAAGUUGUAUUUUAAGUAUAUAUAUAUAUAUAUAUAUAUAUAUAUAUUAAAAAUACAUAAAAUAAAAUAAGGAAAAAGCUUACCUUCAACCGGUUGAUCGCGCUCCCUUCAUUGAUCGGACGGACCAGACCAACCCCACUUCUGCGUGAGCUGCGACCGUUUUUCUGAAACAAAGCAAUUGUUUUAGGAUCGUCUCCCGCANNNNNNNNNNNNNNNNNNNNNNNNNNNNNNNNNNNNNNNNNNNNNNNNNNNNNNNNNNNNNNNNNNNNNNNNNNNNNNNNNNNNNNNNNNNNNNNNNNNNNNNNNNNNNNNNNNNNNNNNNNNNNNNAGGAUCGUCUCCCGCAGCUGAGAGCCCACUUCGUGUUGCUCUCUCUUGCUGCUUGAUCUAGGAUGGCGACCGUUUUUUCUGAAACAGAGCAAUUGUUUCAGGAUCGUCUCCCGCAGCUGAGAGCCUGCUUCGCGUUGCUCUCUCUUGCUACUUGAUCUAGGAUGGCGAUCGUUUUUCUGAAACAGAGCGAUUGUUUCAGGAUUGUCUCUCGCAGCUGAGAGCCCGCUUCGCGUUGCUCUCUCUUGCUGCUUGAUCUGUUGCGGUGGCCGGCGUCGACUCCAAUAGGUAUACAUGCUCAUCCCUUGCCCCGUCCGCCCCCAUCCCCCCACCGAGCGCAGCCGCCUGUAGAUCGCCAGCGUGAGUGCAGUCAUGUUGGAUCUCCGCCGCCAAACGCUUCCCGACGAAGAGAAAUUUCUGCAACAUGGUCAUUGUUUCCGAAAUACGACCAUUGUUUCAGGAAUUGUUUCUGCAACGUGUUCGUUGUUUCAGUAUUGUUUUUGCAACAUGAUCGUUAUUUCUACAACACGGUCGUCGUUUCAAGAAUUUAUGAGUGAGGAGAAGACGAGCGGGACAUGACAAGCGAUCGAUGACUGCCUGCAUGUAGAUUCAACGGACAGCGAAGUGGUAAAUGUAUAACGCACAUCUAUCAAUAGACGCCUAACAGUCCUCAUAAAAUAAACAGACAGUAUUAUACCUGCCCACGUGCCCAGCCUCCAGCUUGAGGCACAGCUCAAAGUGUGUUCUGUGCUGGCCCGGUCCGUUUAUGUCAUACCAUGUCUGACAAUCCAUGGCGUGCCGUGCCGUCGUGUUUGUGGGCCGGCCCGAAAAGCACGGCCCGUUUGGAUAGGCCUGCUUCACACCACGCAGAACGCAGCCCCAAAUCUCACCGCCGCACUCCCCACUCCUUCGCCAAUUCCGGCCAAAAUCCGGCUGUCCAGCCACCACCAUGGCCGCCGGUGUCAGGCAGGUCUUAGACUGGUUCGCCGGAAGCGAGGCCAUCCUCAGGGCCGAGCGCGCCGUCCUCUCCGCCAGCACCACCGCGGGCGGCGAGGACCGCAUCAGCGCCCUCCACAACCACCUCCUCAGGGACAUCGUGUCCCGGCUCCACGCCAGGGACGCCGCCCGCACCGCCGCGCUCGCCUCCCGCUGGCGCCACCUCUGGCGCUCCACGACGCUCGUCUUCCACGACGCCCUGUCCUGCCAGCCCGAGCACGCCGCCGCCGUGGCCCGCGCCCUCGCCGGCCACCCGGGCCCCUUCGCCACCGUCAGCAUCAGAUACUGCGACUUCCGGUGCCAAAGCCCCGAGCUUGCCGAGUGCCCGCGUCUCCUCGCCGCCAAGGGCGUCCGGGACCUCGUCCUGGUCAACGCGCCCGCCGACCUCGACCACCUCCCCGACGCGCCCGCCGAGGUCCUCAGCUGCGCCCCGCUCCGCCGCCUCUUCCUGGGCUACUUCAGGUUCCCGGACACCGGCGCCGGCCUGCCCGGCAGAGAGGAGGGAUUGUUCCGGCGCCUCCGGGAGCUCAUCUUGCUCAGCGUCGACAUGCCCGACUACGACCACCUCGACCGCCUGCUCGCCCGCAGCCCCGUUCUCGACACCCUCGUCGUCGUCCAAAGCCAAAUCUUCCACCACAUUCACCUCCGCAGCCAGAGCCUCAAGUGCGCGCUCCUCUGGAGUUACUACGUGCAUGAGGUCGCGUUGAAACUUGAAAGCCUGACACGAAGCCGAGCCCGAGCACCGUGGUUCCGAGUGUCAAGAUACUGGCGUUGAAGGUGAACUUUUGGUGUCCGCAAGGAGGUCAAGAUGCUGGCCAGCUUCCUCAGAUGCUUCCCCAACAUUGAAAUGCUGCACAUCGAGGUGACGACACUCACUCACAUCCAUCCAUUCAGCCAGUCGUUGUCGAUUUCUCCUUCAUAUCGUCCUUCAUUUCUUAGUCAGGUGAAUGAUUUGACUACGUUGAUCUUUGCAGUCUCUCCUAGCCGAUGAACGCACUAGGAAGCACAAUGCCAAGUUCUGGCGAGAGCUCCGUCCUAUCGAAUGUCUCAAGUCGCACGUCACCGAGUUGAUCGUCCAUGAAUUCCGGGGGGACCGAAGCGAGAUGGAGUUCCUCAAGUUUGUCGACAGGAGCGCGAACGAGAUUUGGUGUUUGCUCGUCAGGACCACCGCAGUGAAAUUCGCUUCGACGGAUGAGUUCGAUGAACUGAUGACUAAAAUGGAAGAUUUUACGCACCGAGGGUGGGUCUGCGAUCACUCCAUAGUGGUGGUGGGUAGGUGUUAGUGUUCUGAGGUAACAUGUACUUCUUGAUGCCAGUGCUCUGAGGUAACAUGUACAAGCUGGGCAGUAGUCCUGGUAGGAAACAGAUUAAUGCUUAGCUACUAUUGCCAAGAACAUGACUGCCUUAUGGUGUGAUAAUAUCUCCCUGGGCUCAACUGACGUUCUGUUUUAUGGCCAUUGACUGUUUCAUUUCCUGGAGUGGUUAUUCUGAAAAGAUGAUAUGUAUUGCGUUACCAUUUUGCAAUUUAUCCAUGCUUGCUUGGGUUCAGUGGCGGAGCAUGAAACAAAAUCAAGAACGGGCCAAGGGCAGGCCAAUAUCUGGGUCAAUUUACGGGUUCAGGUAAACAUUGACAAGAUAAUCUGAGAUUACUUCCUUUGAUGCUUCUUAUUUCUUUCAACGAAAUUCAGUAGUAUAUGUGAUGACCUGAGAUUAUUACAACUGGAGCAUGGACAGAAGUCUAAAUAAAUCUUCAGAUACCGAGCCAGAAGUGACAUCUCAGAAACAUGAGAAGGUCCAUUCAUGCUUCUAUCAUCAUGUUAUGAUUCUCGACCGACAGGAGACAUGCGAAAAAUAAUACUCCCUCCGUUCUUAAAUAUAAGACCUUUUAGAGAUUGUCUAUAAACUACAUACGGAUGUACAUAGACAUAUUUUAGAGUAUAGAUUCCCUCAUUUUGCUCCGUAUGUAGUCUCCUAGUGAAAUCUUUAAAAGGUCUUAUAUUUUGGAACGGAGGGAGUAGUCAUGAAAAUAGAAACACAACAAACUCCGUGUUUUAUAACAUAAUAAUAAAAAUGAAAACAAAAACUGGUAAUAUUACACUGCAGUAAACAGUAAACAAUUCUAGGAAGCAUAAAAUUCAGUAGCACACUACACACCAGAGCAUGCAUCUCUCACCCACAAGCAGGCACGCAUACAAAUAGUUCGAGUCUGGAGAGUACAGAUAAUAAUUAAAACACAUACAGAGAAGAGUGAAAUAAUCCAGCUUCUUUCCAGUUGACGAAAGUAAAUGAUCACUUGCUUAUGGAGUUGAGGCAGCAACAAACAGCUCCAUCUUCUUCCUGUCCAUGCAUGGCAUGGCUGGUGCUUAAACUCAGGAUCGUUGGGGUGCUUUCGGAGUUCUCUUCUCACUGGGCCUGGGUUGCAGACUUGCAGUCACCAUUCAGCUCGACAUUCUUCAACUUGGAAAGGUAGAGGAAUCGAGGAAUGGUCUCCAUUUUGGCGAAGGGCCAAACAAUCCACUCAAGGUUGGGAACUGUCCCAGUUUCGAAGGUAAUGUUAGCUAUGACGCUGUCAUCAACUACCAAGGACUUGAGGCUCUUGAACUCCUCUUCCUUGAAUAUGAGCCCGUUUCAGGCAUAUGAAUUGCGCCGAAGCCUGAGGCAACACAGAGCUGCACGUUUGCCAAGGAUGCACAUAUAGUCUUCUGCAACCCUCCUCCUCCCAACCCUAGCCGCCCCUCCCCCUCCCUUCCUCGCCGUCGCGUGAGGCAGCCGCCGGGCAAGCCCGGGGCGCCAAGGAUCGUGGCUGCGGGGCCUUGGCUCCCCUGCCUCUGCGAGAGGAACCCCGGAUCUAGAGCCGCGGCUCCAUGGUCGAGGCACGACAAGCUAGCAGCCGUGUGGACAGUGGAUCUAGCGUCCUGGCCGCGCGGGCGGUGGGAUCCAGUGGUCGUCGACGGCCGGCGGCGGCUUCUGCGGUGGCCGGUGCACGUGAUCUGGCGCAUCCCCUCCUCCCCUGUUCGGCGUGCGGGCUAGCCUGGUCGGGUCGCGCUUCCUAGGGUCGCCGGUUCUGUACAGGAGGCGAUGCUAGUGGUGGGGAUCUAGUUCGGGCGAAAUCCCUGGCCGGCCAUGGCCGGCCGCAUCGACGGCGACGCCUGAGGGCGCCGUUCCCCUCCUUGGAGGCAUCGGUAUGGACUGAUCCCCUCACUUCCCCUCCCCCUAGGUCUCCCGGGCGAAAGCCCUAACUUUGUUGGGCGGCGGCGGCGCUCACGGUGUCAUUCCCUUCUUAAAGGUGUCGCUUUGGGAACCUUGGGGCUGGGUGGCGCUUGUGGGUGGUGGGCGACGGCGAUGGUGCGGCCCUAUCCUAGCAUGGAUCUGCGUCCAUUGUUUGAAGAUGGACUCGCGUAGGUGGAGGUCGUCGUUUGGCGUCAUGGUGGCGUCGAUGGCGGAGGCACCUGUCAAGGCUGGCACGUCAAUCUGCUGUGAAGAUGAACCGGUGGAAGAUGGUGGCGGCAAUACAUGUGAGUGCGUCAGACCGGUUUAUGCCCCGGACCCGGUAUGUGGCUCGGUCGGGGCCUCCGGCUUUAGAUGUUAGGCUUAGUGAGAGGUCUGGGUAUUUGGCCCAGAUUGCACCCUUCAUCAUAUGGACAGGAGUAACGGCAGAUGUUGUCAACAUGACAGAUUCAGACAUAUUGUUGUAUUAUUUUGUAAGGUCCUCGGAAAUAAUCAAUAAAAUAAUCGCAUGCAUCUUCCAAAUACGGAGACCGAGGAUCAUCCUCCUUUUCUAAAAAAAAUUAUAGUCUUCUGCCAGGUAAGUCAUGCUCAUUGUUAGCAUAGCAACUCCCCAUUUUUCAAGUUUAGGAGCCCUCUGCUCCAAAUUUCAUUCAACAUCAACAACUAAAUCGGGAAAAUCGUACAUAUUUUAUGAAACCAUGUGCGAUGGCUCGAAUCCAUAGUCAAUCCUACUUUCGAUAGGACCGGUUGACAAUUGAAUCUAAUUUUUUCUCAUUAUUUGAUUAUCCAUAAUAGUGCGUAAAGAAAGUCCGGAGGAAGAGUGGCCUUGAGUUUCUCGUCCCUUUGCCUUAGGAUUUGUUAAUUCUCUUUCUCGAUGGGACGGGGAAGGGAAUCCGAUUGUCGGCUUUUUUUUUCCUCUAUUGAUGUUCUACGAACAAGAAUCUUUUUUUUCCGAAUUAAAUGGAGAAUCCAGGAUCUUUUAUGUUUUUUACCUUACUAUGUCGCUAGAUACAAAACAAUAAAAUAAAUAUUAUAUAUACAAAAAUACAGAUUUUGAUGAAAUUCAACAAUGUACUACUCCCUCCGUCUCAUAAUAUAAGACGUUUUUGGACGCUACACUCAAUAAAAAUGAACAGCACAUAUAUAGCUUUAGCGGUGAACCAAGAUAGUACAAGGAAAAUCGAAUACCACACUACACACCAGAGCAUGCAGCUCACACACAGACAUGCAGGCACAAAUAACAAUCCAGGUCUGGAGAGUACAAAUAAUUAAGCAAACAAACAAAUGCACCCAGGAAAGGUGCAUGAAUUACACAAGACAGAUAGAAUUCAGAUACAAUGAGGAGCGAGACUGAAAGAUGGUCAGGCACUCCUACAGUCAGCUGCCUCUUUAUUCAGGAUGAUAAAUGAGUGGGGCAAACACCGGGCGAAACAAAUUUCCAGUUGAUGGAGAGUAGUCCAUCAGUUGCUCACAGAGAUGGAGGCAGCAACCGUAGCUCCAUCUUCUUGGUGUCCACGGCCUGGCUUGUGCUUGAAAUCAACACUGUCUGGCAGCUCUUCAUAUACUUGUUUCACUAUAUCUGGGUCGCAGUCACCAUUGAGCUCGAGUUUCUUUAACUUGUCAAGCAAGCGUACUCCAGAAAUAGACUCCAUUUUGGCGAAGGACCACACAAUCGUCUCGAGCCUUGGAGUUGCUGCUGUGUCGAAGGUAAUGUUGCUGAUGACGUCGUCGGUGACAACGAAUGACUUGAGGCUCUUGAACUCUCCAUCAUUGAAUGUGAGCCCGCUUCCGGCAUAGGUAUUGCGCCGAAGCCUGAGGCAACGCAUAGCUGCAAGCUUGCCAAGGAUGUGUAUAUAUUCUUCCUCCAGGUAAGUCUCGCUCAAUGUUAACUUGGUAAGUUGAUCAAGCUCUGCAAUCCACAAGAGGAGCCCACUUCUAAUGCCACUAAUGUUCAGGCUCUGAAGAAGUUUUGGAGGUGAAGCUAAUGGAAGAGUAUCCUCGGCUUUGGGUGCUUUGUUGAUCUGGAUUGACAAGGAGCGCAGGCAACCGUGUAAUUUUUCAAUCUGUUGGAAUAGAACACCCAAGCCACCUUUCUCAGCGGAAAGAAUCACACCCAGUUUCCUCAGCCGCAACAGAUGACCAACAUCAGUUAAAUCAUUAACAUUGCCGGGAGCUUCAACAUGGGAUAGUGUCUCCAAUUUUUCCAUUCCUUUAAUGCCUCUGGGAAGGCGCACGGCCAUAAUCAAAUCCUGAGACCCAUCGGAGCUGUUGCGGGAAGACCCUUUUGGGCCAGAAAGCAGAUGCUUUAGCACUGGAAGCAUGAUUGAUCUAGUGGUGAAGGCCCGUACCGCUGUCUGCCGGAUGUCCAAGGUUUCCAGACACUGCAGCUUCUCGAUCUGCUUGGGUAGUUUAGUGAUAUCUGUGUUCCUGAGGCUCAAAUACUUCAGCAGUAUUAUUUUACAGAUGCUCUUCAAAUGUUGCUUCUUUAAGCCCCUGCAACCUUCUAGAUCCAACAUCUUCAUAAGCUGCCACUGAGAUGACUUUGCCAAGUAUGGUAGAAAUGCUACAAUGCAUUGCUAUCAGCUGCUUCCACAGAACGGUCCGCACGAGAUGGCUGCAAUUGCACCCCAGUUCUGCUGUGAACGGGGAGGUGGCGAGCCAAAUCGGGCGGUAGGUCCGUGUCCACAAAGUUUACAUCUCUAGCAAUCCUGUUGAUGACUUCACGAACAAUGCGAUGCAAUGUAAAGGUCUUGAUCUUUCCCGUGUCACCGAUCUCCACAGGUUGAAUGAGAGCUCUUGAGAGGAGUGCAUCGAAACAGGAAUCAGCUUCAUCUUCUGCACGAUUCUCCCUUGACCUUAUCAACCCUUCAGCUAUCCAUCUUCUACACACGGUUGUUCUCCUAAUGGGGUCACUUUCUGGGAAGAUGGUUAGGUACAACAAGCAGCUCCUGUACUUGGCAGGCAGGUCAUUGUAGGAGAUCUUCACCAUUUGCUUUCCCACACUUUUGUUUGCGUGCCGACAACCCUUUAAGGUUUCAUUGAUGUGGUCUAACUGCGUUUUACCUCUUCCAGGGUUUGCAUAUACAAGUUGUUGGAACAUCUUCAUUGCAAAGACAUCGGGGUGACAUAAUCGUAAAAUACUACCUAUAUCAUAUUCACCACCGCAAGAAGAACUAACAAGCUCAUUGGUAUUACCGUAGAAAGCUAAAAAUAGACUUUUUAGUCUGAGGAUUUUACAAGUGGACUCUACUAAAUCAGGAUCCCAUGUGGUAAUGACUAUAGCACUACCACGAGAGCCUUGAGCAGUAACAUGUAACAGAGCAGACCUUAUGUUAUACCACUCUCGACUAGAAACUUCUGCAAGAAUGAUCAAGGAUCGUUUACCUUUGAGGAACCCCUCAAGUUUAUUGGUGAGUUGCAUGGCCUCAUCCUCCUUGUCAUCACCCAGUGAUGUUUCAGUACUUUUCUCUGCUUCCACCCUGAGCACGUCUUCUUGUUCAGCUGGAUGGGGCGCCACUUGGUGUAGUAUUUCCUGCAGUAAUACGACCACAGAAUCCAAUUUGAUCCUGUUGACCCAGGCUUUGCAACUAAAUGAGCUGAUUUCCUGCUCAUAUAGUUUCUUAGCCAUAAGAAUUGUGAAAUCAUCAUCCCGGAUGUACUCAUAUAUAUCACUGUAUUCAAUGUAUUCGUAUUCAUCCCAGAUCAUCAGGAAUAUCCUCGGGCGUGAUUCCCUGUUUGCCAACUCCUCAACAGCUCCUUCCUCACACUCACACAACACGGACUUGAUGGUCUCAUCCAUGAUUUUCUGUUCAUAAGUCACUUUGUCAUCCGACCACGAACAUCUGACAAGAAGAGCGCGUCUCCGAGCAUCUUCCUCCUCGGCUUCAGGUCCAUCUGGGGCUUGUACAUCCUCAUUCAUGAACAUCUCACCUUCUUGGCCAGCAGCCGGUGGCACGGUGAUACCGUACCUCAGCUGCUUGUGGCCCACAUCAUGCGCCUUGACCUUGAGCUCCCGGAUCCGUGUUGCAAUCUGGUGCCGCUCUGGGAUGGUGCGCACAUACCUUAUGAUGGACUAUGUACACAUGACCGAGACACUCUCCGGUCAAUAUUCAAUAGCGGGACCUGAACGUUCAUAUUGGAUCCUACAUAUUUUACGAAUAUCUUAUCGAUUGAACCUCUAUGUCAAGAAUUCACACAAUCCCGUAUAUCAUUCCCUUUGUCCUUCGGUAUGUUACUUGUCUGAGAUUCGAUCGUCGGUAUCGACAUACCUAUGUCAAUCUCGUUACCGGCAAGUCCCUUUACUCGUUCCGUAAUACAAGAUCACGUGGCUAACUCUUUAGUCACUUUGCUUGCAAGGCUUGUUUGUGAUGUUGUAUUAUCGAGUGGGCCCCGAGAUACCUCUCCGUCACACGGAGUGACAAAUCUCAGUCUUGAUCCAUGCUAAUUCAAUGAAAACCUUCGGAGAUACCUGUAGAGCACCUUUAUAGUCAUCCAGUAACGUUGCGACGUUUGAUACACGCAGGGCAUUCCUCCGGUGUCAGUGAGUUACAUGAUCUCAUGGUCAUAGGAAUGUAUGACAUGCAGAAAACAAUAGCAACAAAAUGACACGAUCAUAUGCUACGUUUAUAGUUCGGGUCUUGUCCAUCACAUCAUUCUCCCAAUGAUGUGAUCUCGUCGUCAAGUGACAACACUUGUCUAUGGCUAGGAAACUUUAACCAUCCUUGAUCAACAAGCUAGUCAACUAAAGGCUCACUAGGGACAUUGUUUUGUUUAUAUAUACAUGUAUUUAUGUUUACAUUCAAUACAAUUAUAGCAUGGAUAAUAAACGAUUAUCUUAAAACCGGAAAUAUAAUAAUAACUUUUUAGUAUUGCCUCUAGGGCAUAUUUCCAACAGUAAUAUGCCAAGUGUUUGAAAGAAGGAGUUCAAUUUUUCAUACUCCCCUCCCCAAUCGGAUUGGACAACAAUGAUCUUACUAUCAAAUUUGUGUUCAACGAGUGCUUGAAAAUUGUGAAAGACUUGAAAAACAUCAGAUCUUUUCUUGAGGAGAUAGAUCCAAAAGUAUUUGUAUAGUCAUCAAUGAAGCUCACAUAAUAAGUAUGUCUAGCAACAGAACUAGGGGCAGGACCCCAAACAUCAGAAAAAAUGAGCUGCAAUGGUUUUGUAGACACACUAGUAGAUAUGGGAUAGGGCAAUUGAUGACUUUUAACCUUUUGACAAGAAUCACAAACUGUUUCAAGAUUACGCUCACCAACAUAGAGGAGCUUACUUUUCCUAAGCGCUUGUUCUACUAAAUGAAAAGAUGCAUGUCCUAAUUAAUCGUGCCACCUAGCUGAAGAUAGUUUGGUGACACCAUAAGCUCUUUUAUUGGAUCUCCUAAGCCUGGGAAUCAACGGGUAAAGCCCUCGAACACAUCUACCUCGAUAGAGAGUUUUCUUCGUGACCUGAUCCUUGAUACAUGCAAAAAAAUAAUCUAAGAUGGAAUUUUAGAUGAUUUAUAACUGAAUGACCAACAUGCUGAAUCCUCAUACCUGCUCCAUUUGUGGUGUGGAUAUGUUCUUGUACUUGAUACUUCUCCCUCAUCAUUACAUUUUCCAACUCAUUGGUGAUGUGGUUGGUAGCACCACUGUCGACGUACCAGCUAGUGUCGACUCCAUAGGAUACUUCUGCUCUAUUGGCUACUUUCUCAUCUUGAGAUGAGUCCUCGUCCUCCUCAAACCUGUACCAACAAUCUUUGGCAGAGUGUGCCAUCUUGCCGCAGAUCUGGCAACAAAUUGCAGCAGGACGUGAGUUGUUUUUGGAGCCGUUCCGACGACCCCUUUUAUUGUUGGAGGAGGGUCGCCCGAUGUUGUCAUCGCCGCCGCGAGGGUUAGGGCUGUUCUUACCCUUGUGCCGUGAUGAGCCACGGUACGUUGAGGAGCCGCCGCCACGACCACGAGCUGCGUUGGCGGAGGACUUGAAGGCGCCGUCGUUGCCCGAGCCGUGAAAGGGGACUACCCACCGAUUAAAAUUGCUCAUCAUGGCAAAAAGAUCUUUGAGGGAGACCGGUGCGGUGUGCACGUCGAGAGCGGACACGAGCGGCCGGUACUCCAUGUCCAGCCUAGCAAGGAUGUAGGAUACCAACUCAUCAUGCUUGAUUGGUUUUUGCACGACGACGAGCUCAUCACCAAGAGCACGCAUGUGCGUGAAGUAAGCCGUCGUCGACUGUUGCCCCUUCUGUGCGUUCGCCAGGGUGAUAUGCACGUUGUUGAUGUGGGCUAUGGACUGCAAUGAGAACAUGUUUGCAAGUGCAGUACAGAGAUCAUGUGCAUGGGCAAUCGAAGUUACCUGCACGAGGACCUCUUUUGACAGGUUGUUAAGCAGAUAUCCGAGUACAUGUUGGUCCUCCUUGUCCCAAACCUGAUGGAGAGAGUUUCGCGACGCUUCUUCCUUCCCGUCUUUGUCCUUGGUGACGACCAUCGGGGCGGGUUCCAGCACGGUUCCAUCGGCAUAGCCGAAGAACCCCGCACCUCGGAGCUGGGGCGUGAUCUGGGCACGCCAUAGCACGUAGUUGCUUCGGGUGAGCCUUUCCCUGAUCUGACCACUAAGACCGUUCUAGAAGACGCUGGAGGAGGACAUGUCGAAGCUCUUGGGUGGAGAUUGAAAGAUGGAUGUAAUGGAACAUGCUAGGCUCUGUAUACCAUGUGGAAGAUGGCGGUAAGCGUCAUGCUCUGUUGGGAGCCGCGCCUUCGUGUUAUAUUUUUUUAGAAAAGGAGGAAGACCCCCGGGCUCUACAUCUGAGCGAUGCAUGCAUCCAUUUUAUUAAUUAUUCACAAAAGACCUUACAAAGUAAUACAUCAGUAAGACUGAAGCCACCUCUAGGCAACAUAUGUCGCUACUUCUAUGCAGUUGAUGAAGGGAUGCUGAUAGUUUGGGCCUAAUACCAAACAGACCUCGCAACUAAACCUAACAUCUAAGACCUCAGGCCCCAACCAAGCCACCUGUCAGGUAUGGGGCACCCACCGGUCCGGCGCACACUGAGAGGUCACCGCCGCCAACUGCCACCAAUCCAUCUCCAGAACUAUACUAACGCAUCCACCUUGCCCGGUCUAGCUGCCGCCGACGCCACCACGACGCCAGACAGCGUCGCCCUCCUGCGCGAGUCCAUCUUCGCACAUCGGACGCCUAAUCACCAGGGCGCCACACCAUCGAGAUCCGUCGCCUUCAAUGUGCAGGAUGAAGCAUCACUCCACCGAAGAAAACAUCCACUAGUCCCCCGAGCCCGCGUACACCUCCAAGAAUGACGCCCCCAAGGGGGAGACGACACAAGCGCGCCGCCGAGCCUUCGUGUUAUAUAGCAGGGGCUUAUCCCUGAUAUGCAUACAGGUAGUUGAGAGGAUUACAACUUGAGAUGCAAGAAAGAUCUAAUGAGAGAAUAGAGACGACAACUAGCUAUGGCUACAAGAUUUAAAGCCUUUUACGAUGACAACAUGCUCUCUAUGUUCCACUUGCCACUGUCUGCUCAAGCUUACCAGGAGCUGCUUUCAGUUCAAUCUUUGCUUCAAGAUCUAGAUAUUGACCACCAGGCCUCUGACAGAUGGGUAUGGGGAAAGGAUGCUAAGGCCUACACAGCCAAGAGAUACUAUACUCAUAUUCACAGCAGUAUUACACCAAACCCUUUACUCAACUGGAUCUGGAAGAGCUGUUGUACCAUGAAGAUUACGAUGUUUUCCUGGAUGCUCAUCAUGGACAGACUUAACACCCAAGACAUGCUUGAACGGCGUCACUGGAAUGUUUCAGACUCCAAUCUCUGUGUUCUAUGCCAUGCUAGAGUCAAGGAAGACAGAGAUCACUUAUUCUUCAACUGUCUUUUCAGUACCAGGGUCUGGAAUUACCUGCAGAUCACAUGGCAGGGUCCAUCCAUGUGGAGUGCUACUGUAGCUGCUAAGCGAGACUUCCAUAACCCCUUUUUUGCUGAGGUGGUCUUCACUGCAUGUUGGAACAUCUGGACUGUCAGAAAUGCCAAGGUCUUUAACCAGGAGCAGCCAAAGUUCAGAAAAUGGAGAUCUGGUUUCAUCCAUGACAUUUCCCUGUUAGCUCAUAGGAUUAAGGCUAGUUUCAGGGAUGAUCUCUUUAAAUGGGUUUCCUUUUUGCCUCCUUGAGGUUUGUAACCUUAGCUUCCCAUCCCAUUUGUACAUUCUAAUUUCUUCUUGUACAUACUACUCUUAUUUAUGGGAAUAAAAGAAAAAAGGUUGUGGGGGGUUUUCCCUACAGUAGCCGGUCAAAAAAAGCUAUGGUUACAAGAUUUCCUAUAGCCAACAACCAUCCGUGACCGGCCCAAGUUACCUCCUCGUGCCAACUAACUCUGAUGGUUUAACACGAGGGUGUCCCCUCCUAACAGGCUAUUCUUUUUGGGGGAGAGGAUCCAAGUCCUCUCAUAAGUCGUGUUGUUCUUUGAUUGAGUCUGGUUGACGCGUGUGGGUAUGAAACGCUGAUGUUAGCGGACCCGGAAUUGUGUAACAACUGUCGCCUUCCUUGAUUUGAAGGUCCGACCGAUUCUUGACGAGCAGUUCAGCAAUGUCUUCUCUCUCGUAGAGAACGGGAUAGUGGAGCGCCGUUUGCCCUUCGUUAUCAUCUACUACCGUAUCGAAAUAUAAGAUGUGCAUCUUACACUAAAACGCGUCUAGAUACGUGCAGUCCAAAAAACGCUAAAACAUCUUAUAUUUCGAUACGGAGGGAGUACAUUUUAUUUUCUACGGUUUACAGUUAACAAAAGAACUGAUGUGAAGAAAGAAAAAAACAGCAAUCCACAUGGUGCAAGGUACAAGACUAGGUGAACUUGACUACACAUCAUCAAGGCAACAAUAAUGCACAUUUAGUAAAGUGCAAGAUGUCAUUGAUGUAAACAAACUUAUGAUUCAUUUCCUUGAUCAUCAUGGGCAUCGAAUGCUGCAAACUUCUUGGUGGAAUAUAUCUGCACAAAGGGCUAUGGGGAGUCUCUUUGUCCUCAGGUCUUCCCACGUCCAAGUAAUGCAGCUAUGGGCUACAUGUCACCCUUUCCUUUGAAGAACAAGACAUGUUCAGUAAAUUAAAUUUGACAACAAAAGGACUUGACAAGUGCAACGAAGCAGGAGUAAGGACUCAUGCAUCUACUAAAGGUUCGCAAGUUUUUUGUAAAUGUAUGUUACCUUUGCGCAAUUAGACAAUUCGUCACACGCCCAGUGCUUCCAUGCCCACUGGCUUGAAGAACAAAACAUAGAACAUGGUCAGUACAACAAAUAUGGCAAAACAAAGGAGAUUAAACUAGCGAGUAUUUCCCUUGAACUGAACAUUGGAACUAAAAAGAAGAAACAUGACAUACAAUACAGUGCAUGUAAGAUUGUAGGUGUCACCAAUAGGUUAGUACAACGUACUUUAACGAUGAUGAUUUAAGUUGAACUAUUACUGUCUUAUUUUUACUACGUACUAUGUAGGGAAUUUCGAACAAAAGGGAGGUAAAAGCUGGACACGAAACAAGUAUUUGCACAAAUACCUUAAGAGGAAUCUAGUAUUGAUCUGCUCUGCUUCUUGUAAGUUUGGACACUUCAAUAUCAGCACCUUUAUUUUUGACACUGCCUUUGCACCACCAAUUGAAACUAGGUCUGGAAAAUCCGAAAUCACCAAUUCCUCAAGUGAUGCAAGGUUACUGCACCAAAUGUGACCUGGAAUGGAUGUUAUACGGUUGCAUCCACCCAUGUUCAAUGCGACGAGGGAUGUGAGGUUCUGUAGGCAGCUGGGAACACAUGGAGAUAUAUCACCACAUCUCGUUAAGCGGAGACUUUGGAGAGAUGAAGGCAACACCAGCCCCCUUUGCCAGUUGAGGCUUGGACACACAGUGACCACCAGACGUUUUAGAUCAGUAAAACUCACAAACCUUUCACCGGGCAGGGACAAUAAAUUGCGACAAUAUUUGACGUUAAUUUCCUCAAUGGCAGGUAGAUAGUUUUGUGAUAGGAGGUCAUCGAGUGUUGACAUGUCACCACAUAUAACUGAUAGGACUCUAAGGGACGAGAAUGCGCCAACGCUUCCUGCAAUAGAUGUAAGAUGCCUACAUAGAACGCACAACUGCCAUAGAGAUGGAAGACUCCACGUAUCUAGUUGGAUGGACGUGACAAAAUCACAUGACAAAUCAAAGUAGGUAAGUGAGCAGCAGUCAAUAUUGGAAAAGAGACCAGAUUCAUGCAAACUGAGCUUCUUAAGGGACGAUGAUACCAAUCUUUGGGAGCAGAUGUUUGGACACUUGGCCACCUCCACUUCUUCGAGGAAAUGCAAAUCCCCAAACUUUUCAGUUGGUAUUGAUUUUAAGAUCUUGCAAUCUUUAAUUCUUAUUUUCUUGAUGGCUGGUACAUACUCUGGAUGCAGAAAAUGUUCGAGGCUUGAUAACAUGUAGCACCCAUCAAUGGUUAGGUCUGUCAGGGACAUGAAAAUACCAACUUCAGGUAUCUUAUUUAAGUUUAUGCUUUGUGAGAGCAUGUGAGAUGAUAUGCUCUCAAAUCCAACACAACCUACAAAAGUAAGUGAUUUUAAGCUUGGCAACUUUUGUGGCUGAAACCAGCUUGGGAGCGAGACACCGAUAUAAUUCUGGAGGAACAGAGACUUAAGACAGGUAGGAGGUUGCAGAACUUCAAGCAGUUCUCUCUCGUUGUUUAUGGAAAAACUGGGGAAGCCUAUAUAAUCAUGCUCGCGCAUAUUCAGUUCCAACCCACCAAGAUAUUUCUUAUUCUUUAGUUCUACUUCUGCUGCUUGAUCCUUACUUAGCAAGCGAACAUGAGUUAUCCCCAAGGAGCCACGAAAUUGAUUCAGAUUCUUCAACCUACUUCCUCUCCACCCAUCAGGUGAACCACAAAGAUACAUACGAUACCCAUCAUAAGAUUUUACUUCACGUGAUUCAAAUUUCCAUAAACUGGUCAGCUUACCAAAGUCACUGGGCAAGCUUUCUAGACUGCAGUUCUUGGCAUAUAAAAUCUGCAGAUGAUAAAGCCAACAAAAGGUUGAAGGGAUCCUCUUCAAAAGGCAAGCUCUGGAGAUUUCAAAGUACCGAAGAUGCUUCCAAUUGCCAAUACUAUCUGGUAACUCAUCUGUGGUGGCACAAGAAAUCACGCGCAUACGCGGAAGUUUGGUACACCAUUGUCCCAUUACAGAACAUGCUUUUUUCCUUAAAUCCUUCUUGCAAAUAAGGGUGCGCAACUUUGUGUACUUGCAUAACCCCAGCAAGCUGGAAUGGUCAAUGUCACUACUAGGGAGUACAUACAGAUGACGAACAUUCUGGGGAACUUUAUCAAAGUCACUCUUACUUCUUAAGAUGCAACACUCGUGUUUUGAAACCAUUUGUGCCAUGUCAUGUAACAAGUCAUGGAUAACAUAUCUACUGGCGGCUUUUUGAAAGAAGGACCGUGUUACAAGGUCUUCAAAAUACUGACAACCAAUGUCUUGAAUAGGAACACUGCCUUGAGGAUCCACAAAGCCUUCUGCUGCCCAAAUUUCAGCUAAGCGUGCCUUCUCAAACUUGUAAUCUUUGGGAUACAGAGCACAAAAUGCAAAGCAUUUUUUCAAAUAGAAUGGUAAAUACAUGAAGCUCAAUCGAAGGGCAGGCAAAAUGUCAGUCUCCUCUUGUUUCAACUGCCACAGUUCACUCUCAAGUAUAGAAUUCCAGUGCGAUGCUUGAAGGUCCAUUCUUAACAUGCGCCCCAAAGUUUUGGCAGCCAAAGGAGAACCCUUCAGUUUAGGAAGUAUACUUCUACCAAUGUGCUCUAACCCAGGAUCAAUGUUAGAAUCAUCAGAUCCAAAUGCGCACCAUUUGAAGAAAUUCCAAAAGACAUCGUCUUUCAGUCCUUCAACUAUAAUGGGUUCCAUUGUGUGCACCCCUUCAGUAACGUUUGGACAUCUAGUGGUGACCAACAUCAUACUUCCCUCUUGGACACUUCUGAAAGGUGCACAAAAUCUCUUCCAACACUGCCCAUUUUCCUUCAGAGCAUCAUCCCACAUGUCAUCAAGGACAAUCAAUAACCUUUUGUUAUUCACACGGUUAAAGAGGGAACGCUGAAGAGAAUCCAAAUUAUCGAUUGUUGUCUCUUUUCCGGUACAGGAUUCAAUCACCUCUUUUGUUAGCCUCUUCACAUCAAAGUCAUCGGAGACACAAAUCCAAACUAUGAGGUCAAAGUGAGAUUUCACUCGUUGAUGGCUGCAAAUAUGUUGGGCCAAAGUAGUCUUUCCAACACCACCAAUUCCAACAAUCGGCAAGACGUGGAGACUAAAUAUUCUUGAUUCGUCACUUGCAUGGUUGCUUGCUGAUUUGCUCGUUGAUGCUUUGGCUGAACUAGUUGCCCUCUUGCGUUUUGGAAAUGUAGGUACAUUGAGAAACCCCAAUAGCUGCUUUAGUUCCUUGUCACGACCAAAUAUUUUCAUUUCAUUAGGAAAAGAUGUGAUCUCGGGCCUGACUAAUUUGUCAAAGCAUAGUGUAACUCCACGUGGCACUGUAUUCUCUAGCUGACUUGAAAGAUGAUUCAACCUCAAUUGGACAUCAUUAAGUCUGUUAAAGCUGCCUUCGAUGACUGCAUGAAAGAAAUCAGUGAAAGGAGAUUGGCUUGCAUUUCCCUCCAGUUGCAUCUUUUUCUCAUACCAGCUGAACUCAUCAACAAGGUCCUCAGCCUCAGCCACGGCAUCCUUGAGAUUAGGAAGGAGUUUGCCCACACCAUGUUCGUGGCUUCUCCACUCUGCUCUAUUAACGAGAUCGUACAUUGCAGGAAGAGUAUCCCUGAGACCUUGUAGGCCACUCUCCAACUGCAACACGUGAUCCUGGAGACUUUGCUCCUGUAAUCCACUCCAUCGGGAGUGCAGAGAUGAAAUAGCAGACUUGGCCCAUUGAAAGAAAGUGACACAUUCGUUGAUAGCCCCAACGAGCCCAAUGGCUGAUACGCUCAUGGUGGCUGGUAUUUGGGCGUUCAUUUCUGUCAUGCAAGCAAGCAAAAUUAGCAUCAUGGAACUAAUUUUUGUAGUCAAAUUCUUUAACAAGUCGACUGUUGAUAUGCCAGAUACGUUUGCACCCAAAAAAUCCCAUCAAAACUAGUUUCAACAGAUACUCCAAAAAGUUAAGAGAAACAUCAUGAAAUGAAAAUAAAGCUAUGAAGUUAUAGUAAUAUGUCUUAGCAAUGAUUAACAAAGAUACUUGUACGUGAACCAUACACUGGGAUAUUCAACUAAAAUUUAUGCACACAUUUUAUGAAAUGAUGAGACUCUGGAAGCAGUACAUGAAGGACCAAAUUGUCUUAACCACAUCAUCAUAACAUAAUUUUCAAAGCUAAAAUAGAUUUCUGGAAGGAACGCAUAAGAAUAAAUGAAUCCGUAGAAGAUAUCAAGGGGCCGUGCUCACCUGAGCUGGAUCCAAGCGUCCUGCUUGCCGCCGACGAGAGCAGCAGCAGGAGCGGAGGGGAGCCAAAUAACAAUCUCUUUGGAAAGAUUCAAGCCUCACACUCACAGCUUCUGGGCGGAAGAACCAACCAUAUGGUAACGGCGGGCUCAUAGGUUUGUCCGCCCGCGGAAAAAACGAGGUGAGGUUCUAUGAUAUCAUCAUGGUACCUUGAGCUUACGAUGCUAGCUGCUCUUUCAGUCUUUGUUGCAUGGUCCGUCUCGCUCCUUAUUGUUGCUGACGGAUGUAUCCAGGAAAACAUGUUCAGCUUGUAAACUACCUACUACUCCCUCCGUUCUUAAAUAUAAGACCUCAUAGAGAUUUCAUUAUAGACUACAUAAAGAGCAAAAUGAGUGAAUCCAGUGGCGGAGACAGCACCCGGCGGGGCUGCUGCCCGGGCUCCCAUGGGGCAUGUGAAUGGAGCUCUAGUAGUGAAACAUGGUUUACUUCAUAGUUUUUUGGGCAAAAUCUAAUUAACUUGGCAUCAUGUAUAUCUUGCCCAGGCUAUAAAUUUGAGCUGGCUCCGCCACUGAGUGAAUCUAUACUUUAAAAUAUGUCUAUAUACAUCCAUAUGUAGUCCAUAUUAGAAUGACUAUAAAGUCUUAUAUUUUGAAAUAGAGGAGGUAGUAUAUAUCGAUCAUUUAAACCUCCAACACUACACGGAACGAUCUAUCCAUGUGCGCUGUGAAUAAUUAGUUAUUGUGAAAUUUAAAUAUUAUUUUAUAGUUUACGCAUCCGUUUUUUUUAACGAGGCAAAAGAUUUGCCUUCCCUAUUAAUUAAGAAAAUAAAUUAUUCAGUUAACUAAUAAAAAACCGGACAAAAACCAAUACAACUCAAACGACACUCAACUGCGACUAGACAUCAUCCCACAAAUGACGGAGAGAAGACGCCAUGACUACUAUGAGGAGGUGCUUGUGUUGAGGUAAAGGGUCCGUUUAAACCCAUAGCCUCCAUUCAGAGAUCGGAGCACGAAGACUAUGUGUCCUCGUGACUUCGCUAGCAACCAUGAUGGCCCUCAAAACGCGCACCCAUCUGCCCUUCGUCGGCAGCGCGUUCACCAUGCUCACCCCUCCCUCCUGUGGCUCACCAUUCUGGAUGCUUGUCGGUGAAUCGUUGGAGUAUACGACAAGGGGCUUCCCUCUCCGUGCUCUGAUACCCCUAUCUCGUCCAUUGGCCCGUCGGAGAUCCGCCUCUAGGACUUCGUGUCCCAGGCUCUCGCUCGCCCAUCGCCUUUCCCCCAUCACCGCUCAUCGUUCGCACACGGGGCACAUCCCCAUUACCUGCUCCUGCCAUGAUCAACUAGGGUGGUUUUGCCAGCGCUGUGUUCAGAUCUGGAGUGCCCAGAACCACGAUGCUUUCCCUCCGCUUCCCUAACACUCCCAUGCACGUCUUCCGCUGGUGACAUCGCAUGUCUCCCAUCCCUUGUUGUCAGGAGUGUGUGUUGGCUCGAUGGUGGUGCAUAUCUCCCAUCGACGCUGGCGGUGCGUGCAUUCUAGGGCAGAAACGUGUUGACCGUGGUCUGGACCGAGCCAUGGCCCAUCCUACGCUCAUGGGCCCGUGUGGCAACCCUAGGCCCACACCAGAGAUUGGUGGCCUGGUUGGCCCACCCUUUCACCCAUCUUCUGGCCUACCACCUCUCCCGUGCAGAUCCAACCUUCCGCACCGUUCGUCUCUCAUCGGAGGACCCGCCCUGGUUUCACGCACUCCUGUCCCACUCCGCCCAAUGGUAUAUAACUGGUAGUGGUUUCCUAAGAAAACCCUAAUCCUCCCUUCUCUGACGUUGUUUCCCUUCCCAUUCCACCUCCAUGGAUCGCAACCGCUCGACUGGCCACACCGUCAGUAGUGCAGAAAAGCCUAGCUAUGGCGUGGCAAUAAUGGACUUCCUGACGUGGACACCCGACGCCAUCAAUAUGGCGUUAGAACUUAAUGGUGGCGUCGGAGAUGACGCCGACAGUAUUUUCAAUACCUAUGGCGUUGGACAAAGUUGCAUGCCGACAUUUUCAUAUUUAGCUAAUUAAAAAAAUACAUAGCAGUGGAAACUUAUUACAUAUCUGUAGCAGUAUAAACAUAUAUACUAAUUUUCACCAAAAUGUUAGUACUGAUGAACUACCUUAUUCGCAAACUAAACGUUUCAGCAAUUCACAAAUGAUACUACCAACUUCACGAACUAAAAACAUUUCACCAAUUGACAAAGGAAACUACCAACUUCACAAUGGAUAGAUCUGCCCCUCUCAACACCUUAUCUGGACAAACUUCAUCUCAUGGACCUUAUUCCUAUGGAUGUGCCCCUCCAUGAUGUAAUGGGCUUUAUCCGUCUUCAGUUGAGUCCUCUGGGACUUCAAGACUUGUAUGUGUCAUGGUAACGAUUCCGACAAUAGAAAGGGGGUAGGAUAAAGGAGCAUGAUCUAUCGAGAUGCACAUGGGUGACAUGGUGGUUUUAGCGAGUUUCGGCCUCUCACAGUGGAGAUAACAACACUACGUCUCGUGCUCCGGAGAGGCUUUGUUUUAUCUGUCAUGGACAUGAGUUACAUGGUAUAGAGAGAGCCAGAGAGCCAGGGAAAGAAUGAGCCCGCAGGGGGAGAAGAAGAUGGCCCUUAGCUGUGUGGAGGGGGUGGCUUAUAUAGAGUGCGCCACCCCUUCACCUCUUAUGUUACAAGAUGGGGCAUUGAUGUCAUAAUGUCAGCCCACUACAUAACCUCCUCUAUGCUUCAACUGCCUUGCCGACUGUUGGUAUUUGCAUAUCCGAGUGAGUCAUACGGCCGAGUGGUGGACUGUCAUCCGAGUGGAUCCGUAUCGAGUGGAUUAGAUGUUGUCGCGAUCAAGCCAGGAUUUCCCUUGUAGUCCUAAUAAUGAGGCGCCCUUUCCCUUUGGUAGGACAUAUAGGUCAGGCCUAUGACCCUACCCUAGGGUUGUAUCCCCGUCAUUAGUCCCCGAAUGGAUCAGGGUCAGAGUGGUGAAGGUGUCGAUGUAAAUCUUGUAGCAGCAGACCGAACUUGAACGUGCUACAGGGCCUUACAGAAUUGUUCGUCGAUUGAAGUAUCCAUCAUUCGCCCUAAUCGAUUCCGCUGAGUAGUACGUCCGAGUGAACUUGAGAAUUGAAGUAGAUCCUUACAGAAUUGUGCGUCGAUUGAAGUCUCCAUCAUCCGUCCUAAUCGAUUCCGCUCAGUAGUACGUCUGAGUGAACUUGAGAAUUGAAGUAGAUCCGAGUGACGAACAGGAUCUUGAGACUCUGACUGAUUGCUUGUAAUGCCCCAAAGUGUAACUUGCCAUAUUUGGAACCUUCAUGUGUGGGUCCAUGAUGUCAUUGCCUUGUGAGUUAUAUGCAUGUGUUAUUUCAUGUGAUCAUACCUUGUCUCCCCUUUGCAUUCAUGCAUCCAUAUCAUUCAUGCCUUCAUUGUGUUUGUUGUUGUUGUGGAUCCUUGGAUGUGGUAUGUGCUGUUGAUGUGCCAUGUGAUGAUGAAGUGGUGUUUGAGAAUUGGGUUGCAACUAUGUUAGCUUUCAACUAGGUUUCAAAACCCCCCUUCUCUAUUUUCUCAUGCUCAAGUUUUACUUGCUCUAACCCUGGUUCAAAAAUGUUUACAUUUUAGAGUGUUUUGUGGUGGAUGUGGUGCUAGGCCUAAUGUGUUUUGAAACUAUGUUUGAGAGGGGUGUUUAUUCACAAAACAAAUUAUUUAAUUCUGUUUUGUAAAUAUUUAAGUGCCCCAAAAAUCCUCUUUGCAUUUUAUUUAUUUGGGGCAUAAUUCCCUUAUGCCCAGGGAGAUGUUGUUUUAUAUUUAGGUUCAUAGGUUUUCCCUAGGAGUUUAUUUGUUUGCUGGCCUUGUUUUAAAUAGAAAAACCCAGUGGGUUUUUCCUUUCUUACCUGGCGCCUCCGAGUGGGCCUCCUCCUCCUCGCAGGCCUAGUAACCUCCUCGCACGACAUCCCUCUCCUGUUGACGCCGUCUUCCUCUUCCCCCUCCUUUCCGUCAGACUUUCAGAGAAAGCGAGACAGAGAGGUCGACGCCGUGGCUCACGGACGUCGAAGCGACCUCCCUCGCCCCCUAUUUAUUCCUUGGCGUCCGGGUUGUGUGCUAGGGUUCCUCCAAGUGUCGCCACCUCCUUUCCCUUCUUCCUCCUCCCUCUCCCUCGUUAACAAAAGGUAGGCGAGCUCCUCCUCCGCCAUGGCCGAUCCUUGAUGAGCUCGUCACCAUCGACAGCGCGUUCCUCCUUCCUCUCCAAGCAGUCCAGGAGCACGCGGGACCUCAGGGGAGCCCGUUCCCGUAGCUGAUCGAAGACGAACGCCCCUGCUUCCACUACUUCGACGAGGACCCCUUUUGCUCCGACGACCACCUCCGCAACGGCUUCUUCUUCGACGUCUCCUUCUUCCCCUCCGACAGGCAUGACCUCCUCGUCCAGUGGGUGAGCAGAAGCACUCCUCCCCCUUCCCCCUGUCGCAGAUCGCGCGUAGAGCCGUAGCAGCGCCACUGUGUUUCUCUCUGUCGCCGGCGCCGCCGCGUGCUCGUGGAGCAGUAGUGGUAGUGCGUCUCACGCCGUGUUUAGUGGUGGAUUGGAACCGUGAGAGUCCCCUCUUCCUUCCAGCAACGAGCCCGUGUCCAAUUUGUAGAGGAUCACCGGCGGUGUUCCUCCCCUGUUCCGGCCACCGUCGGGCUAUAGCAGAUCUAGAGGGGGUUGCUCAAAAGAGCAAAGCCCCUCUCUCUGUUAACAAUCGAACGCGCAACACAGUGGUAGGUGGGGUUUUGCAGAUCGACAGGUCGUGGGUUCGAAACCCAGUGGCACCCCUUUUGCUUAUUUGUUUUCUGUGACACAGUAGCAACAGAGUGAAGCAUAUCUUGCUUCUUCUCCCCUAUUUGUUGAGCCAAGAGGUGCAGCGCAGUGGUAGAGUUGUUUGUGCUGUGCACAUGAGGGCAUGUGUUCGAAUCCCCUCUGUCCCCCUUAUUAUUUUUAUUUCUUUUUGUGUUGCUUGUUGAUGUUUCAAUCUAGCUGCUUCAUAUCUUGCUUGAGCAGCAAGUUGAGGUGAUCAUACCUCAUAUCGAGUAGGUUUGCAAGUUUGUUUAUUUUGCUAGUGUGUUGGUAGGUGUAUGUCCAUGUGUUGAUGUAGAUGUGAGUAUGUAUGUGGUGUGUGUGUAUGUGUGCUUGUGCAUUGUGCACUAGUGCAUGUGUAGGAGUAGUGUGUUAUUGUGGUUGCAAGCACACCCAUGUGUGUGUGUGUGUUUGUGUGGAUGGCCUUGUGAGAGUGAACUCAUAAGCAUGUGAAGUUGUGUAUGUGUUAGAAAUAGCAUGUGUAGGUGCUAGUGUGUGCAUGCUUGUUUGUAUGUGAGUGUGUAUGGUGAUCGGUUGUGGCACACAUACAUGAGGUCCAUCCCUCAUGUUCACCUUUGGAGUUGUGAGUGUGUGCAAGUGCAUGUGUAGGUGAUGAACUAGUGAGUAUCACAUAUGAUAUGGCACUAUUUAUGACUAUGUGAUUCCAUGUAGUUUUUCCUUUCAACUUUGUGCCUACAUGUUGUAUGCAAGUACCUAGGUAUUAUAUAUGUUUUUGGGGUAGAAUCAUCCCAGGAAUCCAUUGGUGAAAUCAGAUUUCCCUUUGGAACACUUUCUGGAAAUGCCAUUUUUCUGUUUUGAUCUAUGUUUAGAGCUUGGUGCCAUGUGGUGUGAUGAGCCUAAGAGGAUGAUUCCUUGAUGUGGCAGUAGUGGCUGAAAUCCUCUACAGCAUGGUGGUUUUGUUUCAUGCUUAAGAGUUUAUAUGUGCAAGUUGUGUCUUGUCAAAGUAGGCAUGUGGCUGAAAUUGACAGCUUGGUGAAAAUCUAUGAUUUUCACUAAGUCUCAGAAACUGUUGUUAUUUUCUUCCCUUGUAGUUGUGGUUGCAAAAGUUCAUGUGUUGGGAAUCAGCCCUUGCAAUCAACUAAAGAGUUGGAGAUUUUAUGUUUGUCUAGCUCUCUGUUAAUUUUCAUGCACUUUCACUUCCUGUAGAUAUUGUUUUGGAGGCUGUCAAAAUGCUUCAGAGCAUAAACAGCUGGUGAGAAUCUGAGAUUUUCACUAAGUCCCUGAAAUCUGUUAUUUUUAUGCAAGUUAGCACCUGUAGAUCUUUCUGUGUGUAACUCCUUUGUAUUAUCUUCUUGCUCAUGCUUGUAGAGCUUUUGAAUAGCUUUUGCCACAUAUCUUGUUUGGCACAUUUGGGUGGUUGUAGGUGCUUUGCAUGUUGCUCUCAAACUGCUAUGAUGCUGUUUAGGACAGAAUGCAUAGUUUUGUUGUUUUAAAGCUUGUGAGUGCAUAGUUGGUGGUGUGGUGAGUUUCUUUGCACCACCCCACCUAUACUUGUUUGUUUGAUCAUGUGGCAACCUGGGAAUACCAGAAGUGUGCCAUUGGAGUGUGCUUGUGGUGGAUUUGAUCCGUAGAACUCCAUAUUUUGUUUCGUAGUUUUCGGUUGAUCUAUAGCUCCGUUCUCAACAUUCUUUAUAUGUUUUUGCAUCUUUUCUCGUGAUGCACCUGUUCAUGUCAUCUUCAUGCAUGUCAAGAUAGCUUAGAGUGAAGUUCUGUCCAGAAGUUUGUCUUUUCUUCUCAUGCAUAUGCAAGUGACUAGAUUAGAGAUGCAUGCUUCAUUCUCAUCUCAUGCAUCAUGUGUUUGUUGCAUCAUGUUGUGUUGUUGUUCAUUGGCUGUUGUUUUUAUAUUGGGUAGCACCGGGAUCGGAGAGCGAGUACGUGGAUUCGGGAGAGUACGUGCAGGACGAACAAGAGUAGUUCCAAGUUGAAGACAUCACAGGCAAGAUGAUCGUGACCUUGAUACCGUAUCUAGCUUUGUUAUGCAUAGAUUCACGUUUCCUUCGAUUAUGCUCGCUGCCUACCACCUGAUAUAAUUGCCUCCUAAUAUUGCCAUGAAACCCAAACACCUUCCCCUCCUAACUAAUGUUGUUUGGCUAAGUAGGCAUGCUCAGCUUCUAAUGUUAGCGUUGCUAGUUGCAGGUGUCAGCUGUCUCAUGUGAUAACAUGAGUUUUGAUAUCAUUAUGUUUUAAACUGCUAUUUAAUUAAUGCACCUAUAUACUUGGUAAAUGACGAAAGGCCUAGCCCUUUGCCGGGUGAUUUGUUCCGUUAUUGCCGCCUUAGUUUCCGGCUACAGGUGUUUGAUUCCAUAACUGAUCGUUCCUAACACGUUCGGGGUUGUUAUGGGGACCCCCUUGAUAAAUCGUGUAGUGCUAAGACUUGUCCAGCAGGACCCAACAUUGGUUUUAAUUUGCUAACCACCUAAUAAUAAUUUGCAUAGGGAAUAGCUACCCCGAGGAUUUAAUCAACAACCCGGGCCAGUGCUCCUCAUGAGUGUUGGUCCCACCUGAGCGAUGUCCGGGCCCCCCUGGUCACCCAGAGGUUUAGCCAUCUCGAUGUCUAGCUCAUCCGUCGUGUUCUGAGACUGAGAUACCCGACUCUUAUCGGGGUCGUCGACACGACGGGAGGUCCUGCUAGUCUUGUCUUACCUUAGCGAUAUAUCUUGCGUAUAGGAAUCCCGGUGAAGCUUUGGUUCUCCCCAGAGUUGAGGUUUUCCUCUAAGGAAUCGACGAGAUCACGAGAUUCGUGAUAGAGGAUUACUUUGCGGCCCGUGACCGUUUUUGAUGGACUAGUUGGAGCACCCAUGCAGGGUUUAAUCUUCCGAAAAGCCGUGCCCACGGUUAUGUGGCAACUUGGAUUAUUUGUUAACACCCGGUGAUAGAUAACAUGAAUUAACUCUAAUAAAACUGACAACCGUGUGCGUAACCGUGAAUGUCCCCUUCGAAGACCUCUCUUCGAUCGGGAACACGGUGGGGUUAUGUUUGACGUAGGUAGGCGUUCAGGAUCACUUAGUGAUCACCUAGUCUUCGACCGCUCGCGUAGACCACCACAUUUAUAACUUGUUGUACAUAAGUUAUCCACCAUAAAUGCUUAGGAUGCUGCAACCUAAACACUGAACCUUCCUCACCUAAUAACUUGACUAGUUUCGGUACCAAGGUCAUAGAUUGUUGAGUCCCCGUGGCUCACAGAUUACUUCAACACCCCAACAGGUACAGGUACGCCCGACACAGGUGAUCCAGAUGGCACGCAGCUGGCGUGGCAAUACGAUGAGGAGAACGACCGCCUGUACGUGAACUAUCCAGAAGACUGAGGCGUGGUCGUGAUCGCAAGCAUGCGGGAUAGCAUAGCCUUUUCUUAUAUUAUGUAGUCCAUAGCGGAACUACCUUGUUUGAAUAAAUGCAUGGAUGUAAACUCUGAUAUUAUCUAUGUGAGAUGGCAAAUGAUUCCCUAUUUGUCAUUCUUUAAUUAUGCAUGUGCUAUGUUUAUCUUGCUUGCGAAACGCAUAGAUGCGCUUCUUUCCAUUUUGGGGCAUCACCCCCUAAAUAGGAAAGGAACGCAUCUUAGUCGUUACAUUGUUGGUAGUCGGUUGGAGUCUGUUGAAUCUGUUGAACUUGAAUGUUGUUGCUGGACCUGACCAAGCAGAAUGUUUCUUUUUGUAUUUCUCUUCCAGUGGGGGCACGCUCAGUGCACCCACUGGGUGUAGUCCCCGAGCCUCUGUCGGACUAGAUGAGUCCGGCAGAGGGUUUAAGUCUUCAGUGCUCGUCAUGUUGAAUGUUUGUUGAAUCUGCAUUAUAUGAUUUCUGGAUCAAAGUUGUUGAUGACGUGGCUGAACUUGUUGGAGAGGCCACGCAGCAUGUUGGAGAUGAGGCCGCGGUCAGUGACUGCCAUGUUGCAGUCGCUGAGGGUGUCGGCCAGGGUUUGAAGACGGGUGAAAUAGUCCAUGAUGGAGAGGUAUUCCUGACGAAGGCUGUGGAAUUCCUCGAGAGCAAUGAGACCGCGUUGGUUGCGGUUGUCAAGAAAGAGGCUGGAGAUGGCCGUCCAGAGGGUGAGGGCAUUGAGUCGGUUCUGGGGAACCAUACCUUGGAGCUCUGCGGAGAUCGUGGCGUAGAGCCAACACACGAUGCAGUGGUCGACCUGAGUCCAAGCGACAUCGUGGUGGCAUUUGUUGGCAUCGACUGUGCCGUCGAUGUGAUUGUAGAUGCCAUAUGACAUGAACAAAGAAUAGAGGAAAGAGCUCCAGAGGUUGAAGUUGGGGUGGGGAAGGAGUGAGAGUGACAGGGAUCUGACCAUGGAUGUUAAGCGUGAGGAUGGUGCUGAGAGGGAUGGCGAGAAGGCUGGCCGGCGAGGCAGCAAACGGGUUGCUGUCGCUCGAGCCGGCAGAGGCCAGAUCGGAGAAAUCCAUCGGAGCAGGCGGAAGCGAGAAAGGUGGAUCGAAGAUGGACUAGAUAUCUGAUACCAUGUAGAGUGAACAAACGAAGAAUGGAGCAAUCACACUGUAUUCAUUCACAAAGAGUUACAUAUAUACAGUACAAGUCAUAUCGUGCGCACACCCACUAACUAACUAACCACGUCCCUAUAAGCAAGCUGCAUGCGGUCAGAUAGGGGGGAGGAACGCAUGCAGGUAGUUACAGAGGGACUAGAUCACGUCAGAGUUGGUUCAGCUGCAUGUGCGGGAGCAUCGCUCCAACAAAUAUGUGCCACUAGUGUAUGUGGAGUCCCUUUAGUCCCGAUUCGUGACACAACCGGAACUAAAAAUGUGUGUUGAGAGGGGGGGGGGGGGGNNNNNNNNNNNNNNNNNNNNNNNNNNNNNNNNNNNNNNNNNNNNNNNNNNNNNNNNNNNNNNNNNNNNNNNNNNNNNNNNNNNNNNNNNNNNNNNNNNNNNNNNNNNNNNNNNNNNNNNNNNNNNNNNNNNNNNNGGGGGGGGGGGAGGGGUGCUUUAAUCCCAAUUGCUUUGUCCCGGUUGCACAACCGAGGCUAAAGACCCUUACAAACCGGGGCUAAAACUCUGUUUUCUACUAGUGUGUACUUCAAUGAUACUUAAGACCCUGCACCCAUUCUCCUUGGUUCGAGAGGGUGACCAAUCACAUUUGAGGGAUUUAAAACUUUUUUAGAGGUCUGCUAGCUGGUGGUUAUUUCCACAAAUCAAAACAAAAAAUCUCCUCAAAUAUGACUUUUGAGCGAUCUGCGAGAGAUGCUCUGAGCUAUCUAUCAUUAGCCAUCAGGCUUCGACCACGUACAACAUAUAUAAGUUUAUAUACUUCACACUUUCCACAAGUUUUAUUUUUCAGUUGAAUAUACUUUGCCCAGGCAAGGACAACUUGCUAGAGAAGUUUUUUUUUGGUGUUGCAUUAACAGCUAGCGACUUUUUAAAAGAAAAAAAAUUAAGAGCUACGAUGCAUUUCAAAUUGGACGAAAUCAUUAUUCUGAUCUUCUUAACGAUCUUUGUCACAAACUGAAUUCAACAUGAAAAUAUUUCACAACCAGGCCCUUUUGGCAACACCAUAGCCCGUGGCGUUACAGUCCAACAUAUAAACGCCGAGCUAGAUAGCGUUUCUAUCAUUGCCCACUGCCAGGCCAAGCAUGCGCACGUGACAGGUCAGAAACACCGAACUAGAUCCCGUUUCUAGAAACGCANNNNNNNNNNNNNNNNNNNNNNNNNNNNNNNNNNNNNNNNNNNNNNNNNNNNNNNNNNNNNNNNNNNNNNNNNNNNNNNNNNNNNNNNNNNNNNNNNNNNNNNNNNNNNNNNNNNNNNNNNCGUUUCUAGAAACGCAGCUGACACUAGCGUUUCUCUAUAGAGCAGCAACGCCAAAUGCCUAUGUUGUUUUGAAACGUCAAGGCCUUUGGCGUUGCUGCCCUACGUACAUAGAAACGUCAGGGUCAGUGACGUUUUCAGAAACAGGAUCAAGUUCGUCGUUUCUGGCCUGACACGUAUGCUUGUUCGGCCUGGCACUGGAUAAAGGCAAAAACACUAUUUACCUCGGUGUUUCUAUGUGACAGUAACGUCACGGCUUAUGGCGUUUUUAAAAUGAUCAGGUCGUGAAAUAUUUUCAUAUCGAAUUCAUUUUGUGACAAAGAUUACUGAAAAGGUCAAAAAAUUGAUUUCAGAACCAAGAUAUAUUUGCUUUCAAACUUCAAUCUAGCUGUGUGGCUGAUGCGGUGAUGACAUAUACUAACAGGCAUGCUCCUCGAUCUCAACCACUCUGAAUAGUUUUGCCAAGUGCGGCACCCAUCAUGCGUCCAAGCCUAACCAGAAUGAGCGGUAAACCAAAUGACUAAUCCACUGAGCUUGAAAAAUAAAAAUUAUGACCAACCCCACCGAGACUUGUUGACAACGUACACUGCACGGUCGAGAGCAAAUACGUUGGCGCCUUGGGACUGGUUACCCAGACCAUCCUAUCUCCGAAAAUCUAAUCCCAGAGCUACUCCAAGUCCUUCGGUGAGGCCGGCCAUCUCUCUGGCGAUCACGUCUUCCCCGUUGACGGGCGGCUCAAUAUCAUCAGGUACGGCGGCGGUGCAAUCUUUGUUACUCGCUACUGGGUUCUUCCUUGUGCUAACAUUUUCUUAAUUAAUUACAGUUUCCGCCAUGGAUCCUGCAGUUCUCUUCUUCCUCGGGCUUGCAGCUAGAGCACCGUUGUUACUCCUGGCGGCACAGACCUUGGGGGGCUAUUCCAUGGCAAAACCAUCAACAAUUUGGAUCAACAACGAUGGUUUCUUUGAAAGUCACAACCGCUACAGCCGUGACAUCGUCGCCAUAGCACAAUCACAAGCUCACUCUGGCAUUGCAUCUUAUAUUGCCGCAGGGUUCUUUUGUGUCUCCUCUUCCAUGUUCCCGUGCGAGAAGUUCCUCUUUGCGGUAUCCAUUGCGGCACCCAUCGACACCAUCAGCAGCAUUCAUAGUUCGCAGAUAGUCUGGUCGGCGAACCAGGCUUGCCCUGUCAGGGAGAAUGCCACCCUUGAGUUUACAUCGGGUGGAAAUUUGGUCCUCCGUGAUGCUGACGGUAGCCACGUCUGGUCAAGCAAUAGCUCCGACCGAUCUGUAGCUCGGAUGGUGAUAACCAAGUUUGGCAAUCUGGUGUUGAUUAAUCACAUGAAUGCAAUUGUGUGGCAAUCAUUUGAUCAUCCUACAGACACAUUGCUCCUUGGGCAGUCGCUUGUCAAAGGUAUGAGGCUCACAGCAAACACUUCUGCAACAAAUACUAUCUCGAGAGGGACUCAGUUAUAUAUCACUGUACUCACAGAUGGAUUAUAUGCUUAUGUUGGAUCCACGCCACCACAACUCUACUUUUCAUAUAGUUAUUUGUCUCUGGUUGACCACAUGAAAGAAAAUGAUCCAGAGAAGGUUACGUUCAUGAAUGGAAACCUCAGCAUGUCAAAUAUGAAUGGUACUAUUUCAUUGCCAGCAGCAAAAUCCACCCAGUACUUGAGAUUAGAUCCAGAUGGACACAUGAGGCUGUAUGAGUAUGAAUUGUAUGAUGAAAAAUGGAGUGUCGUGCAUGAUGUAAUGCAAAUCAAUGAUUGUGCUUACCCAACAGUCUGCGGGGAAUAUGGUAUAUGUACGAGGGGACAAUGUGGUUGUCCUGUUGAUAAUAAUUCAAGUUCAAGGUACUUUAAGCUGGUGGAUGAAUGGACGCCAAACCUCGGUUGUGCACCGAUAACUGCAAUAUCUUGUCAAGAAAUAGAAAACCAUCAAUUAUUGACCAUUCCCAACAUUUCUUACUUCGAUCAAAACCCCACAAUUGUGAAUGCAACAAGCAUCGAUGACUGUAAGCAAGCCUGCUUGAAGAACUGCUCAUGCAUGGCCGUUCUGUUCAGAGAAGGAGAAUGUGUGUGGGUAACGAAGGUCUUCUCCUUGCAAUCAGUACAACCUACAAAUGCUCUUUACAACUCCUCGGCUUACCUCAAGGUGCAACUUAGCCCGUCCAGAGAAAACAAAAUGAAGGCGCUGUUAAGUGCUACACUUGGUGCCAUUACUGCUCUAAUAUUAAUUUUCAUUCUUGUCACUCUUUACCAACAAAGGAGGAGAAAGCAUGAAGACAAAGACGAGGAAUUUGAUCUCAAUCAAUUAUCUGGAAUGCCGACGAGGUUUUCUCUUGAGACAUUAAGGGAAUGCACAGAAGGAUUCAGUAAGAAGCUUGGAGAAGGUGGGUUUGGGUCAGUUUUCGAAGGGAAAUUAGGUGAAAUAAGAGUUGCAGUGAAACGUUUGGAAGGUGCUAGACAAGGAAAGAAAGAAUUUUUGGCAGAGGUCGAGACUAUUGGCACCAUCGAACACAUCAAUAUUGUCAGCCUGAUUGGGUUUUGUGUUGAGAAGUCUGAGAGGCUUCUGGUUUACGAAUAUAUGUCAAGAGGAUCGCUUGAUAAGUGGAUUUUUAAUUCCCAUAACAAUGCCCCUCUUGAUUGGUCCACUCGGUGUAGGAUAAUUAUGGAUAUUGCCAAGGGCCUAUGCUAUCUUCACGAGGCAUGUAGGCAAAAAAUUGCUCAUUUGGACAUCAAGCCACAAAAUAUUCUCCUCGAUGAAAACUUUAAUGCCAAAGUGGCUGAUUUUGGACUAUGUAAGUUAAUAAAUAGAGACCAAAGCAAGGUAGUGACUGUGAUGAGAGGAACACCUGGAUAUCUAGCACCCGAAUGGUUGACGUCGCGGAUUACUGAAAAAGUUGAUGUCUAUAGCUUUGGAGUUGUUAUCAUGGAAAUAGUAAGUGGAAGAAAAAAUAUUGACAACUCUCAACCUGAGGAGGAUGUUCAGCUUAUAAAUCUAUUGCGAGAAAAGGCUAAGAACGAGCAAUUUAUUGAUUUGAUUGACACACAUAGUGGUGAUAUGAUUUCAUUCCAGGAGGAAGUGGUUCAAAUGAUGAAGCUCGCAAUAUGGUGCCUGCAACAUGAUAGCAUUCAAAGGCCAUCAAUGUCAAUCGUGGUUAAGGUAUUGGAAGGUACUAAUGGCAUUGAAACUUUUGAUGCAAAUUCACUCUUGUUUGUUCAAGAUAAUCCAUCAACAUACUCAAUUCCAUCUCAAGCAUCCAUAUUAUCUGGCCCAAGGUGAAACAAGUGGAUAACGAGGAGAAGAAAUUCAAAGUAUGCAGUUUUGCUUUUGUAUCCUAUCCUAUUUGUACUAUGGACUAUGUUUGAAAUGGCACCAAAAAGACUUUUGAGGCAAUACAUAUAAUUGAUUGUUUGGUGAACUUGUACCUCAUGGUCUUGUACCUUCAAAAAUGACAAAAUCGGCAACCUUAAUGAACAAUUACAUGGCGGUUCAUUCUUCAACAGGCUUGUUCGGCGUACGAGAACAUCAAGCCUUACUCAUGCAAGUUGCAACCCCUCCUAGACCUACCAUAUGAUACUGUGGGGGUGGUAUAGCAUCUAAUACCUCCGUCCCUAAAUAUAAGACAUUUUGCAGAUUCUGCUAUGGACUACAUACAUAGCAAAAUGAGUGAAUUUACAUUUCAAAAUAUGUCUAUAUACAUUCGUAUGUAAUCCAUAGUGGAAUCUCUAGAAGGUCAUAUAUUUAGGAACGCAAGGAGUAGUACAUGAACAAAGCGGCAUAAGUAAUUACAAUAGAAUAAUAGUGAACAAUAAUGAAAUAAAUGGUUAGUUUCAUUUACUGAAAGUCAUGUCAAUUGUUCAUCACAAUUACAGAUAUCAAAGAGAUGGUUUUCAUUCAUCGAGCAAUAACUUGCAUUUAACAAGGCCAAGGGGCAAGGGAAGAAACUCAUUACUGAUCAGUUACAUUUAGAGGAAAUAUGAAGCCUCUAUUGAUUCUUUGCAAAAGUAUCAAGUUGAUAUUCCACAAUAGAGUUUCAGUAAAUGAACUGGGAAGCAGAAGAAACUCUUCACUGAACAUGUACAUGAGUACAUGAUGGAAUUGGAAAAGAGAAACUGAAGUUAUGACCCCCUUCACGAUGUACAUAAAUGUGCCAUGCGUGAGCUAUAUAUGCCGCGUAAUGUUUGAAUAAAGAACAUUCACUUUUUAUGAUUGCAGAAUUUAUUCUUGGGCGCACCGUCCGGAGAGAGUUGACAGUUCGGCUAAUGUCCGGAGAGAGUUGACAGUUCGGCUAAUAAGAUUAAACAUUUCAGGAUCAACAUCCAUUCGGUCCAUCCUGCAAGUGGGCCAUCAUUCAACAAGUUAACGCGCUCCAGCUUCCUACUGGCAAUAAGUAAGGUCUUGCUUUUCCAUGAUGACAACAUAUGGUGGUGCACUCAACAAGUGGGAGAUAUUUAAUCAUGACAAUACACAUAAUCAAUUUGGCCAAUUGGCCAAAAAAAAAAAAAGCAACCCUAAAGCGAAUUCUCUCGCGCGUCAAUCAAACCAUCCUUUACCCAUGCGGUUGUCAACGUCAGGUCCACAAUUGCUACAUAAAAUGUAAUCACAAGCACUUGCCAAAAUUGACGCAUCUGACAAUUUUUUCACUGUUAACAAAACCUCGCAGGUUCGUAGACAGCUUAUCAAACCUGUCUUUGAUGAAAAUAUCUAGUAGAUAUCACAUUAUGGUGACAUGUCCACGGGAACUAACAAGACAAGUAAGGACAACUUGCUACUAGAAGCAUAUUUCUUGUUUCGCGAUGCCUCUCUAACUAAAUCUAGGCAUCUCUCGGGCCAGGCCAGGUUUCGGGCCAGGCCGGGUUUCGGGCCGGGCUCUUAAAAGCCGAUGCUGCAAUGUGAAGCCCGAGCCCGGGAAAAGCCCAACAAUGUUUUAGAUUUUAAAGCCCGAGCCCGGCCCAGCUGAAAAGCCCGAAGCCCGGCUGCAUAUAUAUUCCAACAAACAGCAGCACAUAUACGCAUGAAAUCUUCACAAAAUAGCACCAUAAAUUCUUCAAAGAUAGCAAAAGACAAGUCUGUUACAUCAUUGCAUAACAACAGCAUAGGUAGUCCGUUACAAAAUACAUAAUAGCAAGUCCAUACUCCAUAUUCCAUAACAUAGUCCGACAAGUUCAUUACAUAACAUCAUAUCAAAUAUGAAAGACACAACCUGAUGACUAUUUUGACAGAUUUGACUCCAUCUCUUCUUUGUUCCAUCAAGCUAUAACAACUCAAUCAUUUUACUGAAACAAAGCAAGAGAGAAAUGGUAUGAACUAACAAGAUAUAAACCGAAGGUGGAAAUGAUAUAAGUGAAUAACAAAGUAAGAAAGAAAGAAUGAGCACAAACUAAAUCUGAAGAUAACUCCUCCACAUGAGAACUUUAAGGUCCCCCUCCCGUAGUGCUCAUUUCUACAAAGCAAACAACACUACAAUCAAUGAUAGCAUGAGUAACCGUGAUGUCAAAUAUGCAACAAAGCACACAAGAUUGUAUCUUCAUUAUGAGACAUCUUCCAACGAUACCAAUCUUGGAGACACAUUAAAGCCUCAAUGGUUUUAGGCUUAAGUGAAGCUCGGUUAGGUGUUAUAACUUUCCGGCUCAUGCUAAAGGCCUGCUCCGAAGCAACACUAGAAAUGGGGACAGCAAGAACAUCCUGAGCCAUUGAUGCAAGUUGAGGAUAUUGCAUAGACGAGUUGCUCCAAAAUUCCAAGACAUCCAACUCGUCAUUCAAUUUUCUAGGUGUUUCUUCCAAGUAAAGAUCCAAUUGAGACCUCUCUACAUUUGGUCGUUGAGAUUGUAUGUAAUUCUCAUAGUCAUUGAACAUAUCAACACCAUCUCCCCUAUUUCCCCAGCUGUUUGUACCACCAUCUGAUGGUGUUUCACUAACAGCAACACCACUAUAUUCAACAAACAAAUUCACCAAUGUUUUCUUAAAUUCACCAAGCAAUUGUAGCCCCAUCAUACAGUGGAUUCAGCUUUUUAAACCAUAUUAUCCUUUCGUUCAGUCUCCAAUAAUCAUCAACAUAAUGACAAGUAAUACAAAUAUAACUAAACUUUGUCACCUCGGAUUUCCAAUUGUCCGUAGUGAAGCUAACUCUACCAAGGCUAUUGGUGAUGAUUUCUCUCAAUUCAGCCCUCUCCCUUUCAAACAUUGCCAGGAUAUCCUUUCUAAUUGUGUACCGACUAACAACCUUAAAUUGAGGACAAGCUGCACCCAUCAUUUUUUUGAACCCUUGUUCUUCUAUCACAGUAAAUGCAUGCGACCCCCCAACUAGAAGCAUAGCGACCGUAGCCCUAAUAGUUUCCAUAUCCAACUUUGUGUUCCUAACUGAAUGUGAGCCAUCCGCAUUCUUUUCAGUUUUCAGAAAAUAGCUGUUCACUUCAUUUGUAUUAUGUGGAUGCACAUUUGCAGUAUGCCUUAACAAAUAGGAUGUUCCAUUUUUUGAAUGAGCUCUAAGUAUGUCAUGAAAAAUAUUGCACUGAACCAAUACUACAUCCGGAUCAGGUUGUUCAACCAAAGUAAAGUUAUUCCAUGCUUUUGACCUUAAUUUUGGUGCAGGAUCAACCUUUCAUUCUGGUGGUGGUGGCGGUGGCGGUGGCGGCUGACUUGCUUCAGCUUCAUCGACUAGCUCAUUAGUUUUUGCAUGGCGUCUGCGUCCAGCUGGAGCCUCUUGGUUCAACCUUGUACGCUUCCCGCGAGUGUGAGACAAGGGCGGACCUACAUUGAGGUGAGUGGGGGCCAGGCCCCCACUCAAAAUUUAAAAUUCUAGUAAUAUUUGCUUGUGCUUUUUGAAAAAUAUGCUAAAUUUCUUUGAAUUUUGAACGAAUAUGCCCCCACUCGAAUACUUUGCCCCCAGUCAAAAUACUUUCUAGGUCCGCCACUAGUGUGAGAUGCCGUAGUAGCAGCUGAUGGGGCAGCCUGGCGACAUGGAGGAGCAGCCACAACGAUCUGGUCCGCCCUUGCACUUGUAGCAGUAUUCUCCUCUUCAACGUUAGGAUCAUAAUGUUGAGAUGAGCUUGUAGAGUAGAAGCAAGAUGGCACAUUCGCCACACCUGAUGAUAUUGAGCAGGAAUCAAUGUUGAAGAUGUUAUCACCAAACUAGAUGACCGGCCAGACUCACCGAGGGACUUGGAGUUGUUCUCGGAUUGGAUUUUCAGUGGUAGGGUUGUCUGGCUAGCAAGUCCCAAAACGCCACACAGCCAGUAGAUGUGCCCUUGACGCUUGUGCCUGUCCAGUUUCCAUGCUAGUUGCUCGAGACCAUGGAGUGUACGUCGUUAGCAAGUCUCAGUGGGUUGGUCAUUUGGUUUAUGUUCACUGUUGUUAGGCUUUGGAAGCAUGAUGGGUUCUGCAUUUCGCAAAAGUAUUCAUAUGACCAAACUGGAAAAGAAAACCUGUUAUAUGCCAUCAGUCACAGAUGCGUAAAGUUUGAAGGCAUAUAUAAAGUUUGGUUAGUUAGAGUCUCUUAUGUGCUUUAAAAUAAUAACGGUCAAGGCUUAAAUAAAUACGAAAUAAAACAAGCGUUUAAUUAGUCAAAUACAAAAUUUAAAAUAAUUAGGCUCAUCUAUGUGCACCAACAACUUAUUAUAAGCAAGAUAAACAACUAAUCGAUAGCAAGAUAUAUAACAUGAAACAAUAUGACUAUCACAGAAUAAAGUGCAAAAGUAAAAGGUUCGGGUAAGAGAUAACCAAGACACAAGGAGACGAUGAUUUAUCCCGAAGUUCACACAUUAGCGGAUACUAAUCUUCGUUUGAAACGGUGUGGAGGUACAAUGCUUUCGAAAAAGCCACUAGGGCCACCGUAAUCUCCUCGCGUCCUCGCACAAUACAAGAUAUCAUGAUUCCACUAAUGAUGCCCACGAUGCGUUAUGGUGCCCACGAUGUAUCGCGCAAGCUAUAUUCCCCUGACAUUGCAUACAUGGACUUGGUUUGACUACCUACAGGCACAGAAGGCCGCUUGAACACAAACAGCCAGGUCCCCUUGGAAACCAACCAUGGGGCCAGGCCAUUGGAGAACACGAAAGAUACUGGUUUGCCCUACUUCAUUCAUCCGCAGACCGCAGUUGUUCAGCAAUUCAGAGGUUUACACACACACACAAGAGAUAAAAAGCAAAAAAGGACAAGUCAGUUGACAUAUCUGAACAAGCUGUGGGAUCCUGGCUUGGUCUCCUUCCGUGCCCUGCCAAGCAUCGCAGAGGCCUCGGACAGGCUUCCAGGCAUCCGGGAGUAGGCAAUCAACGCUUCCUCCUAGACUUCCGUGAUGUUGGCUUGGCGCGGCGGCCGGGUGCUCCCUCUGCCGCGGCCAUGCCUCGAUCAAUUCUGUCCAGGCCGCUCAUGAGGACCUCAUAGUACCAUUCAUCCUCACAUGCACGACGCGCUUGGCCAAAGAGCUUAUCAUGUACUUCCUUCGUUCUAAAAUUCUUAUCUUAAAUUUGUGUAUAUAUGAAUGUAUCUAGUCACGUUUUAGUAUUUUGAUACAUCUAUUUCUAGACAAAUCUAAGACAAAAAAUUUAGGACGAAAGGAGUAGCACGGAGUGCAUGCAUUGCUGGCACGUGUCGACCUGUGGACUGUGGUUCGCCGCGGCAGUGCAUCUGGCACUGCAGCGGCUUGGUUGUCCAGCGUGGCAUGACGUGUAGCCUUGGUAUCUCACUCACCCCAGGUGGAUCAUCACCUAAAAAAAAUCGAAGUCUUAAGGUCUUGCAGUUUGUAUGUACAUAUGGCAGCUAAAGUUGCAAGAUCAGGAUUCUGCAGUAGCAAUGGAUGGAAGAUAACCGUUACCUUGACGGCAUGGCAGCAGAGCAUCCCUGUGUGCUCAAAUUGCUUGCACACGCACAUGAACGCCUCACCGUCUUCUCUAACAUUGACCUCAUAUUCCACCCUAGACCAUUUCUCCCUGGUUUCACUGCUGGGAAGUCGUGCUAUGUGUUGGGUUUAGUCCCACAUCAGUUGUGUUGGGUUUAGUCCCACCGUAAUCCUUUGCCCUGCCAAGGACAUGCCUUGCACCAUCUGUGUGUGGUGGACGGCGGUACCUCCAACACGGCUUCCUGAUUGCCUCACAGCGAUCUACAGGAUCGAUUUUAAACAAAACAAGUUAGAUGGCUGCGCUGCUGAAAAGUACUAUUGGGUAGGGAAAUGGGUGUACGAAAGUAAUCUUACCGGUCAGUAUAGUUCGGGGGUAUUUUCCACCCAUUAACUGGAAGAAUUCACUCAACACCCCACUACAGGAAAAAACUUAUAAGCCGAGUGCCCGAAACACUCGGCUUACGACGGAUUACACUCGGCUUAUAUAUAAGCCGGGUGUUUUCCCCGGCUUAUAACACACGCCUUACUAAGGACCGGCUUAUCCAAUGUAAGCCGAGAGCAACAGUUAAACUACUCGGCUUACAUAUAAGCCGAGUGCACCCGCGUAACCCGAGUGCCAACGGACACACGAUUUACACAUAACGGCAACGUGGUUCUAACGCAAGCCCCGUGACGGUUCAUAUAAGCCGAGGGCCUACCGCCACACGGUUUACAUAUAAGUCGAGGGCCUACCGUCACACGGUUUAUAUAUAAGCCGAGGGUCGAGACCGGGCGCACGGGUUACAUAUAAACCGAGCGUCAAAUCUGACACACGGGUUAUAUAUAGGCCGGGUGCUAUUAUCUGGGACACACGACUUAUAGCCCCCAGCGCCUGGGACAAACGGCCUAUAAGCCGGGUGCUGUUAUCUGGGACACACGGCUUAUAGCCCCCAGCGCCUGGGACAAACAGGCUAUAAGCCGGGUGCUGUUAUCUGGGACACACGGCUUAUAGCCCCCAGCGUCUGGGACAAACAGGCUAUAAGCCGGGUGCCAGAGCCUGAGGCACACGGCUUACAGACAGUACCAACAGCAAUAUAUUACAUAUCCAAUAGAUCACAACAAUAUAUUACAUAUCCAAUAGAUCAAAACAAUAUAUUACAUAUCCAAUAGAACACAACAACAAUAUAAUUUCACAAAAACAUGCGUACGCGUACAUAUGCAACAAGAACACAAAUGCAAUGGUCAUGCAUACAUAUCCAAUAUAUUAUAAGUUCACAACAAUAACAAUCCGAUGAUGAGUUCCAAGUCCACACACGCAUACAUAUCCAAUACAGUUCCACAAAAGCACACAUACAUAUUCAAGGAGGGAUCACAACAACAUGCAUACAUAUGCAAGAAGAGUUCACAAACGAAAGCAUGAGGUCAACCUACAAUAUGCAAUGAACUUCCACCACAACAUGUAUGCCCACCGUCGACGGUAUCCGUGAUCGAUGCAAACCUAUAAGUUCAAUAGCACACGCAUGAGUUUCCAAAAUUAAACAUGAACAUAUAAGUUUCAAUAAACAUGAACAUAUAAGUUUCAACUUGAAGAUAAGGCACAAGAGUCAAUAAACAUGAACAUAUAAGUUUCAAUUUGAGGUCAAACCUAUAAGUUCAAUAGCACACGCAUGGGCUCUACUAGCAGCAAUGCAAAGUUCUGAGUUGAGAGGCACAACCAACGACAAGACACAAGCAUGAAUAAUGUACAAGCAUAGACAAGUACCUCGAGUGAUCAUUGUGGCAUGGAGGUCAAAGCAUCUUCAGCCGCAGUGCGUGUCAUUGGGCUUGCUUGCGUAGGUGUAGAUCCAGCAACCACAAAGUCAUUGAAGUGUUCUCCUGACUAUGGAUAGUUCAAGCAUGAUAGUAAGAUGGUAAGAGGAUUUAAGAAUGAUGGUAAGAUGCAUGGUUGAAAAGUUGAAGACUUACAAGGCUGAAUGUAGGAAGAGGCGGAACAGGAGGAAGAUCCAGCAAAGUUGAACACUGCAUGUUAUUACUGAACCGAGCAAACGUCUCCUGCAGGGCUGCCUGUUGUUUAGCCAUGAAUUCCUGCUGCUGAAUUAGGGUUUGCUGCAUUUUCAUGGCUUGCUCUUGUUGAAGUAGGGCAUUGGCCUGAGCUUCCUGUCGUAGCCUGCUUUCUUCCUCUAGGCGGACCUACAAUAUGCCAGCACAACAAGUUCACCAUCGUUGCAAUGCAAAGAUAAAAUCAGAAGGAAGAUCAGUGAAGUAAAACAUACAUGGAACUGAUGCAGCAUGUCCAUCCCAGGUUGUGGGCGACGCUCAAUAGCAGGACCUGAGCUCGAUGUGGUAGCACGAAGGUGGGCGAGUUUUGGAAUGUUCUUCUUACGAAUGGAACCGUCACCAACAUAUAACCGGCCACGCUUCUUGCCUUCUCCCGACUUGAGGGAAACCAUAACGUCAAUGUCUUGUGAGGCCGGAUCAGAGUCGGGCCCGUUGCACUCCUUGAACUUCCCACUAUAUGCAUUAAUCCUAAAGCCAGCCCCUAGGUUGACCCACCCUCCUUCCGGUUUCUUUGACUUACGUGAGAGACAUAAUCCCGUGAAGGUAUUGAGAAGCUCUUCACCCUCACCUCUCUCCCUAUUCUGCAAUAGAAGCAAUAAUAUCCAUAAGGGCACAAGUUGAGAAGUUCAUAAGCCAAAUGAUAUUAUUACCUUCUUCUGCACGUAAGCAUGGAGGUUGAGGUUGCCUUGAAGGUGUACCGGACCACCCAUCAAGGCACGCCGCUCCGAAGCCGCUGUGUGUGUGGCCCUCCACUCCGGGUUUAUCCACCUAGAUAUGAUUUGCUGGUAGCAAGGAAUCUUGUUGUUGCACCACGGAGGAACCGCCUGAAACAUGUCAAAUGAAACUAAGUUGUUUUAAUCCAGGCAACUAAGUUGUUUUAAUCCAGGCAAUCACAGCUAAAUGAAAACUACCUUCAUGUACAUGGAACGGGUGAGAUGCACUCUACGGGCUAGCGCCUUUGGGAGAAGCAUCUUGCGUUCAUAGGCGAAAUACUUCACCACGGAAUUGACACGAGCAUGGUAAGGCAUGUCUUGGACAACCUUCUUGGCAAUCUCCUCCACAAUAUCAUUAGCUUCAUCCUCCAUACCCUCAACGCAAGUAAAGAAGUCCUACGAAAGUACAUCAAUUCGCAUAAAACAGUUAACGAUGCAAUGAUUUUGAAUAUUGCUAAAGAAAUAACUAUGAAAACUGACUAAGAAUUUUACCCAAUGCUCCCAAGACCAAGCUGGCUCCUCCUCACCGUCUCCUAUGGAAACCAGGCCAGAGUAAUGAUGCCUGCAAAGACAGCCAAUGAUGGUGCUUGGCUGGCGUGGCAGGAUUGUGGAAAACGAAGCCAGCCUACACAUCAUCGGGCUGUCCGUGGAAAACGCUGGACAAUUCGAAAGAGUUACGGUUAUAAAUAUGCAAAGAGUUGCAUAUUUAUAAAUAAUGUAACUUUUUCGAACGGGAGACGCAUAGGUAAUGCGACUAGCUAGCUACAUGAUUUACAUAUAUAUAAAUCCUUUGAGGCAAAUUAUUCUUACCCUCGAAGUGUGCUCGGCAAUGGUUGUCCCUCCAGCAAAAAGCCUUGCCACGACCCUUCCAAUGUCAAAUUGAUGUGUGUCCUACAAUAAAGUGAAAACUAGAAUCAAACAUAAUUCACAUGCACAAACCAAAACACAACAUAUUCUACAGUUCCUUAAUAAGUCGUUCUUCGUUUAUUUGCCACCCGACAUGUUUGAUAAUUAUCCAUGUUCCUCGUGUUAUAUCAUCCAUAGUUACUAUUACUUCAAAAUUAAACUAACCCAAGAAAUUAUUAGCAAGACCAAAUUCCAAAUGGCUUUCUUUGAUGUAAUUCUCAAACAAAUCAGAUUUUCUGUUGUUUUCUGUUGCACCACCUUUCAAACACCUUUCUCAAACUAUAAUGUAAGAAUCUACAACCUUUCAAACAUUUCAGGUUGUUUUCUAUUGCACCACCAACAAACAAAUGAAUCUCUGAUUUUAAAUCACCUAAAACUUGACACCACUUCAUAGCAUAUCUGCAUAUCCACCUUAGCUACAUAGAUACAUGCACCACCUAAAAUGAACCUUCCACCUCAAAUAAUGCUAGGAGGAGCACCUUGCUGCUGGAGGAAAAUCUUCUAGCACCUUGCUGCUGGNNNNNNNNNNNNNNNNNNNNNNNNNNNNNNNNNNNNNNNNNNNNNNNNNNNNNNNNNNNNNNNNNNNNNNNNNNNNNNNNNNNNNNNNNNNNNNNNNNNNNNNNNNNNNNNNNNNNNNNNNNNNNNNNNNNNNNNNNNNNNNNNNNNNNNNNNNNNNNNNNNNNNNNNNNNNNNNNNNNNNNNNNNNNNNNNNNNNNNNNNNNNNNNNNNNNNNNNNNNNNNNNNNNNNNNNNNNNNNNNNNNNNNNNNNNNNNNNNNNNNNNNNNNNNNNNNNNNNNNNNNNNNNNNNNNNNNNNNNNNNNNNNNNNNNNNNNNNNNNNNNNNNNNNNNNNNNNNNNNNNNNNNNNNNNNNNNNNNNNNNNNNNNNNNNNNNNNNNNNNNNNNNNNNNNNNNNNNNNNNNNNNNNNNNNNNNNNNNNNNNNNNNNNNNNNNNNNNNNNNNNNNNNNNNNNNNNNNNNNNNNNNNNNNNNNNNNNNNNNNNNNNNNNNNNNNNNNNNNNNNNNNNNNNNNNNNNNNNNNNNNNNNNNNNNNNNNNNNNNNNNNNNNNNNNNNNNNNNNNNNNNNNNNNNNNNNNNNNNNNNNNNNNNNNNNNNNNNNNNNNNNNNNNNNNNNNNNNNNNNNNNNNNNNNNNNNNNNNNNNNNNNNNNNNNNNNNNNNNNNNNNNNNNNNNNNNNNNNNNNNNNNNNNNNNNNNNNNNNNNNNNNNNNNNNNNNNNNNNNNNNNNNNNNNNNNNNNNNNNNNNNNNNNNNNNNNNNNNNNNNNNNNNNNNNNNNNNNNNNNNNNNNNNNNNNNNNNNNNNNNNNNNNNNNNNNNNNNNNNNNNNNNNNNNNNNNNNNNNNNNNNNNNNNNNNNNNNNNNNNNNNNNNNNNNNNNNNNNNNNNNNNNNNNNNNNNNNNNNNNNNNNNNNNNNNNNNNNNNNNNNNNNNNNNNNNNNNNNNNNNNNNNNNNNNNNNNNNNNNNNNNNNNNNNNNNNNNNNNNNNNNNNNNNNNNNNNNNNNNNNNNNNNNNNNNNNNNNNNNNNNNNNNNNNNNNNNNNNNNNNNNNNNNNNNNNNNNNNNNNNNNNNNNNNNNNNNNNNNNNNNNNNNNNNNNNNNNNNNNNNNNNNNNNNNNNNNNNNNNNNNNNNNNNNNNNNNNNNNNNNNNNNNNNNNNNNNNNNNNNNNNNNNNNNNNNNNNNNNNNNNNNNNNNNNNNNNNNNNNNNNNNNNNNNNNNNNNNNNNNNNNNNNNNNNNNNNNNNNNNNNNNNNNNNNNNNNNNNNNNNNNNNNNNNNNNNNNNNNNNNNNNNNNNNNNNNNNNNNNNNNNNNNNNNNNNNNNNNNNNNNNNNNNNNNNNNNNNNNNNNNNNNNNNNNNNNNNNNNNNNNNNNNNNNNNNNNNNNNNNNNNNNNNNNNNNNNNNNNNNNNNNNNNNNNNNNNNNNNNNNNNNNNNNNNNNNNNNNNNNNNNNNNNNNNNNNNNNNNNNNNNNNNNNNNNNNNNNNNNNNNNNNNNNNNNNNNNNNNNNNNNNNNNNNNNNNNNNNNNNNNNNNNNNNNNNNNNNNNNNNNNNNNNNNNNNNNNNNNNNNNNNNNNNNNNNNNNNNNNNNNNNNNNNNNNNNNNNNNNNNNNNNNNNNNNNNNNNNNNNNNNNNNNNNNNNNNNNNNNNNNNNNNNNNNNNNNNNNNNNNNNNNNNNNNNNNNNNNNNNNNNNNNNNNNNNNNNNNNNNNNNNNNNNNNNNNNNNNNNNNNNNNNNNNNNNNNNNNNNNNNNNNNNNNNNNNNNNNNNNNNNNNNNNNNNNNNNNNNNNNNNNNNNNNNNNNNNNNNNNNNNNNNNNNNNNNNNNNNNNNNNNNNNNNNNNNNNNNNNNNNNNNNNNNNNNNNNNNNNNNNNNNNNNNNNNNNNNNNNNNNNNNNNNNNNNNNNNNNNNNNNNNNNNNNNNNNNNNNNNNNNNNNNNNNNNNNNNNNNNNNNNNNNNNNNNNNNNNNNNNNNNNNNNNNNNNNNNNNNNNNNNNNNNNNNNNNNNNNNNNNNNNNNNNNNNNNNNNNNNNNNNNNNNNNNNNNNNNNNNNNNNNNNNNNNNNNNNNNNNNNNNNNNNNNNNNNNNNNNNNNNNNNNNNNNNNNNNNNNNNNNNNNNNNNNNNNNNNNNNNNNNNNNNNNNNNNNNNNNNNNNNNNNNNNNNNNNNNNNNNNNNNNNNNNNNNNNNNNNNNNNNNNNNNNNNNNNNNNNNNNNNNNNNNNNNNNNNNNNNNNNNNNNNNNNNNNNNNNNNNNNNNNNNNNNNNNNNNNNNNNNNNNNNNNNNNNNNNNNNNNNNNNNNNNNNNNNNNNNNNNNNNNNNNNNNNNNNNNNNNNNNNNNNNNNNNNNNNNNNNNNNNNNNNNNNNNNNNNNNNNNNNNNNNNNNNNNNNNNNNNNNNNNNNNNNNNNNNNNNNNNNNNNNNNNNNNNNNNNNNNNNNNNNNNNNNNNNNNNNNNNNNNNNNNNNNNNNNNNNNNNNNNNNNNNNNNNNNNNNNNNNNNNNNNNNNNNNNNNNNNNNNNNNNNNNNNNNNNNNNNNNNNNNNNNNNNNNNNNNNNNNNNNNNNNNNNNNNNNNNNNNNNNNNNNNNNNNNNNNNNNNNNNNNNNNNNNNNNNNNNNNNNNNNNNNNNNNNNNNNNNNNNNNNNNNNNNNNNNNNNNNNNNNNNNNNNNNNNNNNNNNNNNNNNNNNNNNNNNNNNNNNNNNNNNNNNNNNNNNNNNNNNNNNNNNNNNNNNNNNNNNNNNNNNNNNNNNNNNNNNNNNNNNNNNNNNNNNNNNNNNNNNNNNNNNNNNNNNNNNNNNNNNNNNNNNNNNNNNNNNNNNNNNNNNNNNNNNNNNNNNNNNNNNNNNNNNNNNNNNNNNNNNNNNNNNNNNUGUUGGUCAUGUUGCUCCGUUGGCAUCGAAACUCCUCGUGCUCUCAGAGGAGGCCAUCGAAUGACACGUGUCAGGCCCGUGCAUUUUUCUGACCCGACUACAAUAUUUGAGACAUUUAUUGCAAUUCUAGGGUUUCAGUGUCGGAAAUUGCAGAUCUGCAAGGCGACACAUGAAAUCAUGCCCAGAAGAAGCAUGGAAAAUCCUAUGUGAUGUAUUUNNNNNNNNNNNNNNNNNNNNNNNNNNNNNNNNNNNNNNNNNNNNNNNNNNNNNNNNNNNNNNNNNNNNNNNNNNNNNNNNNNNNNNNNNNNNNNNNNNNNNNNNNNNNNNNNNNNNNNNNNNNNNNNNNNNNNNNNNNNNNNNNGUAUUUGUGACAUGGGUAUGCCUUGUGCAGGCGUGGGAGGGGCAACCCCAACCAUCGGGGGUACGAAAUCACUUGGGUGACAUGCCUCAUCAAACCGUUUGAAGCCUCGGAAAAUGAUACGAUGCCAGAAAUCCUUAGGAUCAGGCACGACGUCAUCACAUGCCCCUUGUAGGGUGUCAUAAAAGUUUGGGCACGUUCCGGGUGGGCUCACAACUAUUUGAGACAUUUAGUGCAUUUCUAGGGUUUUGGUGAUCUUUCUACCCCCCCUCACACGGUCUAUAGCCGACAUGAGAGACAUUCCUGUGGUAAAAUGAAUAAAUAAAUAACAUUCAGGGAUUAAAGAUAAAUACACGGGAAAUCACUUUAGAACUUUUUUAAAUUUGAAAAUCUAUAAAAAAUAAACCGAGUGCUUUCUUCAUAUAAAUGUGUAAGCCGUGUUCACUUACCAAGCACACGGCGUAUACUAUGUGUAAACCGUGUGUUCUUGUCAAGCACACGGCUUAUAGUGUUUCUAAGCCGUGUGUACUUGUCAAGCACACGGCUUAUAGUUCAAGCCGUGACGGCGCCGUCAAACACCGUUGUUGUAGACACGUGGCACAUACCUUUACCGGGUGACACGCUAUAAACCGAGUGCUUUCUUCAUAUAUACCGUGUGAAAACUGUAAGCCGAGAGCUUUUUCUGGACACUCGGCUUAUAUGAUAGCAUAAGCCGAGUGCGUUGUUUUUACCGGGUGUUUUUUCUUGUGUACACGGCUUAUAUUCAAAUAAGCCGAGUACCCGAAAAAAAGAACACGAUUUAUAGCUUGCCACACGGUAAAACGGAAUUUUCCUGUAGUGCCCAUUUGAAGCUCUCUGUUUUCUUGUUUAUCAUCAGCACGCCACCAAGCACUAUGGUCUCGAAGUUGUUGUUGACUCCAACAAAAAGACCGAACGGUGUUCCAUACACGUCCGAUCUGUAGGUUGUGUCAAAGAUAAUCACAUCACCAAAGUAUUGGUACUGAAUCCUCUGGCCGCUGGUCCUAGAGUAGUGGCUGUUGGCGCCGCCUCCUUGCCGGCGCCGCUUCUUCUUCUACCUACACGCAACUCUUACUCCUCAUGAAUAAAGACACACACUGUCAAGGAACUCACACGCACACACACAUGUACCAGGGAGGCACAAGGAUUUGCCGAGGCACUCUUUCCUGACACCCAACGCAAAGGCUACAUUAUGUUUUUCCCACUAACUAACCGAUGCAUGCAUUUGACUUGAGCUAAACACAAAAUACUAUUGUAGCUUGCAUGCACACACAUGAACACGUCCCUAUGUGUCCACACUGCCGCAGCUACUGCUACAUGCAUUACUUACAAACAAAUAUGCAGAUACAUCAUGACAAGAGUAGUGCUAACAGUGGCCUUAUUACUCUGCAGUUACUAUCAACCUGCAAACCAGUAUAAUCAAAUGUUGGAUCCUUUGCUUUGAUCCUAGCAAAGGUUUCCAUGGUCUUUCUGAGAUCCUCGGACAGCAAAUCCUUCGCUUCAUUAUCAGCAACGUGUGGCACAUUGUUUUCCCAUAGUUGGCGAAUCAAGUCCCUUGUGUUCUUGUUGAUACUACUGUGAGACUGCCAGGAUGACCUCUGCGCACACAUCUUAGAAAGUGGAUGGUUAUGCCCAACUUGAUGUUGCACACACACCAUCUACCGUGUCUGGAUCUCAGCAAAAGAACCGAUGCCGUGCAUUCACAUCGACGAAAUGAGUUGAUGUCGUCCUUACUUGGUUUCCCCUGUAGAACAUAACAUUUUCCAAGCAUUGGUACUGGGUUGAGAUCAACAACACAAAAAACAUAAGUAGUACCUUAACUACAAGGGGAGGAUGAGUGCCAGGGCCGGGCCGGCAAAAUAUGAGGCCCUAUGCGAAACUAAAAAAAAGGAGGCCCUAUCUUACUUAAAAAACGAACAAUCAAGAAAAUAUAAUGUAUGUGAUAUAAUGUCUUACAUAACAAUGUGAUAUAUAAUUAAUCAUACAUGUUCAACUCCCGGUUUCAUAACAUUUGUUUGAACAACCUCAUUCUUGUAGUAUUCUUUGAAAUGAAAUCGUCAAUGAUAUCCUCGUAAUCAAUCUUCCCCAACCACUCUCAAGUGCUAUUUUGGUCAAAUCAUUGAGUCUUUGUUGUGUUGUAAUAGUAUGCAUAUGGGACUUCGAUAGCUUUAAUUUAGAAAAGUUUAGAUUUAUCGAUGAAACUAUCACAGAAAUGGUUAACGGAACUUUGACUCAACGAACAAACCAUUGGCAUCAAUAUGAAAUUUAUAAGAUUUUUAAAAUCAAUUAUGUUCUCUUUCAUUUCUUUUGCGCUUCUGAACGAGGCUGAUAUUUUCUCAUGAUUACUCAAAUAUUUUUUAUUGAAACACAAGAUACAUAAGAUGACUAAAAUAAAAUUGAAAUUAUAUGUCAGCAGAUGUUAAUUUGAAAUUUCGCGUCAAUAUCUGGCAAUUGAACAAACAGUCUAACUCACCUAGUCGUGUGUUAUGUCUGAUUAAACAGGUAUACUGUAAUCUUUAAUCAAGGAGCCAAGCAUGCAGGAACCUAUCUUUCCAAUUAUCCGUGCAAAAAGUUAAUUAGGAAAUAAAAAAUAGAAGAAUAGGAGUAAAAUUAGAAGUACAAGCCAGCCAUAUUCCUCUCUUACUCUAUGAGAACCCGAGAUGACGAAAGGGAUAAUUGAUGGAUGGGAAGUUGCGAAAUAAUGGGGACUUCACUGUAACGUUCAGUUUCCAAGAGAAUGUGAGAACCCAUCCUAUAUGUAGAGUGAUUUGGGUAGUAGUAGUCGGAAGGAAGGAACAAACAUGUGCAUCACAUGAAAUCAGCGGCUAGGAGGAGCAACGAAAGUGACGAGACCGCAAUAGUGGAACCACUGUUUUUCUUUUUAAGGAUUUAAUGGAAUCACAGUUAAAAUGCAGGCUAGCAGCGCACCGGCCUGGGACGCUCGAGGCCUGCCUGAGCCUGGCUCACGCCACCGGAGUUAGUGGGCAGCGGCCCAGCUCCUUGCGCGGUCCAACCCUUAUUUCAGAAAAUAUAUAUGCAUAGGCAUGCAAAAAAUUCAAGGCCCCCAAAUAUAUGGGCCCUGUGCGGGCUGCACAUCCAGCACAACUAUGGGCCCGGCCCUGAUGAGCGCAAUACCUCACACGCGCAAACAAAUUGCUGUAUGCAUUUAGUUCCAUGAGGAUCCACACUACUCGGUCCAUAGCUGACUCCGAACCCAGAUUCCCAGGAAUAUAUGUUGUAGAAUUCAUAGGCCUCGUCAAGAGAAACAAAGACAGUCCCCACGGUUGGACUGACAACAGCCUCAGUUUCCCUCUCCGCAAACCCUGCAAUCGCCUUCUCCAGUGCCCUUACACGAUACAGAGAAGCAGAUCCAUGUUCAUCUCCCAGCCGCAUCCUACAAAAUUUAGUUUCAGAAACUAUUCACAUACAGAAAGAUGGGCAGCAAGUUGAUGAAUGGGAGUACAAUUUUUGCACCAGCCGGCACACAACAGAGCAUCCAUCUGAAUAUAACAUUCACAAAGUAGUGAAGCAUCCAUAUCCAUAUGUUUCUCGUAUCUGAAUUUCAAUAUCGGGACUACAAUUAGCAAAUGUAAAACUGUAGCAUAGCAACACAACCAGGCUUGGAAUGGAUUAGGUCGCAAUCAUCCAGAUGCAGCCAACCUCCACGGUCCCCAACAGGGACACACUCAGAAGAAGAAAACUGAACAGCAGAGGACCGCCAAGCGCCAUGGGCGAGCGGGUGCGGCGCCUCCUUCUCCUUCUCCUUCAUCUCGACCCUGUACAAACGAAACGAACCGCCUGCGGUUAACUACUUGGCGGGCCGCGCCGGAGCGCCGGAGUUGAACAAGGAAGUGGUAGGAGAAUGGAUAUGUAUACCGGCUGCUCCUUCCCCGGCGGCGUGACCUCCGCGGCCGUCUCUGUCGCCGGCGGCCGUUGGGAUUUACGUUGCAGGAAGAAGAAUAUAUAUUUCUUUUUAUGGCUUGAGUGAAUCACACUUUGCACCACGUAGGCUCUCGAUUUUCUUUGACCGUCACUUCAUCCGUCCUAUCUUUCCCUAAUCUCUCCGUCCGUCGUGGUUGUUUUGUAGAAAACUCUUUGAAGUUUUCCGAAAUCAACCCGUAGUCCGGAUUUAAGUGAGAAACAAUAAAGAUCUUAAGUAAUGAUUAUUAGGUUAAGACGUGUUGUAUGGUUUGCUUCCGUUGCAACGCACGGACUCUUUUGUUAUAAUAAUAAAGAAGCUACCGCUUCUGUCGUCCGUUGCGGACUUUGCCCCUAGACUUCGCAGGAAUUACGCCCCUAUGCCACCGGUGAGUGGAAAAAACGAUUUGUUUUCCUCUUUUUUUGAAGUCAGGCGUUCGUCCAUUCGCCAUUUAAAAUAAUACCUGAACAAAUCACAGUUCCACGCGCAUCCCACUGGUCUGAGUCAUGCUCUUUCAUCCGGGAUACCUGAGUUCGAUCCCUGUUGCUGCCUUUCUUAAAUUAUUAUUUUUGCUUUUUAAUUUCAGUAUCUCCUUUACCUCUUUUUUUUUCUGGAUUGUAUUACAUUUCAGGUUUUGGUGUCUAAAAAUUUCAGUACAAAACAAAAUCUGACAGUAUAUGCCAUUUAGAGGAGUAUUGCUGUCAACAUAAACUUUUUGUUUUGUCCCUCAAGUUUUCCUGUUUUCUUCUAGAUUUGAAUAUGUUGUUGGUAGUUUGCAUUCAUAGAUUUUUCGUAGCAACUGACAGAAUAUAUUAUUAUCAAAUCCAUAACUAUACCAUAAUAGUAAAUUCCACCAAGAGCUCGGGCGAGCAGACUGUCACCGGGUCACAUAUCCUCAUUUUUCUCCAUCAAGUUUCAUUGGAUGAAAAUGUAGACGUUGCAAUAUUUAGAUUUAUUGUGUGUGUCGACUCUAGAUAAUUCGCUGAUUCAAGAAAAAUAUUUUUAAAAUGUUCACAUUUUAAGAAUAUAUAUUUGCAAAUAGUCUAAAAUGUUCAUGAAUGCAAAAAAUAUAUUCCUGAUUUUAGAAAAUGUUCGCGAACUUGAAUUUUUAUCACAAUUUCAAAUAUUUUUCAAAAAUAUGAUUUCACAAAAAUGAAAGUGAUAAUGUAUUUCGGUGAUGUAGCAAAAUAUGGUUAUCGCCGUUGAAAAUUAUGAUGUUUUUUCUUCCGUUGCAACGCACGGGCCAUUCUGCUAGUACUAUAAAAACGUUUUCCAUACUACGUACUAGUAUCAUAUAAAAAACUUAUUAUAUAUUAUCAUAUUUUUAAUUGACUAACACAUACAUGAACAAAUUCACUGUUCUAACCCACAUUCUAUAAAUAAUUCAUAAAAUGAACUCGUCCCGAAAAUAUUUCAUGAUCUAACCCUUUUUGAAACGCCAUAAGCCAUGGCGUUGCUGUCCUAUUAUGCAACGCCAGUCAACUAUGACGUUGCUGUCCUACAGUGAAACACCGGUCGUGUGUUGCGUUUAUUCCUCCUUACAACACCAGUUUAAUUUUGGGUUGCUGCCCCACAGUAAAAACGCCAAUAGAUCUGGCAUUGUUGUCUGAGUUGGAGCAGUGGGCAUGUGAGGUCGGGAACUCGGGAUCACUGCCUUGUAACUGUGGCUGCACGGGGUCGCUGUAUUUCACAGAGGCUAGACGGAUGUGACAGGAGCUGUAUCUAUCUGUGUUUGCAUAUGAAAAUAUCUCCUCUCUCUCUCACUAGUCAAUUACUCAACCUCUCUAGCAUCCUGUCCACGACAAGCAGGACAGGUUCUUGUUGGAAUGUGACAGUGCCCCCGCUGGUCAUGCAGGACAGGUCCUUGUUUAAGUGUGACAACAGAGAAAAGAGGAGACAUCCAGACAUGCAUGGCCCUGCGUGCCCUCCUUAAAUGCUAACUAGCUCACACACACACUCGGGGGCAGGCAGGCUAGCUACGUACUACUACCUCCGUCUUGCGUGCCAUUGGCCCUGUUUGGAUCCAUACGCUAGAGUUAGUUUGAGCUAGUUGGGGCUCAAAUAGCACUAAAGUAUUCAAACAUGAGGAUUAGAUUGGAGCUAGUUGUAUCUAACUCAUCCAAAAAAACUCGUCCACCCAAGUGAUGCUAAUUGGAGCUAGUUUUUAUGGGACCUGCUAAAAAGUCACUUUUCUCUCUCUAUCCACUAGGUAAUAGGUGUUAAUUGGAGCUAGUUCUGAAGGGACCCACUAAAAAAAUCACUUUCUUCUCUCCAUCAAGUACAACUAUUGUCAACCUAACCCUAUCAUCCAAACACCUUUUUGGCUAGAGUUAGUUUAGAGUUAGUCAUGAGCUAGAAAUUAACUCUAACCUCUAGCUAAGUUAGAGUAUCCAAACAAGGCCAUUAAUGGCAUUGCAUUGCGCACUCUCUCAGGCGUGGGGCAGCCACAUGUGGCUGUGAUAGAGUACGUCAUGGGGACAUGUCGUCAGCCGGCCGGGGCAAAAUUGACAAAAAUGACCCCGGGGGAAAGAACUCAGAGAGUGACCCCUCGGGGAAAAUAUGUCACCCGGCUGACCCUUUUGUGUGGCGUCCGACACCUAGGCGCCACAGGUCACUGUGUGACGCCUAGACGUUCGGCGCCACACCCCCGAUCACCUGGCAGAGAGGGCCCACCCCCCAGGCCGUGUGACGCCUAAGCCUCAGGCGUCACACAUUGUAAUGUGUGGCGCCGAACGCUUAGGCGCCACACAUUGACUUAAACAGGCACGGGCCAGCCCCCCUCCCCACCUCCUCCUCAUUCCCCUCCCCCAGCCCCCUCUCUCAGCCACGGGCCCCUCUUCAAAUCCUUCUCCAAAUCACCAAAUCUGAAGGUUUGGACCGGACAUUUGUUGUCCAAUCACUCCCCUAAGGUAAUCCCCACCUCUCCCCUCAUUCUCAUCCAAAGAGUGUUUUUUUUUGCAAAUUUGAAGAAACCCUAGUUUUUCAUGAAAUGUGCGAUGUAUAUGAUAUUGUUGUAUUUGUUUGUAUGUUAUGAUAAGGGGUAUGAUGGUGUUAGGAUUAGGGUUGUUUGGAUGUUUGCAUUAUGGUUGUUUUAGGGUUAGGCUAGGGUUAGGGAUGUUUGGUUCUGUUAGUUUUAUGAUGGGUGUUAGGGUUAUGGAUGUUUGGAAGUUAGUAAGUAGAUAUUGUAGUUGUAUGAUUGCUUAUAAAAAAAGUUCUAUGUUUUGUUGUUUAGAGAUGGGAAGAACAUGUGUUUAUGUUCAUCACGUGGACAAGGAUGCCUUUUUAAAAGGCAAUAUUGAUACAGACCCAGAUGAGCUUGACAUGGUGUUCGAUUUGUGUCCUAGCUAUGGUGAAUUGUUGGAACAAGUCCGAAAGGAUUUGAAUUGGAUGGACCCUAGUGAUGUAGUUGAGUUUGAUGGUAGGCAUAAUGUGGGAUUCGGAAUGCACAUUCGUUGGAAGACCAUGCGUGUCAACUCCGAACAACGUUGGCUUGCAUACAAGGAUACGGUGGCCGAAUCACUAGACAAGGCUCUAGAGUUAUUUGCCAUCAAAACAAAUGUUCCUAACUUGUUGGAUUUGAACCGGGUUGCCUCUUCGAUUGUUGAAGCUAUUCCUGCACCCAUCAACGAAGAGGCCAACAUUGAACCUCUUUCUUGUGUCGAUGAGGCCAACGAAGAGGUCAACAUUGAACAUGAACCAUUGGUAGAGGCUAAUGAUGAGCACGAUGAUGAUGAGAAUGAUGGUAAUGUUCUUCAUGACAACAAUCUUGGUGAUUUGGACAAAUAUAAUUUGCAAGAGACAAUGGACCAUUCUAUUCCGUACUCACGUGGCUAUGCCUCUGAGUCUGACGAUGAGGGUCCCGAUGAAGAAGUUGAUGAGGAAGGGUUCACGGCAAAGGAGGCUAAAGCUUUCACGAAGGUAUUAAAGCGUGAUCACCGGACACCAUUGUUCGAGGAUCUUAGCCUUGCGAAUGAAGCCGUGGUUGACGGAGCCGAAGGCAUAUUGUUUGGAGAGUUAGGCCACCUUCUCAUCGGGACACACAUGGGAAGAAUAUUAUUUUGCCGGGGUCAAAGUUCGAAACAUUCUUUGAACUGAAGAUGUGGUUGGAUGAAUAUUCUGUUACGCAUUAUAGGCCACACAAAGUUGUUCAUUCAAACAUGAAGCUGCGUUACACGGUUGCAUGUGAGGAUAGAGGGUGUCCUUGGAUUGUCCGUGCAAGACCAUGGAAAGGAGGGCCAGGAUGGAACAUUGUCAGUUGUAUGCCUCACAUGUGUCGAGGCAAGAGGGUCGAUGGUGCCCUUUCGUCGCAAAGCCAUAAACAACUCACCUCCGAGUUCAUCGCUUAUAGGCUUUCCAACUCCAUCUCCUCUCUUCCUACAAUGAGCAUAAAAAGCGUACAAGACCUUGUGAAAGCCCUCUUUCACUACGAGGUGAAAUAUGGUAAGGCAUGGAAAGCAAAGCAAGCCGCAUUCAAGAUGUUGUAUGGUGAUUGGGAGCAAGCAUACAACCGCAUACCUAGGUUGUUGGGAGAUAUUGCCCACGCUAACCGGGGCAUGGUUCAUGUGGUCGAGCCGUAUGGGGAGAAAACAAGGAUUCUCAAUGGAAAUAGGGUCCGCGUAUUUGGCCGUGCAUUUUGGGCAUUUGAGCAAUGUGUGAGGGCUUUUCAGCACUGUCGUCCUGUCAUCUCCAUCGAUGGCACGUUUUUGACCGGACAAUUCAAGGGCACUUUGUUGGUUGCAAUAGCAAGUGAUGCCAAUAACCAGUUGAUGCCUUUGGCUUUUGCUUUGGUUGAGGCAGAGAACAAUGUUAACUGGGAAUGGUUCUUGCAUAUUUUGAGAACCAAAGUAUUACCGUUUGAGAGGAAAAUAUGUGUCAUAUCGGAUCGCCAUCAAGGCAUACUUAACGCGGUUGACAUUGUCAUUCCCGGCCAUGCUCCUUUGCAUCAUCGAUGGUGCAUGAGGCAUUUAUGUGCAAACUUCUACCGGGCAUGUGGUAGCAAGGAGUUGGCGGAUGAUCUUCAAGAUUGUUGUCAAGCAUUUUCGGACAAACGAUUUGCAAGAUUGUACAACGCUUUGCUUGUAAGCAAAAAACUUGAUGCAGGUGGGCUUGAGUUUCUCAACAGGCACAUUGAACUUCGGGCCAAGUGGGCACGAGCUUAUGACGAAGAUGGCCAAAGAUAUGGUCAAAUGACAAGUAACAUGGCAGAAUGCUUCAACCGGGUGCUGAAGGGUGUCUGUGCGUUGCCGAUGACGGCAAUAGUUCAAUACACAUUCGACAAGUUGAGAGCAUACUUUCUAAAGUACUCGCAAGAAACAGAUGAUCAGAUUGCAGGAGAGAACAAGAAAAAGUACAAGUACCAGUUUCCACCAAAGGUUGACAAAUGGAUGGUAUUUCAAUCACGGAAGGCUGACUCCCAAACGGCUACCCUGUACAACAGCGAGGAUUGGACAUACCAAGUGAAUGAGCCCGGAGGAACGACAAACGAUGGCCAGCAACACGGAAACAGGGCGUUCAAGGUAUCUUUAUCCUUGUGUGAUUGCUCUUGAGGGAGGCCAAGGUUGCUUCAUCUCGCAUGCUCGCAUUUGUACACGGCAGCUCGUAGUAGGAAUGUGGACGUCAACCAUCCACUAACCGUGAGGGAGUGCGAGUUCUCGAUCAUGACCACGAAGCAUACAUGGGCUCCUAGAUUUGAACCAUACUUUGACCAAUCACAAUGACCGGAGUAUCAUGGAGUACAACUAUGGCCCGACCCAGAGUGGAAGGUUGUGAAACUGGGAAGACGAAAGACAAAGCGUUUUAGAGGAGACAUGGAUGGAUGGGGCCAUGGUGGUGGCAGAGAAAUGGGGAACAACCAAUUCCAAGAGCCUACUGAGAGAUCACAUUGUGGAGAGUGCGGUGUAACAGGGCACAACACAAGAAGGUGUACGAAGCGAAAGAAGAAGUCCAAAAACAAUGAUUCCAGGUCAAGCCAACCAAGUCCUAGCCAACCAAGUCCUAGCCAACCAAGUCCUAGCCAACCAAGUUCAAGCCAACAAGGGACGGGUCAAGGAAGCACGAGCCAACAAGGGACGGGUCAAGCAAGCACAACCCAACAAGUUCCUACUCAACAUGUUCCUAGCCGACUUGGGCUUACUAGAGGACAUGGUGCUAGAGGCAGUGGUGGUGCUAGAGGGAGGGGUGGUGCUAGAGGCAGGGGUGGGAUAGGUCGUGGUGGUGCUAGAGGAAGGGGUGGGAUAGGUGGUGGUGGUGCUAGAGGCAGUGGUGGGAUAUGUGGUGGACUUACUAGGAUUGGUAUGCGUGGAUACCUACGAGGACCAUUUCCGUAUGUCACAUAUUUGACUUAUCUUUAUCAUGUUGUUUUUCAUGCUCCUUUGUGUGUUAUUUUACUAACUAUGAGCUUUGAUGCAUGUUUUGUAGGUAUGGCCGCUUCUCAACCCAACAAGGCAAAAGCGGAGUGGGGGGAGGAGAAGGAUGCAGCCAGUGAGGAGCAGCGGUUGAUGGAGAGGGCUGCAAAGAAGUUGAGAGAAACAGAGUAACAGAGAACUUGGCUACUCUUUUGAUGAGUAAUGAUCAUCCUUAUCUUAGUUUCACUUUGUUUCUCAUUUCAUCAAGACUAUGUUUCUCAUUUCAUCAAGACUAUGUUGAUGAGGAUAUGUCUUGCACUUUGUUUCUCAUUUCAUCAAGACUAUGUUUCUCAUUUCAUCUAGACUAUGUUGAUGAGUAAUGUUCAUCCUUAUCUUAGUCUUCUCAAGUGCUUUGCCAUGACUCACACACAUUAUUUUGGUUGAGCCUAUCUUAAGAUUACAAACAAAGUAAGAUACAACGUGCUGAUACAACUUGCUGAAAUUAAGAUACAACUUGGUGAAAUUAAGAUACAACUUGCUGAUACAACUUCCUGAAAUGAAGAUACAACUUGCUGAAAUUAAGAUACAACUUGCUCAUACAACUUCGUGAAAUCUACUGAGUCCAACGUGGAUAUUUUCCUUUUCCAUCAUUGGCUUCUUCUGCUGCCUUGGCCGCACGAGCUCUUUCUCUCUUUCUCUCCCUCUCAGUUUCACGGGCUUGUUCCCGCUAUCUGUAAACCUCCUCCAGCCGUAGUUUCUCUUCUUGGUUUUUCCUUAUCAUCUCAUCAAGAAAAGCCAUGUGCUCCACACAGUACUCUUCCCACUCUUUCUUCUGCGCUGCUUUCUCCUCUGCUUCAGCCUUCUCGCGGCGCUUUUCCAAGUCCCAGCUAACCCAUGCACGGCGACCUCUUUCACGAAUCUCGGUCACCGCCCAGUCCGGCAUUUCCGUGUCAAUCCAACGAUAGUACAUGCAGAGAGGAGGAGGAGACUACCGGAUGGAUCAGAUUCAAGUAAACAAUAAUAUCAAGUAAACAAUAAUCUGAUGACUUGAGCAUACCGGAGGCCUGAUGUACGCCGAAAUAGAUUCGGGUGGAUCAGAUUCAUAAUUGGCGCACAUGAAAAACUUCAUGCCCAACCAAUCUGAAAAAUCCUCCACCUCCUUCACCUUGCAAAGAUCACCGCACCAACAUCGAACUGCUUCCACCCCCCGAGGCAAACUCGCACUCUUCAUUUUCUUAGGCCUGAUGCUUUGAUCCGAGCAAGGCAAACUCAUAUUGACUAAAGCGGUGGUAGUGUUCUCAAGUGAAGCUGGAUGACGGAGGAAGGCAGUCCAAUGCCUCCUUUUAUAGACCGGAAAGGAGACGUCGAAAAUUUGUCGGGAACGAAGGAGGGAAAGGUGGCGGGAAAGGAGACGUGGAAAUAUUGGCGGGAACGGAGGAGGGAAAGGUGGCGGGAAAAAGACAUGGAAAUAUUGGCGGGAACGGAGGAGGGAAAGGUGGCGGGAAAGGGUGUGCUCAAAAUUUGGGUGGGAUCGGAGGAGGGAAAGGUGGCGGGAAAGGGUGUGCUCAAAAUUUGGGGGGAACGGAGGAGGGAAAGGUGGCGGGAAAGAGUGUGCUCAAAGGUUCCAGCAGGUUUUCACAUGUGUGGCGCCUAAGGCUUAGGCGUUGCACAUGUGUGGCGCCUAAGGCUUAGGCGCCACACAUGUGAAAACCUGCUGGAAGCUGAAUUUUGACAGCAAUAUAGCAUUUUAACAACAUAUAUUUUGACAGAAAUUUAAAACAUAUGUGAAACACCAACAAAUGCAAAUGAUUGUUCACAAGUGCAACACCAACACCAACAACACAAGUUCACAACUCCUAAUGGUUCACAACACAAGUGCAACACCAAGUAAAUGGUUCACAACUCCAAAUGGUUCACAACAAAAGUAAAAUGGUUCACAACACAAGUGCAACACCAACAAGUGCAAAUGAUUGAAAACUCCAAAUGGCUCUGGUUCACAUCUUGGCGCCUCGUCCCCUCUUAGAAACUAGCUUCUUUCUUCUCGAAACUACAAAUUGCUCCGGGUCAUCCGACUCAUCGUCAUCGUCAUCCUCAUCCUCAUCGUCCAUGCUUCUCAUCCUUGACAAACGAGAGCCCCCGUCGACCGGGUUCUUUCCUUUCGCAUAAUCAUCCGGUGAGUACCGCCUAAAUUCCUUCCUAGGCUUCAACAUGUAAGCGGAGCGUUGGAAAGCCUUCAACACCAUCCCGUCCGCAACCUAAUACAUAUGAAGGUUGAAAGUUCAAAGUUGAAGGUUGAAAGUUGAAGGUUGAAAGUGCACAAUGUUUUAUGGCUAUGUCAUACCACAGGAGUGUCAACAUCAUCCUCUACAGUAUUUCUUUGGGUAUUAGCUGCCGAGGUAAUGUCACCAUCGUCCAUACGAGCGCCCGAAGAAGCUGAAUCAUCUAGAGUAUUUCUUUGGGAUGAACCGGAUCUCGAAGGUGAAACAUAUUCAGGGUCACGACAACCUAAAAUGUUGGAUAGGCGCCGCAACUUCUUGCCUUGUUCCUGUUAGAUUCAAAUAUAAAUGACAUAUAUAAGGUACCGCAUGUUGCAUUCGUGGACAAAAUAAUAAUAAUGACACAACACCUUUAUGAAAAGACGAAGUGCAGAUUCUCCCUUUUUUUCCUCCAGGUGUCUUCUCUAGAAUAUCUUCGGACUCAUCAGCUUGUUUCUUGACCUCUUUGCGCUAUGAUCACAAGACAAUGACAUGCAAGUGAAUAGGUGUACUAGCAUUCAUACUUAACAUAGGUGAGCACACUUACCACAAAGUUCGGGACAGGGGCGAAGGAAGUUUGGUACCCUUCGCGAAUUAACUUGUUGUAAUCGCCUUGGGAAAGUGCAUCAUACUCAGUGGGUUCUUCCAAUAUGUCCUCCUCGUAAGCCGGCGGACAAAUCUCGACACGAGUACUCUCCUGAAACCAUCUUAGGUAGUUGUUGAACGCAAGCGGACAAUGCUGGCGGUGCUGGGUUUGUUGCGCACUCGAAGCUGCCUGCACACUUUGCUCGAACAUAAUGACAUAGUUCUUAUGAUGCUUAUGCCAAUCCUUGAUCUUUCGCUGCCUCCUCCUAUCCAACCUGCUUUUAACAAAACCCAUCAGAAGCUCGCUCAACACUAAAAACAAAACUCAUCAGUACUUCUUUAUUGUGCAUGAUUUUGUUACCUGUGAAGUUGUGUGUCCGUGUCCACCCACUCCGGCGGGUGUGGCUGAAACAACCCAAAUUGAUGCAUCACACGAUGCGGGAGAUGAAACUCAACCGCCCAAUUGCAUAUAAGGGGACAACGCAUUAGCCAAGGAUGUUUUUCCUGCAGGCAUAGUGGAUUGAGUCAAACGUGUGUGCAUCACCAAAGUUUGGCCCGGCACCAUAUGGCUGCCAUUCCACCUACAACACAACAUAAAAGGCACAAUUCAUUUUACUCACAACAUAAAAGCUGGAAGUCAACUCUGAAACCAUCUUACCUGCUUGGGGGUAAGCGAAUACAUCUCGUUGGUGUGUUGCUUGUACAAUAGGUUCACUUCGCUUGCCACCUACGAUACCAAGUCCCACUUGUAAGCCCAUGUAGGAAGCCGUAUAGGGUUGCCGUGGUCAUCCCAGGUAUUCCACUUUGAGCUUUUAGGGCGUCCAACAGGUAGGCGUUCCCAGCUCCAUACUGAAAGUAGAGCAUACAACCACCAACUCCACCGUCCUUUGUGGUCCUGCGACAACCAUCGUCCAACUACAAGUAACAACAAACAUGCAUCAGUUUAGCAGAAAAAGAUAACAGAGAGUACUUAAUAUUAACAAUUUAUUACCUGCCGAUACAAGUAAGCCAGUGCGGCCGAGCCCCAACUGAACUUGUUGUCGAAAACAGUCAACACCUUCAGCCACAUCCAUGGAGCAUUCUUGCCAGUGCCGUCAGCAAAGAUAGUCCUAGGGAUGACGUACCACAUGUACACGCGAGCAUACCUCUGGAUCACCUCGUCAUCUACGUCCUCAGGACAAUGAGCAAAGUUCGCGGCAAUCCAAGUGAAAGGAGCGCCGACCGGGACUCUAUCUUUCUUCCCUCCAUCUUCUACCUCCGGCUCCUGCGGCGACAUACCAAUAAGGGCCUCCAUUUGUUGCCACCAUCCCUCGAAAUCAGUGCUCAUACAAAGAGGCUUCCCCUCGAUCGGAAGUGUGGUGAUCAUGGAAACAUCUUCAAGAGUAACUGUCAUCUCUCCGGUCCGGAGGUGAAAACUAUGUGUCUCCGGCCUCCAACGAUCAAUAAGUGCUGUGACUGCCGCAGCGUUCAGAUUCGGCGUUGACCGACUCACAAGGUGAAUGAAUGGAAGGAGUCCUGUCAUCUCGAUGUAUGGGGUGUACCGCUCAUCGUACUGCAUUAUAGACGAUGCCCCAUAAGACCGGAUCUUCAAGGGCGUAAGCUCCUGCAAACAGAUAGGAGUAAGUGAUAUCAUUACAUUUUCAAGUGCUUAUUAAAUACAUGAUUUUUUUUAUCAUAUGAUCUACUUACCAUUUUCUUCUCCGACAUGAAAUAGGCCCGGUGUUCAACGUCAUAAACAUCAUUCAGAAGCCACACCAUCCUACAAAUCACAAAAAAAUACUCAUAUUCAAAAAAUUACUCAUCUACUAAUCCACUCAUCUACAUAUUAUUCAAAUCCUAAGAACUNNNNNNNNNNNNNNNNNNNNNNNNNNNNNNNNNNNNNNNNNNNNNNNNNNNNNNNNNNNNNNNNNNNNNNNNNNNNNNNNNNNNNNNNNNNNNNNNNNNNNNNNNNNNNNNNNNNNNNNNNNNNNNNNNNNNNNNNNNNNNNNNNNNNNNNNNNNNNNNNNNNNNNNNNNNNNNNNNNNNNNNNNNNNNNNNNNNNNNNNNNNNNNNNNNNNNNNNAUCCUAAGAACUCAUACGAAUGUACUCAUAUCCUAACUACUAAAAUCCUAAGAACUAAUAUCCUAACUACUCAUAUCAAUCUAGUCAUAUACUAACUAUUAAUACUAACUACUAAUAUGAAUCUACUCAUAUCCUAACCACUCAAAUCCUAAGAACUCAUAUCCUAACUAGUCAAAUCCUAAGAACUCAUAUCCUAACUACUCAAAUCAAUCUACUCAACAAAAACCUAUUCCACUUGGAUAGAAGGAUGGGAAACGGAAGAGAUUACCUAGUAGCCAACCUUGGGGGAUCAAUCCAAGGAAGAAAUCACCAGAUCUGAAGGAGAUGGUGGAGGGGAUUAGGGAUUGGAAGAGAGCCAGCCGCCGCCGUUCAUGUUUCUGUUUGAAUGAGGGAGGGGAAUGGGGAGGGGGUGGGGAGGAGGGCUGGCCCGUGGCUGUAUAAGUCAUUGUGUGGCGCCUAAGCGUUCGGCGCCACACAUUACAAUGUGUGACGCCUGAGGCUUAGGCGUCACACGACCUGGGGGGUGGGCCCUUUCUGCCAGGUGGUCGGGGGGGUGUGGCGCCGAACGGCUAGGCGUCACACAGUACAGUGUGGCGCCUAGGUGUCGGGUGCCACACAAAAGGGUCAGUCGGGUGACAUAUUUUUCCCGAGGGGUCACUCUGUGAGUUCUUUUCCCCCAGGGGUCAUUUUUGUCAAUUUUGCCGUCGGACGGGCUGUGCAGUGCUGCAGGUGCAUACUAUCGAUGCUGCACCACGCACAUACGUAGGUGUACGUUGCUUGCACGUUUUACCUUGGUGUGACUGAUUGACCAGUUGGGCGAAGAGCUCGAGGUAAAAACGCCAUGGUUCAUGGCGUUUGUCGUCUGGGCAGCAAUGCCAACGUCAUUGGUGUUUCUAUGUGGGCUACAACGCUGGCUAGUUCGGUGUUUGAAUGUGGAGCAAAAACGCUAUGGUGGACUGACGUUUCUACAUGCAGCAGCAACGUCAUGGAUUCUGGCGUUUCUAAAAGGAUCAGAUCGUGAAAUAUUUUCAGAUCGAAUUCACUUUGUGAUAUACUUUACAAAAAAGUCAGAACAGUGGUUUUAUCCCACAUACAUGAUUUAUAAUUUUGACAUAUUAACUAUCGUUCACAAUAAAUACUACUCCCUCUGUAAACUAAUAUNNNNNNNNNNNNNNNNNNNNNNNNNNNNNNNNNNNNNNNNNNNNNNNNNNNNNNNNNNNNNNNNNNNNNNNNNNNNNNNNNNNNNNNNNNNNNNNNNNNNNNNNNNNNNNNNNNNNNNNNNNNNNNNNNNNNNNNNNNNNNNNNNNNNNNNNNNNNNNNNNNNNNNNNNNNNNNNNNNNNNNNNNAUAUUAGUUUACAGAGAGAGUACUAAACUUCCGUGCGUCUAAAAUACCUAAUUUUAUUAUAUAACUUAAUUAAACAUGUCAUGCAAAAUACACAGUUCAACUAAAUUUGUACAGUCAAGUGAGCGUAGCUCAGAUGGUUAGAUUAUUUGUGAUGGAACCAGUGCUUUGAAUUUAUUUUUAAUUGUUCGGCGAUGCUUUUAGUCUUUUCAGCAAUGCUCGUUCAGUGUGAGCUGUCUACGACGAGGCGUUUACCGUAACUUUGUUAUUUUAAGAUGUUAUGUCGGCUCAAUAUCUUAAAAUGUGCAUGUGGAUAGGGUGUGUGUGCGAACCUGCAUUCAUAGAAUUCAAUCUAUAUGCACUUAUUUGAGCAUAUGCGAUUGGACUAUGUUAAAACGAACUAAAUUUAUAGUAAAUGUGAUUAAAUUUCUGUACAGAGGGAGUACAUACUAAUGAGAACUACGAAUUAAUUGUUUCAUUUAGGGGGCAUUGCCUUUCUUUCCUUUUUUGUUUCAUGAAAAUCUUUUAGAUAUGAGUAAAAGGGACAGGAACAAAACCAUAAACUUUAAUAAAACAAUUACCACUAAUAUGAACUGCAAAUAUUUACUAUUUUGUGUGUCUACAUCGUUGCGAAGAGUUAUAAUGUUUGUUGCGAUGGAAAGAGAAUUUGAUUGAAGUUUACAAAAUGCAUCCUUGCGUAUUUAUUAGUUCAUUUGAGGAUACGAAGACCCUAGCAAGGUCCGAUAUGCUUUGGGAAAAGAAAAAGCUAGCAAAAAAGUUCAUUGAUUCUCAAAAGUUUGCUAUGCACAAAUUUCCACCUAGGAUUUUCAUUGCUGGGAAUUCAUUAGAUUAGAUCAAUAUAAUUGAAAAAAAUCACCAGUAAGCCCACUUUUUAGGUUUGCCCCAGGCCUCGGCCCUGUGACCGGUGACCAAGCUGCGUCGUAAUGGAAUAUGAAUCCUUUAUAUUUUAGUAGUAAAAAAGGAAAUUCAUCUGCAGAUGUAAUCCUUGUCAAAAGAGAAACUAAUCCAAUUUAGUUUGUAAGCACUAGUUGCUUCUAGCUCGUACUCUGAACAUGGAAGUGCUAAAAUAAUCUUCAUUCUAUGGAUUCUAUGGAUGUGUGUAUUCAAUUUUCAUUCGCCAGGUUCUAAAAAUAGACUACGACUUAGUUCCUAAGGCAUAUAAUGUCCAUAUAUUCAUCGUUGAUACAACAUCACAUCUUGCGUCCAGCGGCAUCCGUAUUAAUUAGGCUAUGAAUCAGGAUACGAGGUUAUUGGAUACUCGCCGGCAACGUGAGGCUAUGGAUUAGGAGACAAGGUUAAUAGAUACUCGUGCAUGAAAUUGAAAUAAGGUGGUGUCUAAUACUUCCUCCGUCCGAAAUUACUAAUUACAAAAUGGAUAGAAAUGAAUGUCUCUAGAACUAAAUUAUAUCUAGAUACAACCAUUUUUUCGACAAGUAUUUUCGGACGAAGGAGAUAUAUGUGAAUUAGUUCGUAAGAUAAUUGAAUCAAGGAUGUCAGUUGAUCUCCCGUCGAUCAGGCGGUGGUGACGGCAGCGACGGAGAAUGCAAGUUGUGGUACAACACAGAGGUGGUGGUGACGGCAGCGACGGAGAAUGCAAGUUGUGGUACAACACAGAGGUUGUGGAAAAUUGCAUUCGAUUAGCUCCAGCCUCCAGAUGAUGUAUAUAUGUGUCUAUACUGUGACCAGUGUGUUUCAUUCACUGAAAAUUAACUACGUCUGGUAGAUUUACGGUGAAAUCAAUGUACACUGAUCUGAUUAAUUUUGAAACACUUUCGAGAUCUUUACGUAUUUGAAAGAUCAAGGUGCUUUUCAGAAUUAAGAUUUUCAUGUGGUUUAUAUACAAGGGGUUGUGUUAACUAAAGAAAACUUGAUAAGACGAUGAUGGAUAGACAAUCCUAAGUGUUGCUAUUAUGAUCAAAAUGAAACAGUGAAACACCUCUUUCCUGAUUGUCCUUUGGCUAAACUUUUAUGACGCACUCUACAUAUAGCUUUUAACAUUACUCAACGAGCAAGAAAUAACACACUAUUUGGCACGUGGCUCAACGGUGUGAAUGUAACUAUGGCGAAUUACAUUAGAAUUAGAAUAAGUGCACUAUUUUGGGCUAUAUGGAACACGAGAAAUGAUCUGAUUUUUAAUGGCAAAAGUAUUCACAAUUUUUUUUGUAGAUUAUUUAUAGAGCUACAACUUAGAUCCAUACGUGGUCAUUACUUAGCCAUGUGGACUCCAGGAAGCUUAUGGGUACUAGGUGCAACUGGUGGGAGACGGUAGCAUGGGCUAUCUUCAACCAGUUUGGAUGACGAGCUACUAAUAGGCUAGGUGUAUAGCUAAUUUUUUUUAAUAUUGUAUUUUUUAUUCUUUUUGAAAAAUAAUGCACAGAUUCAAAAAAAUUCAAAAAUAAGCCUGCCUCGGCUUAGGCGUGGCCGAUAGGGACUAAUCGGCCUAGCCAAGACCAAUUAGUCCCAGUCGGCCUUGGCUAGGCCGACAGGCGUGUCAACCUGCCAAUUGGUGGAUGACAGGGACUAAUUGGCCUUGGCUAGGCCAAUUAGUUCCUGUCGUCCUAGCCAAGACCAAUAAGUCCCUGCCAGGACUAAUUGGUCUUGGCUAAGCCAAUAGGUGCAUUUCCCGCCCAUAUUCCCCCAAUCGGCCACGCCAUUUCGUUCCCUCCUCCGUUGCCGCCAAUAUUUCCACGUCUCCAUUCCCGCCAAAAUUUUCGCACCACCUUUCCCGCCAAAUUUUGCCCGUUUCUAUUCCCGCCACCUUUCCCGCCAACUUUUUACCCUCUUAUUUCCCGUCAAAUUUUUCCCGCCUCAUUUCCCUCCUCGUUUUCCCGCCAUCUUCCUGGUCAUCUAAGUCUAUAAAAGGAGGCAUUGAACUGCCUUCCUCCAUCAUCCAACCUCACUUGAGAACACUAGCACUGCCUUCCUCCAUCAUCCAGUCAAUAUAAGUUUGCCUUGCUCGGAUCAGAGCAUCAGGCCUAAGAAAAUGCAGAGAGCGAGUUUGCCUCGGGGUGUGGAAGCAGUUCGAUGUUGGUGCGGUGAUCUCUGCAAGAUGAAGGAGGUGAUGGAUUUUUCAGAUUGGUUGGGCAUGAAGUUUUUCAUGUGCGCCAAUUAUGAAUCUGAUCCGCCCGAAUCUAUUUCUGCGUACAUCAGGCCUCCGGUAUGCCCAAGUUAUCCAGAGUAAAUAUGUUGUUGAUAUUAUUGUUUACUUGAUAUUUAUAUAUAUAUUUUAUAGUCUCCUCCUCCUCUCUGCAUGUACUAUCGUUGGAUUGACAUGGAAAUGUCGAACUGGGCGGUGACCAAGAUUCGUGAAAGAGGUUGGCGUGCAAGGCUAGCUUGGACUUGGAAGAGCGCCGCGAGAAGGGUGAAGCAGAGGAGAAAGCAGCGCAGAAGAAAGAGUGGGAAGAGUACUGUGUGGAGCAGAGGGCUUUUAUUGAUGAGAUGAAAAGUAAAAAACCAAGAAGAGAAACUUUGGUUGGAGGAGGUUUACAGACAGCGGGAACAGGCCCAUGAAGCUGAGAGGGAGAGAAAGAGAGAAGGGUUCGUGCGGCCAAGGCAGCAGAAGAAGCCGGUGAUGAGAAAGGAAAAUAUCCACGCUGGACUCAGUAGAUUUAUUUUAAUUUCAGCAAGUUGUAUCUUAAUUUCAGCAAGUUGUGUCAGCACGUUGUAUCUUAAUUUCAGCAAAUUGUAUUUUAAUUCGGGCAAGGUGUAUCUUACUUUGUCUGUAAUCUCAAGUUAUUGAUAGUAUAUGUGUUAUUCACGAAGAACCAACUGAGCAUAUUUUCCUGCCAUUUCCUAUAAGUCUCUCUUUCCCGCCAUAUUUUCCUGCCUAUAGCUUUCCCGCCAUUUUGUUCCCGCCUUGCUUUCCCGCCAUUUAUUUCCCGCCUCGCUUUCCCGCCAUUUAUUUCCCGCCAUUAGGUUUUCGCCUCGCUCUUCGGCACCUAUAAAACCCUCUCCAUAGCAAGGUUGGUAAGGAGUGUGCUCAGAAUGUCUCAUUAUCCUUUCGAUCGUAGUUUUCACACUGGUAUGUCCGAGUGUCUUCUAUGCUUGGCUAGCAAUUUCAAGAUAGACAAUAGAAUAGUUUCAUGGGACGAACUCAUCAGUAGUGACACGCUACUGAAUGAGGUUGCUCAUGCAUUAGCUAGGAAGGGGUGGCCUGCAAGGACAUAUGAGGAGAUUCGGAAGGAACUUCUACGAUUGAAUGAAAGAUGGAAGAAGAAAGACGAGCACAUACGCGGUGGAGGUGGAGUAAAACAUCCUUUUUUAUGGAUCGACGAUAGCGAGGGCAGCAUCAACGAGUGCCAAGAGUACCGCUUCGUCGAAGGGCCAGAGCUCUGCAUCAUCGAAGGACGACGACGACUUUAUGUAGUUUUUGUAUGAACUCUGCAUCUUAAUGUAUCUUAUUUCAUGUAUCUUAUUUUAUGUAUCUCCGAAAUCUUACUUUGUUUGUAAUCUCAAGUUAUUGGUAGUAUAUGUGUUAUCCACGAUGAACCAACUGAGCAUAGAAAUAGAUAGGAAUAUGUCUCUUAGAUAAAAUACACAUAAGUCUCAUAGAUAAAAUACACAUAAGUCUCAUACAUAAAAUACACAUAAGUCUCUUACAUAAAAUACACAUAAGUCUGAAGUGAUACAUAUAAGGGCAAAGAGUCUGCUUCACUCACGACGUCUCGGUUGGCGCUCUGGGGGUGUGGGAGUGUACUCCAUCCCCACCUAUGGGGGGCCCUAAUGUUACGAGGAGAAAUCUCGGAUCCACCCUCGUCAUACUGUGUAUCCUGUGUGGGCCACGGUGGAGGAGUCGAAAACAUGUCCAACCACAUGUUUUGCUGCGAUGGUGGCUCUUCUGGUUCACUCCCUAACCCGGAUCCGGACACUGACACAUCAUGAUAUGCAGGAGGGACCAUACAUGUUGGAUGUGGAUGAAACAUGAAACCAGGAGUUGGAUUGUGAUGUUGCGGAGUUGGCUGAAACAUGAAGCUGGAUGACGAAGCGUGGUGCUGUGGCUGAUGCCACGCCGAACUGCCAGGCUGGUCAUGUGGGGGUGGAUGUGGCGUCGGUUCCACUCCUUGUAGACGUGGACGCGGCUGAUGUCGAUGCACGGAGUGACGCGGCACCGGCGUAGGUUGCGGCUGGUCAUGCACAACAUCCGAAGUGUGCGUGCACGUGAUAGCUUUAUAGAUAUCUCUUUUCCUCUGCUCGAGCCUCUUGACCCAUGGUUGAAUCUGAGACCGAGGUACCAUAAGAGGUGCAGAUGACAAUUGUCAAUCAAAGUUCAUCACGUUAGUAUGAAGACUGUAUGCCAACUCAUCCUGAAAUUGUCAUUAAGAAUAAUAAGUACCGAUGAUGAAGCAAGUAACAACAACUUAAAUGACGUAAAGAGAAUAAAUAUUACCGCAUACUGCCUGGAGCCAUAAGUAUCAUACGUCGGGUACGUAUCAGACGUAUGCAGGCCCGGAAUCUUAUCUGUAUUGGAGUGCUGAACAAUGCGUAAUCGUGUUCCUCUCAUGUACCCCUCCAAAUAUGCAUUGUAUGCAGCGAGAUCAAAUGUUUGUUGUUCAUGCCACCUACGUUCAGUGGCAGUUUCUCAUUCUAAAACGUACUCUUCAAGCCUUUGUAGCCACUGAGCCCGUGUCCUAUUUGUUCCCUUCCUUGUCAUCCUGUAAUUUAUGAUGAUGUUUAACCAUAGGCCAUAGAGAAACAAAAUGUAAUAUAUAGUUAGUAUAACAUAUAUGUGGACUACUACUGAAAGCAGGUUCUCUGUGUUGGGCGGAGGAGUCAGCUGCCGAAGACCGAACUGUCUCAUAAUGCGCUGUUGCGCCAUCUCCUCAACAAAGUCAUCCAGUAACCCCGAUCUCUCGUUCAUAGCACAGAAAUACCACCGGGAUAUCUAGAAAUUCUGGCUGAUUCCGUGUACGGUUGGCAAAUAACUCCCGUGUACGUAGCAAACUGCUCAUUUAGUGCAGUGUAGGCUUGCCUAGUCUGUUCACUAGCAUGCCGUCUCUGCGCAAGACAUAAGUUAGUUUCAACCAUAGUGUAAACUAAGAAGGUGGAUAACAUUAUACCAGGGGACAUACCUUGCGACGCGUCCAACACAGGCCGAAAGUUGGCAAGUCGAUGUCAUCACCAUCAAGCAUGUUGCCCACAUGAUAACUGUGGUCCACAUCUAUGUUUGGUCGUCCAAUAGAGAAUCUCUCCCAGGACCACAGUUGUAAAAACAGCGGGCAACCAAGAAUGGCCGACUUGGCCGUGGAAAGCUGACAACCGUUGCACAUACCUCGGUAUGUAGCAGCUAAUACCGCAGAUCCCCAACUCCUCGGUGUGAUCUGUUCAGCCGACUCAGCAGUCGCGAUUUCAAGUGCAAUGGGGAUGUAACGCGCACUCAAAGUAGUGACAUGGUUCUCUGUGAACAUGACCUUCCCGAGAAGCCACAGUAGGUACGCCUCCAGGCUACGAGUAAUCUAUAUAGUACUCAAAGGGACUUGUGAAUAACCUGAAAAUCUCUCGAUCUGCAAUCAUGUAAGGAGAAAGGGACUUGUGAAUAACCUGGAAAUAUCAUAACUUGAAGCAUUUACUUUUGAAAGAUAUGCGAGGUAGGGACUAACCCUGAAAUGUUGUAACCAGUCAUACUUAGGUCCGUGCGCCUCUGACGCCAGUACUGGAGCCCCAUCAUAUAUAUUGAAGAAACGUGCUGCCAAAGUUCGUUGCCAAUCUGGCGGGUCCUCCAACAGUCCUAUCGCAUUUCCCGCCAACAGAAGUCCGAGCAACAUUGAGACAUCUUCCAGAGUAGGAGCCAUCUCACCCCAUCUGAAGUGGAACGUGUGGGUCUCAGGCCUCCAUCGGUCCACUAAGCAAGUGAGCAAAGAAGAGUCAAUGCUGAGGUGCCUCGACGUCUCAGUGGCCUCAACUAGACGUGCGAACGGUAAAAGCCCGGCCCAUUUGAGUCUGCAUAUCCACCAAUCAUAAAAUUUAUGUUACUUACAAUGCAUAUUUAAUACAAUGAUUAAAGUUUAAGAUAAAAACAUUUACCUUUCAACCCACAGCGGAUGUAUACUCCAGUCCACCUUAGCAGUACGAGUGACUAGUGGUACGAGCUUCUGCUCAGUUAAUAGCGAAGCACGAUGCUUACUAUCAACGUUCGGAUUAAGAAGAUGCAUUCCCUCCAUUGCUAUACAAUACAAAACGUAGUGCAACACAUAGUAUAAAAUUAAAACAUAGUGUUAAUACAAACUAAAAACAUAGUGGUAGUCCAAACUUAAAACAUAGUGAUAGUACAAACUUAAAACGUAGUGCUAGUCCAAACUUAAAACAUAAUGCUAGUGAAAACUUAAAUGUAGUGCUAUUACAUAAAUUUUAAACUCUUCCUCCUCCUCUUGCCCUCCCUCUUCCUCCUCUUCUUCCUCGGCUGCCUCGUCCACGCCUAGUGCCCCUUGCAGUGACGAAGGUGGGACAAUCACGAUCCCUAUGCCCAAAUUCAUUACAUAGAAUGCAUUGUACGGUGCGCCAGCCGGCCUGAGAUUCAUCCAUGUCAUUCCAGAUGCGUUGACUCUGCCGCCUCCCUCUACUUGUACACAUAUGCGCAGGAUGUGGAAUGUAUCGCCUUUGAGCAGGCUCGACAAUGUUGAAGUUACCCAUUGAUCGGAAACCCAUCAACUCACCUGUCCAGGUAUUGAGGACAACCUCUUUCAGAAAAUACGGUGACACAAAAGAGAUUGCGUCAAGACCUAUGAGCCCGCAAGCAGCAAGUACAUGCGAGCAAGGUAGGUGAAGCAAAUUUGGUUUGUUGCAUGUGCAUUCGCACGUUGGCCACAAUUCAUUUCAAAUUUUCACCUCGUGUGUUCUCAUCUCAGUUGCACAUCCGAAUUUGUUGUUAGCUAAGCGAACCUCGAACCUUCGCUCUAGAUUUUCAAUGGCGACAACACUGUGUGACCGGGCUUUCUUCAUCUUUUCAUCCAUGUACUUCAUAACCCUUUUCAUGGUAACGUGUGUUCGGAUUGUUUGUCAUAUGCUCCGCAGCAAUUUGACGUCUUUCCCUGAAAUACUUCACUGUGCUAUAGAAAAUGCCCUCAACGAUCGCUAUAAGUGGCAAAGCUCUGUUUCCUCUGAGGACAAAAUUAUAUGUUUUAGCCAGGUUGGUAGUCAUGACACCGUACUUGGCUCCAUGUGUGUCAUGCAACAGAGACCACCUCUCCAAUGGCUCAUGCUCUAUCCACUGAUCAAAGGUUUUAAUCGUCCUCGCUAGCCUUCUCCUUCUACCAGGAGGGUCAAAUUCUGGCAAGUCACAAAGCCCAACCGGCUCUUCCUCCACGGUAGCAGAUCCAGUUGCUAAUUGUGCAACUACUGCUUCAACAUGUGCCCUGACAACAGCAUCUCUUGCAGCUCCCCUGUCCCUAACAUGUCUCUGUGUGCAAACAUUUAGUCUGUUACGUAUCAACUCAUAUUUCCAUUGUUGGUUCUGCUUGCAUAGUUUCUUGAAUAGAUUCAUGAGGUUCUUAUUUCUAAACUGCGAGAAGAAAUUUGCCCCUAGAUGGCGCAUGCACCAACGACUCUGAAUGUCCUGCCAAGGAGUUUGUUCACCGGGAGCAGGUUUUGACAAUGUCUUGAUCGCGCUGAGUAUACCUGCAUGCCUAUCAUGAAGGAUGCACACAUUCUGCUUAUCUUGCACAACAACUAUUUUCAACUGUCUGAAGAACCAUGUCCAACUCUCGAUGUUCUCACUCUCCACAAAAGCAAAUGCAAGUGGGACGACUUGAUUUUGCCCAUCUUGACCUAUGGCUGUGAGGAUCUGACCAUUGUACUUGCCAGUGAGAAAUGUGCCAUCAACACAUAUCACCGGUCGAUAAUGUCUGAAAGCUUCGAUGCAGGCACCGAAAGAGAAGAACAACCGAUGCAACACCCUAACCGUUGGGAACUCUGGCAGGUACAACUCUUGGAUGUCAACAUACGUGCCAGGAUUCCGGUUCUGCAGUGUCUGCACGAGUCGAACAACAGAGUCAUAUGCAUCAAAAUAUGAACCAAAUCUGGUCUCUAGUGCCUUCUGCUUAGCCCUCCAAGCCUUGCCAUAUGAUAUGUUGUACUUUAACCUGACGAAGACUUUUUUCUGGAUAGCCUUCACUUCCAUCGCCUUGCACUCCACAAUCUCGCUGUAAAGCAAGCGAGCAAUCACAGUGGAAGUAAGGUUGGGAUGAUCUUGAGGGAUGCAUGGAAUAACACAGUUAUGACUAACUAGGUCACUUAUGACCCAGCUUGUCUCGUACUUAGAGAGAUAUCCAUGCACCCUUGCGGGACAACCCUGAUUUCUGCAAACCAUUGUCAACUUAUCCGGACAAGAAACUUGAGCUACAAAUACCCUUUGAGUGGACAUUGCCCAAUUAAGGAUGGCAUCCUUCAGAGCUUGUUUGUUCGGGUAGAGGGCACCUGUUGCAAUGUUGUUCUGGUGAUACUGCCAGGCAGAAUCAUGACCGUCGUUCACCAACAUUGCAGAUGAGAAAUCCUGAUUCCAUCAUGCAGGAAUAGGCACUUCAUGUGUGUGCUCUUCUCCAUCUAAUUCGGCGGAUUCAUCGGAAAUAUCACCCGCUAUAUCUUCUUCAUGCAUCUCAUUUUGCAUGUGCCCAUAUAUCUCGUCGGCAUCCGCCUCACCGCUGAGAUAAUCAUCUGCAUCUCCCCCUUCUGCCUGACUACUCUGGCCUGCUUCGUAAACAUCAUCCCCAGCAUGGGACGCAUGAAUUGUCUGUGAAUCAUGCAUCCCUACACUGCUCUCACCAUAUUCAUAGCUACGUUCCACUUCAGGUUCAGUCACCGGCUUUAGCACGGGGAGCAGUAAGGCCACGGGAUGACAUCCCCUACGCUCGCAAGACUGUAACAAGCGCACCCACUGGUCGUCCCGCUCUAUAUGCUUCAAAUACCAGAAAAUAUUAGCACUGGACCAGGUCCAUAAUGCAUGAACACCGACGGUGUGUGUUUCAGUAUUGAACCCUAAACAUCGCGCAAGACAUUCUGUCAACUGACUAACAGACCAUGUUUUAGGGGAGGACACCUGCACCUUUGUGUACUGAAAUUCACUAAGAUUAGCUCCCAUCUCAUUUGUUUGAACGGUACCAGGACCAUAGUGCAAACAUAACGUCACUAAAUCAGACAUCUCUGCUGACCUAACAUAUUAUUCAACAAGGAAAAAAAUUAGAAGAACGACAAACCGAAAUAUAUUUUCCAAAUCUAUCGGAGAACCUAAAAAUAAUUAAACUACUUCAUUCACUAAACUAAAUUUAUACUAAUUUACCGGACCACCUAAAACUAGUUAAACAACUAAAUUUAUACUAAUCUACCGGACCACCUAAAACUAGUUAAACAACUAAAUUUAUACUAAUCUACUCGAGCACCUAAAAGUUUAUAAACUACUUAAUACACUAAUCUACACAAAAAUUACCCUUGAAGCGUGCGCAGAAACGACGAACGACUCUUGACGAACACCGAGAAUAAUCACGAACGAGCAACCGCCACCACCACCUCCAACUCCACCAAAACAACCAACUUCACCCACACCACCACCACCACCACCACCANNNNNNNNNNNNNNNNNNNNNNNNNNNNNNNNNNNNNNNNNNNNNNNNNNNNNNNNNNNNNNNNNNNNNNNNNNNNNNNNNNNNNNNNNNNNNNNNNNNNNNNNNNNNNNNNNNNNNNNNNNNNNNNNNNNNNNNNNNNNNNNNNNNNNNNNNNNNNNNNNNNNNNNNNNNNNNNNNNNNNNNNNNNNNNNNNNNNNNNNNNNNNNNCCACCACCACCACCAAAAAUAGCUUCAAAACAAGCACCACAAACUACCCCAUCGCGAGUGAGACGGAUAGUUUGGAUGCCCUCCUCCUUACACAAUAAAAGUACGGUUCAAAACGUGGAAAUGGAAGACUUUUUGUGGGGGGGGAGAAGGAAGGAGGAGAAAGAGAGAAAGGAGAUAAGGUACAAUGGGAGAAGGGAGAAGGAAGAAAGAGGAAGGAGGAAGAAGGAGAGGGGGAAGGGGCUGGCUCGGGCUGGCUCGUGGCCACUAAUCGGCCACGGCUAGGCUGAUAGCCUUAUCGGCUUCGCCCAGGCCGACAGGUAGAGCCGACUGGGCAAUCGCCGUGGCCUGGCCACUAGUCGGCCGCCACUAAUCGGCCGGGCCUAGGCCAACUGCUUCCCGUCGGCCGCGCCAGAGCUCAUAGCCUCCAAUCGGCUUCGCCAGGGCUGAGGCAGGCUUAUUUUUGAAAAUUUUCGAAUCUGUGCAUUAUUUUUCAAAAAGAAUAAAAAAAUGCAAUAUUAAAAAAAUUAGCACAUGUAUAGGCAUCAUAGUCUAUUUGUUUGUUUUCGCCGGAUGUGGCAGUUAUUUUCCACUUGUAAGCGGUUUUAUCCAAGUUUUGAUCUGUACUUCAGAACUUAAGAUUAUGUUUGCUUUUUUUCUUAAUAAAAUGGCUAAAUGCAUCGAUUGAUGCAGAGGUCGGCGGCUUGAUCCUCCUUUUACAAAAAAGGGAUAAAGCCUUACUGCUCAUAUAAUUUCUGUGUUAAAAAACAAUUGCUCAUAUAAUUUUAAGGAAAACUCUUACCUCCUACUGGCCGGUCUGUGCAACUGUCCCGCCGGCUCGAUGGCCGUUGAUAUUGUGUUGAUCUAACGGGCGAGAUUGUGUUGACGCCCGUUGGAGCCGCGGCCGUUUCCUGAAACAUACGGUUUGUUUGAGGACAACAUUCCUGCAGCUAGAAGCACUCAUCCCCGCAGCAGCGUGUGCUCGCGGGGCCGGAAAGGCGACGACGAAACCCACCGUCGUGACGACGACGACAUCUUCCAGGGUGGCAACGGCCGACAACAAUCCAGCUCGCGGUGGAAAGCCCCCCGGCGGUGCUUGGAGUUGAGAAAGAUGGUCGCGCCCGUUCUCCAAGCAGGGGUCCUCGGUGAGCUCAGAUCCCAUCAUCUGGCGCGAGAUGUGGUGUGCCAUGGAGGUCCCCACGCCAGUGGUGGCUGAUUUUGCGGUGGUUGUGGGCGGCGCCGCGCUGGCGCAGGUCUAUUUGGAUCGGAACAAAGCGCUGGUUUCUGCAACUCGAUCGUUGUUUCAGGAAUUAAUGAGGGGGGAGGCGACCGAGCUGUGUACCAGGAGAUCAAUCAUACAACUACGUGCGGGUAGAUCGAACGACCAUUGAGGUGGCAGACGUACCGCGCGGAUCAUCCGCUGGACGUGUAGGCAGUCCCCUAACCUCAAUUGUUUUAAGAUAAUAUAAAUGUUUGGACAAAAAGAAAAGGGUCAAUCAUAUCACAAGUGUGUGAACUUGUCUAAAAAAGUCACUUUGAUGCUCAUAGUGAUAUUUAAUUGUUUCUUUAGAGAAAAAAUUGAGAGGCUUUAUCGUGAGAAAAGUAAAAUUCCUAUAGGGUUUUUGCAAAAAAAACCAUGGCACAAGCCCUCGCCCAGAUCAUCUAGUCACUAACAUUGGAUCCCACGCCAUGUUGGCGCGCCUCAUCAUUACUCUGUGUAUAUACAAACGUGAUUAGCACUAUAGAUGAAUGCACAAGCCAAGUUUUAUCAACGGUUUAAUUAAUCUAUGCCACAAGUUUUAGCAUCAAAUUAACUUUUCUCGCCAAGUUCACACACCUUUGAUGUAAUUGACUCAAAAGAAAAGCUUUACAAGUUUUUAAAAAGGGGUGUACGAAAGCAAAUGCUUGCAUUGAUAAAAGAUGAAAGUAAUCAUAAAUCAAUUUCUUCUUUUUCUGGCUCUUGCUUCUGUAUAUAACGCCAUCGCUUUGUCCAUGACCUUGGCAUCCAAUAAAAGCUGCGUUCUUUUCUUGCUGCAAGGAUGAGUAGAGAUGUACUCUUUCAACGAUGAUGAAUUCCCACCGACCUUUCCUAGCUUCUCGUAGACGGCAGGGGCUAUGCGUGGAUCAAAACCAGCGGCAGCAAGCAGCAGGAUUCCAAUGUGAUCCGCCUCUAUCUCCAUCCUACAUAGCUGCAUAUAUUAGGCAACAUAUGUAUCGAUCAUGCAUGUAGAACAACUUCUACUUACGAGGAAAUAGUUGUAAAUAGUCAGCAUGAAUGAUAUGAGAUGAGAAAUUAGUAUAUGCAGAAGAAGGUAGCUAGCUAGCUAGCAGAGGCAGGUUGGUAUAUACUUACUUUCGUGAGAAAGGCAGCCUGAGGAGGUAUUCGGUGAGAUUAUCAAUCAGCUUUGGCGCAUCGAUAAAGAUCUGGAGGAAAACCGCGAGCAUCAAAAUCCACAUGUUCUUGGUGAGCCCCUCUGCGGCGUGCCUUGCAACGGCGUGCGCAACCUAGAAACAAAAUUAAACAAGAGGUGCAACAGGCAGCCCAUUAAGUUAGAACAGAAUCCGCCGUACGAUAUAUAUAUAUAUAUAUAUAUAUAUAUACUAUAUAUNAUACACACACACACACACACACAUAUAGAAAGUCUAUUCAUCAUCCAGGAUGCAGAAUAAGUUAUUCUUCAUCCAAGAUAAUUUUACGGUUGUUUUAUAAAUAAAUUACAUUAAAAUACAAAUAGUUAUAUUUAUAUUGAUUCAUUACAUAUAGGGUCGCGUUAUUCGUCACCCUGGAUGAGGAAUAGUUAUUCAUCACCCCCUCUAUUUCCACAUCAAUACACCGUAAUUUUACGUCUCGUAAAUUUUAAUAUAAUCUCAUAUGUAAAAAUAGAUCGUAAGAAAGUACAUAGUCACCGUAAAUAUAAGACUUUUUAAAGAUUCUAUUACGAACUACAUACGAAUAAAGAUUCAUUCAUUUUGCUACGUAUCUAGUCUAUAAUAAAAUAUUUAAAAGGUCUUGUAUUUAAGAAAGGAGGGAGUAUAAGAAAAGAUUAGAAAAACACCCAAAGUAAGGUAAGGUACCUCGUGCCCUAGCACCGUGGCGAUCUCAGCGUCGGUGUUAAACUUUUGGAGCAGUCCGGUGUAGACUAUGAUCUUGCCACCGGGCAUGCACAUGGCGUUCACUUGCUUGUUGUCGACGAGGAUGACCUCCCACUUGAACCCGUCGAGAUGCUUGGUCAUCGGCUGUGGAGCCGGGCACGGCGGCGCGUUGCCGACCCAUGUUUCGAGGUGCUUAUCGUCGCCUUGGCCGGUGGCAAGGGUGCGGCAUGCGGCGCGGAUGAUCUUGGUGGCAACGGCAUUGACACGGACGUAGUCAGGGUGGGACUGAGGGAGGACCUUGUCUCCCAGCUUCUUCUUCUCGUCGUCGAACUGCGAUUCGCCGAGCGUGAGCUCUCCGUUGUGCGUGAGGACGACGAAGUGGCGGCGGUUGGUGUAGGGCACGGUCUCGAAGGUGCCGUAGCAGAUGGUGGCCACCCCGCCGCCGACGAUGACGACCCCCGCGAGACCGAUUUGGAAUUUCACGGAGGAGGGACUUCUCGGUCGCCUGGAGGAGUAGCACCGUGGGCGUGGGAGCGACGGCUGCGGUUGUCGACGGACGAGAGAGUCGGAGUCACGGCGGAAGAAGCGGCCAAGGCCGGGCGGUUGCGGGGCCUCGUGAGAUCGCCGCGUUAACGGCGAGUGGUAGCAGCGGCUGGCGGUCGGCGGCGGCGGAACAGGCGUUCGGACGGCCGGCUUGGACCGGAGCAGCGCGGGGCGCAGAUUCCUGAGCAAGGCGCUCAUCUUCUCUCAGUUAGAUUGGAUCCGUGUCGUAAUAUCGUCUACGUCGAUUUGACAGGUUGCCGUGAUGAUUUAUUAGGGUUGCGCCGAUACGUGUAGCCAUGUCUCCAUCGGUCUCGUUCAAGUCUGCCAUCGCCGUUACCUUGUCAUCUCAUCCAUGGCUUGCUUAUUACUCCCUCGGUUCCUAAAUACUCCUAUAAGUCUUUCUAGAGAUUCUACUAGUAACUAUAUACGGAUGUAUAUAGACAUAUUUUAGAGUGUAGAUUCAUUCAUUUUGCUUCGUAUGUAGACUCCUAAUAAAAUCUUUUAAAAGACUUAUAUUUAGGAACGGAGGGAGUAUUAGGUUUUAUUUAAUGUGGUAGUACAUGAAUCCGAGGGUUAUAGGGUCUCCUCCUCCGAUUCUAGUACCAACAGAGGAAUAGAAAUUUCAACCAAAAAUCUGAAAUUCCUUGAUCGGUGUCAAAAUAUUCGUAGCCUUGGAAUUUUGAGAAGUAAUUUCAGCCCAAAUUCAAAUUCAUUUAAAUUAAGUGCUUUCAAUAGAUGGAAUCCCCCCAAAAAUAAAUCUCUGAAAUUUCAAAUGUUAGGUGAGGUUCGAUUUUUUUUCUAACUUGAUUUUUCAACCUUCACUAUGGCAAAAAUGUUAUAUGCUGAGUGCACCGCAGUUUGCCGAGUUCUUUUCCUAUGGCUCCACGUCCAUGACGACGGUGAUCGACGAUUUUGUUUUGGGAGGGUUAAUCCCUCUUGGGCCGGUAGUUGAUUUUGACGAUGAGAUACAAAUUAUGAAUAAUGACUUGACACAGAGGGAUGGUUGUGCAGUGGCGAUGGUCACAUCACAUGUAACUACUGAGAAUUAGGAAAAGUGGUGGCGAGCAAGCGCCUGACGAGGCGGGGCUUGAUGCGGCACCUGACAUCGUCCGCAGCAUGGGACGAGUGGCGCCAGACGGACCUGGAUACCCCGACUCAAUGGGCCCGACAGUUACUAUUGAAGAAUCCUGUGUCCAUGUGAUGUCAUAAGAUUGUUGGAGCGGAUAUGAUUAUUGUUGUAGUUUGCUCACCACACACCAAAUUGCUUUGGGAUUUUUUCUCGUCUACACGUAGUUUUGGUUUUAUAUGACUUUACUACUUGCUGGUGUGUUCUCGUAUGUCGUGUGAGUUAGUGUUUGUUGCGUGCAUCCCAGCUAUACAGAGGCCAGAUGUAUGCUUAUUGUGUUAGUAUGUACUCUACCAAGGGAGUAUCUUGUUGAUGCUUUAUUUUAAGCCAAUAAAUUCACUUUUUAUCAAAAUCAACGGUUCAAACGUCUGUCUGGAAAAUCAACGGUUUGAAAGUCUACCUCACAAUGGAUAUGUCCCCCAUCAUGACACAUUCGAAGAUUAAUUAAUUCAUCAUUUAUUGGAGUGGACGACUCAAGUGGCUCUUCAGAAAGAUGCAGGUUUGCAAACCAACCUAUGAUUAGAUCCUCUCCCNNNNNNNNNNNNNNNNNNNNNNNNNNNNNNNNNNNNNNNNNNNNNNNNNNNNNNNNNNNNNNNNNNNNNNNNNNNNNNNNNNNNNNNNNNNNNNNNNNNNUACCUCAAUAUAGAAUUUCACGCAGAUGAAACUGAGACUCUCGGUACUAGCGGUGCUUUUGAUCUCGGAAUCGAAAAUCUCCCCAGCCUCGUAAAAAUCAGUUGUGACGUAUGCGGGGGUAGCAGUAGAGUUGAGGCUGAAAAGGCCGCCAUUCGGGAAGCAGCCAACGCACAUCCCAACCGCCCUACUCUAUCUUUCAGCUUAUAAUGCGUUGCCGGAAUCGAGGUACAAACUUUUUCUCCCAUGAAAGAGCAUGUACUUUUAAUGCACAAAAUGUAUAUAUCUCUCUCAUUGCCUCACAUGAUCGUUCGUCUGUCUUUUUCAGCUCNNNNNNNNNNAUGUAGAGUAUGGGGGGAUGAUAGCAGCAGAGUUGAGGCUGAAAAGGUCGCCAUUCGGGAAGCAGCCAACGCACAUCCCAACCGCCCUACUCUAUACCUCCGCUGAUAAUACGUUGCCGGAAUGGAG
RNAcentral lists this long non-coding RNA (95520 nucleotides) under Hordeum vulgare. RNAcentral's name for it is "long non-coding RNA (HVUL_LNC017134)". The stretch from base 54564 to 54699 matches the Rfam family "MIR1120/MIR1122 microRNA precursor family". The record is from RNAcentral. Lineage: Eukaryota; Viridiplantae; Streptophyta; Magnoliopsida; Poales; Poaceae.